Molecule: long non-coding RNA, 122389 nt
Filed under: Hordeum vulgare
Lineage: Eukaryota; Viridiplantae; Streptophyta; Magnoliopsida; Poales; Poaceae
Description: long non-coding RNA (HVUL_LNC011669)
Source: RNAcentral
CAUCUUUUCAAUGUCUUUCGUGAGCAUGAUGGGAAGGAAAAUUGUGCUCAAGUGCUGAAAGAAGAAUUACAUAGAAUGCUUGACAUAGAAUAUGUGAAUGAUGAGCAUGAUUGCAAUGUUGUUAGCAUGAAUUCUUUGAAUACCCAUGAUGCUAAUGAUAUGCAAAGCCACAAGCUUGGGGAUGCUAUAUUUGAUGAAGAUGAUCUUUUUAGUUCUUCCACUUUGAAUGAUCAAAAUCAUUUUGAUGAAAGCAUGCCCCCUAUCUAUGAUGAUUAUUGUGAGGAUACUUAUGCUAUAAAUAAGAGGGAUGAUAAAACUUGUCAUACUCUCGAGAACCACUUUGCUAAACCUUGCUUUUUCAUUGUGGACACAAUUUGUACUGCUCAAGUCUUUUACGAUACUCCCACUACUAUUCUUGAGAAUAGAUUUCCUUAUGUGGAGAGUAGUAAAAUUCCUAUGCUUGUAGAUCAUGAAAAGAAAGCCUUAGGUGUUGGUUAUAUUGUUGAAUGCAUUCAUGAUGCUACUGAACAUUACUAUGAGAGAGGAUCAUAUGCUUCUACUUAUUUCAAUAGUAUCAAGCUUCCUCUCCAUGUGUUGAAAUUUUUGAAGCUAUGCUUGUUUUGCCUUCCUAUGCUAGUUGAUUCUUGCUCCAACAAGUUGUUUGUUCACAAAAUACCUAUGCAUAGGAAGUGGGUUAGACUUAAAUGUGCUAGCCAUAUGCUCCAUGAUGCUCUCGUUGUGCUUCAAUCCUUAUCUUUUAUGUGAGCAUCAUUGAAAUCAUCAUGCCUAGCUAAGGGCGUUAAACAAUAGCGCUUGUUGGGAGGCAACCCAAUGAAUUUAUCUUUUUCUUUUCUGUUUUGUUGCGUCCACACCAUCAUAAUUCUGUUGUGAUUGUGUCUUCUGUGUUUCUUUUUGUGUUUGAGCCAAGCAAAACCUUUAUGACUAGUCUUGGUGAUGGUUGUUUGAUCCUGCUGGAAAAAGACAGAAACUUUUCGCUCACGGGAUUAUUUUUCAUUUUUAUUCAGAAAGAGCUUUUGAGUUGAUUCUUUUUGCUGCUGGUUGAUAUGCCUUUUGCCCAGGCAGUUGUAAUUUUUCAGAAUUGUUGAGUGAUACGUCCAUUUUGCAUCAUGCUUUCAUGUUGGUAUUUAUCGCUUUAUGGACUGUUAUUAUACUUUGUGGUACCAUACUUAUGCCUUUUCUCUCUUAUUUUGCAAGGUUUAUUUGAAGAGGGAGAAUACCGGCAGCUGGAAUUCUGGACUGGAAAAGGAGCAAGUCUGAGUCCUCUAUUAUGUGCAACUCCAAAUGCCCUGAAAAUCAACGUGGAAUUUUUUGGGAAUAUAUAAAAAAUAUUGGGCGAAAGAAGUGCCACAGGGGAGCUGCCACAGGCCCACAAGCCUGGUAGCCGUGGCCUGCCCCCCUGGUCGCGGCUACAGGGCUUGUGGGCACCCAGGUCGCCCACUGGCCCCCUCUUCUGCUAUAUGAAGGGUUUCGUCCGGAAAAAAAAUCAGGGCGGAGCUUUUUCGAGGAGACGUUGCCGCCACGAGGCGGAACUUGAGCAGAACCAAUCUAGAGCUCCAGCAGGACGAUCCAGCCGGGGAAACUUCCCUCCCGAAGGGGGAAAUCGUCGCCAUCAUCAUCACCAACACUCCUCUCAGCGGAGGGGACUCAUCUCCAUCAACAUCUUCAUUAGCACCAUCUCAUCUCCAAACCCUAGUUCAUCACUUGUAACCAAUCUCCGUCUCGCGACUCCGAUUGGUACUUGUAAGGUUGCUAGUAGUGUUGAUUACUCUUUGUAGUUGAUGCUAGUUGGAUUACUUGGUGGAAGAGUUUAUGUUCAGAUCCUUGAUGCUACUCAUUACCUCUCUGGUCAUGAAUAUGAUUAUGCUUUGUGAGUAGUUACUUUUUGUUCCUGGGGACAUGGGAUAAGUCAUGCUAAUAGUAGUCAUGUGAAUUUGGUAUUCGUUCGGUAAUUUGAUAUGUUGUAUGUUGUUUUUCCUCUAGUGGUGUUAUGUGAAUGUCUGACUGGCACUCUCUGGCAAUAGCUAGACGAAUGAUGAUUCUGUGACAACAAACCUUCCCCUGCAACAGCACUAGAAGAAUGCUGCUAGCACUCCCCGGCAACUGAACUAGAAGAAUGUUGUUGACGGCCCACCAGCGCGUGGGAUCGUAGCAGUUUUCGAGGGUAGAGUAUUCGACCCAAAUUUGUUAAUCGCCAGACAGGAGGUGAGAGAAUACUCUCGAGUAUUAGCAGCUGAAUGUAUUAGAUUCAACCACACCUGAAAGAUUAGUAUCUGCAAGCAAAGUAGUAACAGCAAAGUAGUAUGAUAGCAACGGUGUCAGAAACGAUCUGUUGACGACAGACUAUUCCUAACUGUCGUAUCAAUGGCGCCAAGUUGCCUCGUUGUCGGAAAUUGUCUGCUCCCGUCAACGGCCAGCGAAAAAGUAUUGUAGCAGGUAGCAGCAGUGUAACGAGUAAUAGCAGUGGCAAGGAACAACGGUAGUAACAGCAGUAGCAAGUAGCAACAGUAGCAAGCGACAGUGGUAGCAACAGUAGCAACAGAGCAGGACAAGUAACAGCAGCAGAGCAAGACAAGUAACAGUAGUAGCAACAAUAGUAGCAGAGCAGGACAAGUAACAGCAGCAGAGCAAGACAAGUAACAGCAGUAGGACAAACUCGUAGGCAAUGGGUCGGUGAUUUGGUUGGAUGAUAUUCAUCAUGCAACAGCUAUAACACGGAGAGUAUAUAUGGCUAGCUCCCGUUCGUCAAUGUGAUGUAGGGAUGCAUUCCGUGUGUCGUCAUACGUGCUUAGCGAAAAGAACUUGCAUGACAUCUAUUGUCCAUCCCUCCCGUGGCAGCGGGGUCCAAAAGGAAACUACGGGAUAUUAAGGUUCUCCUUUUAAUAAAGAACCGGACCAACGCAUUAGCACUUGGUGAAAAUAUGAACUCCUCAAACUAUGGUCAUCACCGGGAGUGGUUUCGGUUAUUGUCACUCCGGGGUUGCCAGAUCAUAACACAUAGUAGGUAACUACAACUUGCAAGAUCGGAUUUAAAACACACAUAUAUUGCUGACAACAUAAUAAUUUCAGAUCUGAAAUCAUGGCACUCGGGCCCUAGUGACAAGCAUUAAGCAUGGCAAAGUAGUAGCAACAUCAAUCUCAGAACAUAGUGGAUACUAGGGAUCAAUCCCCAUCAAAACUAACUCGAUUACAUGAUAGAUCUCAUCCCACUCAUCACCGCCCAGCGAGCCUACGAAUAGAUUACUCACGAAAGACGUAGAGCUUCAUGGAAUUGGAGAGGGAAGAAGGUUGAUGAUGGCGAUGGCGACGAUUUCCCCUCUCCGGAGCCUAAAACGGACUCCAGAUCUGCCCUCCAGAUGAAGAACAGGUUGUGGCGGCGCCUCCGUAUCGCAAACGCGACGAAAUCUUCUCUCUUGAUUUUUUCUGGGACGAAAGUGAACUUAUAGAGCUGAGAUUGGGGGCGGCAGAGCCACGUGGGCCCCACAAGCUUGCCUACCGCCACCAGGGGGUGGCGGCUUGAGGGCUUGUGGCCCACUCGCCCACCCCCCUCAGGUGGAUCUUUGCGCAGGUAUUUUUCAUAUUUUCCAAAAAUAUUCCCCAUAAAUUUUUAGGACGUUCUGAGAACUUCGAUUUCUGCACAAAAAUAACACCAAGGCAAUUCUGCUGAAAACAACGUUAGUCCAGGUUAGUUCCAUUCAAAUCAUGCAAAUUAGAGUCCAAAACAAGGGCAAAAGAGUUUGGAAAAGUAGAUACGAUGGAGACGUAUCAACUCCCCCAAGCUUAAAACCUUGCUUGUCCUCAAGCAACUCAGUUGACAAACUGAGAGACAAAGAAAAACUUUGACAAACUCUGUUUGAUCUUGUUGUUGCAACUAUGUCUAACUCAUAACCAGGAUUUCAACAAGAUCACAAGUUAACCACAUAAGCAAGUGACACAAAGGUCUCACGGUAAACUAAUAUCAAUGGCAUAAUCAGCUAACGAGCAAAUAAUAAUGAGUUUCGAAUACCAACACUUCAAUCAAAACAAGCAUGAAGCAAUAUGAAAUGGUGGUAUCUCGCUAGCUCUUUCUGAGACCGCAAAACAUAAAUGUAGAGCACUUUCAAAGAGCAAGGGUGAAUAAACAUUGUAAUUCAUAGCAACGAAGAUCCAGUCAUAGUCAUACUCAAUAUCAAUCAAAAGCAAAGCAUAAAAAAUGACAGAGGUGCUCUCUAAUUGGUGCUUAUAAAAGAGGAGGAUGACUCGACAGGAAAAUAAAUAGACGGGCCCUUCGCAGAGGGAAGCAUUGAUUUGCAGAGGUGCGAGAGCUCAAGCUUUGAAAACAGAGAUAAUAAUUUUGGGCGGCAUGCUUUCACUGUCAAUGCAAUGACCAAGAGUUCUCAAUAUAUUCCAUGCUACUCAUGCUAUAGGCGGUUCCCAAACAGAAAUGUAAAGAUUUAACUCCCCCACAACCAAUCAAUCACACUCCACGGCUAGCCGAAUCCUCGGGUACCGUCCAUACUAACAUCAAUCCAGGGGGUCUUGUUUUACAGUUAUGUUUUUGAUUUAAGCGUGGAACUGGGCAUUCCAAUUACCGCCCCCUUUCUCGUGAAUGACAGUGAAUAAACACAUGUCGAGGAUAACACUCCUAGCAUGGAAGAUACCAAUAGCCCCCUGUCACCACAUGAGUGGUUCGGGCAUGCAAAACAGAUUAUUUCUUGGAGGUUUACUUGGAGAUUGGCACAUGCAAAUUUACUUGGAACGGCAUGUAGAUACCGCAAAUAGGUAGGUAUGGUGGACUCUCAUGGAAUAACUUUUGGGUUUAUGGAAGUGGAUGCACAAGCUGUAUUACGCUUAGUACAAGUGAAGGCUAGCAAAAGACUAGGAAGCGACCAACUAGAGAGCGACAACAGUCAUCAAGAUGCAAUGAGUUUGACUAACAUUGAAUGGAAGCAUGAACAGGAUAUAAAUCACCAUGAACACGAACAUCAUAGAGGCUAUGUUGAUUUUGCUUCAACUACAUGCAUGAACAUGCGCCAAGUCAAGCCACUUGAAUCAUUCAAAGGAGAAUACCAUCCUAUCAUACUACAUCAUAGUCAUCUCAAAAUCUAUGUUGGCAUUCAAGACAAACCAUUAUAAACUCUCAGCUAAAUAAGCAUGGCAUCAGAAACUAUGAUCUCUAAGUUGUUAUUGCAAACAUGGUUCUCUCACAACAAAGUUGAAUCUCAAUCGACAAGCUAGUCAUAUUUACAAAAAAAAAUAGAUAGAGUUCAUGCCAGCUUUUCAGUCUUAGUCACUUCAUCAUAUAUCAUCAUUAUUGCCUUUCACUUGCACGAUCGAACGAUGUGAACAAUAAUAAGAGUGCUCGUGCAUUGGACUAAGCUGAAUCUGCAGGCAAACACAAAGGAGAAGACAUAGUAAUAUGGCUCUUUGAAAGCUAAACAGUUAUGCAUGCAAGAACCACUAAACAUUUUAACCAAUAUCUUGUACCUUGACCCAAAGAAAAAGAAAACUAUUUACACGGGAUAACUCCGAGCAUGCAAAAGAAGAAAGAAAAAUCUUUUUUGUUUUUCUCAAAAGGACACAAAACAAGAAAACAAGAAAACGAAAAUAAACUAGCAUGGAUAAUACAGUGGCGAAGUGUAAACACCGGCUAACAAAGUGAAAGCGUAAGCAUGAAUGUGAAGUCGGUGAGAACACGUACUCCCCCAAGCUUAGGCUUUUGGCCUAGCUUGGUCUACUCCCAUGGAUGGUCCUGGCGAAACCCAAAAUCAUAAUGGGUGUUAUACGGGAGUGCUGCAGCCACUGCCUGAAUAGCUGCCUCACGUAGUCGAGCAGCCGUCGCCUCCCUCUCAUACUCCUCUGCCUCUCCUAUGGUUAUGUAGUAUCUUCGUUUUACCUGAAAGUCAAAGAAAGCAGGAGCAGGAAGGGUAAUAUGGAAAACACACUUCCGGUUAAAUAUCAAGCGGCAUAGGAGGGAUCCAUGAUCUCUCUCAAGGAACUGGUAGCGUGUUAGAGCGACACAAUCAAGGUACACUGUACGGAGAGGAGGGUCUUCUGAACGGAUGGAUACUCCAAGAAAAUUUGCUAAGCGUGUAGCAUAAACUCCACCAAAGAAAUCCACCUCAUUGGCAUUAUUAUUCAGCCUCCUUGCUAUUAUAGCUCCCAUACUGAAGCUCUUGUCACCUGUUACUGCGCUCUUAAGGAUACUAAGGUCGAAAGCGCAUAGGUGACAAUGUGCACCCUUGCCGUUAAUGCACCUACCUACGAAGAGGGCAAAGUAGUGCAAGGUAGGGAAAUGGAUGCUUCCUAUGGUGGCUUGCGUGAUAUCUCUGGUUUCUCCAACAGUUAUACUGGAGACAAAGUCUCUGACCGAAGACUUAGAAGGAUCAUUAAUACUACGCCCAUCGGGUAUCUUGCAAAUCCUAUUGAAAUCCUCCAAAUCCAUGGCCUAGGAUUUAUCGUACAAAUAAACAGUAUGGAUGAGUCACGGCCAACUGAAAAUUUAAAUCUACGCACGAAAGAGGCAGUGAGCAUAGCAUUUUGUUCACAUUUAUCUGAGAGGAAUUCUUCUAACCCGGCAUUGCGGACAAGUGUAUAAAACUCAUCCUUGAAACCUGCUUCGAUCAUAAACUCAUCGGAAAGCCAUUCACAUGGUUGUACCGGUGCGUCCCUUAGUUGAAAAGGUUCGGGCUCCCGAAAAGAAAGACGGGGACCCUUCUUACUUGAGGAACCACCAUGAAUCUUCCUCCUGAACAUAAUUUCCUUUUUGCUGAAAUUUUUGAAGUUCAAGAGAAAAGUGAAUGAAGACCAACCACACCUUGUAGCAACUACUCCUACUAGUGCCUAGAGACCGUAUCACGCGCUAAAACUACUUGGGACCAGCUAAAAUCAACAUUUCUAGCUCAAGAACAGGGUCACCAAGGUAGCAAGAAUACGCGAAGGAUAAAGCACUAGAGCAAAAACUAAUUGGACCAAUGGAGGUGUCACUUACCAAGGAGUAAUUUCCCCAAAAUGGUUCGGAGAAUGGUGCUUUGAGCAAGGAGAUGGAAAGUCCCAGCAAGAGGAGCAAGAACACGGGUUUGAACUGCGAAACGAUUUUUUCUGGAGGUAGGAGAAGGAGAUAAGAGCAAGAAUGAGUGGAGGGGGUGCCUGUGGGCCCCACAAGAUUGCUAGCCGCCACCAGGGGGUGGCGAUGGCAGGGCUUGUGGCCCACUGGUCUGGCCUUGAGGCCAGCUCUCAGGCCCAAUAUUUUUCAAAUAUUCCAGAAAAAAUCAUACUAAGUUUUUAGGACCAUCGGAGAACUUCUAUUUUCGAGCUAUUUUUCUCCGGGACGCUAAAACAGAAAACAGGAAAAACUAAACUAAAUCUAUCAUUUUUCUUCUAAGCAACAGAAAAUGAAAUCUCAAAACAGAGGUAUGUGACUCUUUGAUUCAUCCAUUUCAUGGUCAUCGAAAGAAAUCCGUCAAUGGGGUUGAUCAAGUCCUCAUGACAAAACCUUCUCGAAUCGCAAGAGAGAACGGAGAAUUUUCGAAUAGCCACUAAGUCACCUCAAUGGGGAUAUGUAUCUCCCCAACAAGCAAAUCAUACUUCACCUUGACAUGAGGAAUAGGGCAUUCAAAGCUCCCAAUAAGAAUCGAUGAAGUCUUUUCGAUAGCAUUGAUGCAAUGUACUUGAUAUCGUUUCUUCGGAAAGUGCACUGUGUGCUCCUUACCGUUGACAUGGAAAGUGACAUUGCCUUUGUUGCAAUCUAUAACAGUCCGUGUAGUAUUUAAAAAGGGUCUUCCGAGGAUGACAGCCAUGGCAUCGUCCUCGGGAAUAUCCAAGAUAACAAGGUGUGUUAAGAUAGUGGUGUUAGAAACCACAACAGGUACAUCCUUGCAAAUGCCGAUAGGGAAAGCAGUUGAUUUGUCGGCCAUUUGCAGAGAAAUUUCAGUGGGUGUCAACUUAUCCAAUUCAAGUCUACGAUAAAGAGAGAGUGACAUAACACUAACACCGGCUCCAAGGUCACAUAAGGCAGUUCUUACGUAGUUUCCUUUAAUGGAACAAGGUAUAGUGAACACUCCGGGAUCACCAAGUUUCUUAGGAGUUCCACCUUUGAAAGUGUAAUUGGCAAGCAUGGUGGAGAUCUCAAGAUCUGGUAUCUUCCGUUUAUUAGUCAUGAUAUCUUUCAUGUACUUGGCAUACGGAGACAUCUUGAGCAUAUCAGUUAACCACAUCUACAGAAAGAUGGGUCUUAUCAUCUCAACGAAGCGCUCAAAAUCAUCAUCAUCCUUUUUCUUGGAUGGCUUAGGAGGAAAGGGCAUAGAUCUCUGAACCCAUGGCUCCCUUUAUUUACCAUGCUUCCUAGCAGUGAAGUCAUUCUUAUCGUAUCUCUUAGGUUGUGGGUUAUCAGGAUUAACCGAAGGUUCAAUCUCCACAUCCUCAUCAUUGCUAGGUUGAGCAUUAUUAUGAACAUCACUGUCCAUAUUGUCACCAGGUUCAUGUUCAUCACCAGAUUGUGUUUCUGCAUCAGACGCAGAAAUAUCAUUAGGUUCUUAAGGUGUGACAGUAUUUGGUGAACUGGCAUGUAGGUUUCUAUCAUCCUUUUUCUUCUCCUUAGGAUGACUAGGUGUAUCAGCAUUGAUUCCUUGAGAAUCUUGAUCAAUUCUCUUAGGAUGACCUUGAGGAUACAAAGGUUCCUGAGUAAUUUUGCCUCCUCUAGUAAUGACUCUGACAGAGUUGUCAUUUAAUUCAUUGAGAAAGUCAUUCUAAGCUUUAAGUACUUGUUCUACCUGAGUAGUAAUCACCGAGGCAUGUUUACUCAGAAGCUUCAGAUCAUUGACAUUUCUGUCUACACAAGCACUUAGAUGGCUAAGCAUACGAGUACUUUGUUCCAAAUGUCUACUAACAUAAUCAUUGAAACUCUGUUGUUUCGCAACAAAGUUGUCAAAUUCAUCAAAGCAUAGGCUAGCAGGUUUAUCAAAAGGAAUAUCACUCUCAUCAAACCUACGCAGAGAAUUCACUUCUACUACCUGUAUCGGGUUAUCGAGACCAUGGAUCUCUUCGAUAGGUGGUAGGUUUUUGACAUCUUCAGAUCUAAUGCCUUUCUCUUGCAUAGAUUUCUUAGCUUCUUGCAUAUCUUCGGGACUGAGGAAUAGAAUACCUCUUUUCUUCGGAGUUGGCUUAGGAGGUGGUUCAGGAAUAGUCUAAGCAUUAUCGUUGAUCAAGAUGUUAUUCAGUAGGGUCUCAGCUUGUUCUACAGUUUGUUCCCUAAAAACACAACUGGCACAACUAUCUAGGUGGUCUCUAGAGGCACCGGUAAUUCCGUUAUAGAGGAUAUCAAGUAUCUCGUUCUUCUUAAGAGGGUGAUCAGGCAAAGCAUUUUAUAGCUGGAUGAGCCUCCCCCAAGCUUGUGGGAGACUCUCUUCUUGGAGUUGAGAAAAGUUGUAUAUUUCCUGCAAGGCAGCUUGCUUCUUAUGGGCAGGGAAAUAUUUCUCACAGAAGUAAUAGACCAUAUCCUGGGGACUACUCACACAUCCAGGAGCAAGUGAGGUGAACCAGGCUUUAGCGUCAUCCUUUAGAGAGAAAGGAAACAGCUUAAGGAUAUAGUAGUGGCGGAUCUUCUCCUUAUUAGUGAAAAAGGUGGCUAUAUCGUGUAGUUUGGCAAGAUGGGCUACGACCGUCUCAGACUCGUAACCAUGAAAAGGAUCAGAUUCGACUAGAGAGAUUAUCUCAGGAUCGACAGAGAAUUCAUAAUCCUUAUCGGUGAUAAAGAUAGGUGAAGUGGCAAACUUCGGAUCAUAUUUCAUCCUAGCUUUGAGACAUUUUUCCUUCCACUUAAGAAGUAAUUUCUCAGCGUCAUAGGCAUCCUUACACGCAAGAAAAUCCUCAACUAUCUCUCCCUCCAUAACGUAACCCUCAGGUAUAUCAGGCAAUUCAUAUCUAGGAGAGCUAGAUCUAACAGGAGCAAAAGCAGGUUCUAUCUCAAUAGUAUUGGUAGUUUCAGAAGCAUCACGAGCAUUGGCAGUAACUCUAGCAAUAUGAGCAUCAAGGAAUACCCCUAGUGGCAUAUCAGGCAAAGUAGCAUCUCUAGCAGUAUCAAGCAUAGCAUCAUCAGGCAAAAUAGCAUCUCUAGCAUCAUCAGGCAAAGCAGUAUCAGGCAUAGCAUCUCUAGCAGUAUCAAGCAUAGCAUCUCUAGCAGUAUCAAGCAUAGCAUCAUCAGGCAUAGUAUCAAGCAUAGCAUCUCUAGCAGUAUCAAGCAUAGCAUCAUCAGGCAUAGUAUCAAGCAUAGCAUCUCUAGCAGUAGCAUCAUAAGCAUCAUCAAGCACAAGCGACAUAUCAAGAUUUCUAGCAGGAGGUGAUGUCGCAAACUUACUCAUAACUGAAGGUGAAUCAAGUGCAGAACUAGAUGGCAAUUCCUUACCUCCCCUCGUAGUUGAGGGCAAGACUUUGGUUUUUGGGUCCUUCAAAUUCUUCAUAGAGAUCAGCAGAUAUAAAUCCCAAGUAACUCCGAGAAUAUAGCAAUACCUCCCUGGCAACGGCACCAGAAAAAUGCUGACUGGCACUCUCUCGCAAUAGCUAGACGAAUGUUGAUUCUGUGACAACAGACCUUCCCCUGCAACGACACCAGAAAAAUGCUGCUAGCACUCCCCGGCAACAGAACUAGAAGAAUGUUGUUGACGGCCCACCAGCGCGUGGGAUCAUAGCAGUUUUCGAGGGUAGAGUAUUCGACCCAAAUUUGUUGAUCGCCAGACAGGAGGUGAGAGAAUACUCUCGAGUAUUAGCAGCUAAAUGUGUCAGAUUCAACCACACCUGAAAGAUUAGUAUCUGCAAGCAAAGUAGUAACAGCAAAGUAGUAUGAUAGCAACGGUGUCAGAAACGAUCUGUUGACGACAGACUAUUCCUAACUGUCGUAUCAAUGGCGCCAAGUUGCCUCGUUGACGGAAAUUGUCUGUUCCCGUCAACGACCAGCGAAAAAGUAUUGUAGCAGGUAGCAGCAGUGUAACGAGUAAUAGCAGUGGCAAGGAACAGCGGUAGUGACAGCAGUAGCAAGUAGCAACAGUAGCAAGCAAUAGUAGUAGCAACAGUAGCAGCAGAGCAGGACAAGUAAGAGCAGCACAGCAAGACAAGUAACAGUAGUAGCAACACUAGCAGCAGAGCAGGACAAGUAACAGCAGCAGAGCAAGACAAGUAACAACAGUAGUAGGACAAACUCGUAGGCAAUGGGUCGGUGAUUUGUUUGGAUGAUAUUCAUCAUGCAACAGCUAUAACACGGAGAGAUAUAUGGCUAGCUGCCGUUCGUCAAUGUGAUGUAGGCAUGCAUUCCGUGUGUCGUCAUACGUGCUUAGGGAAAAGAACUUGCAUGACAUCUAUUGUCCAUCCCUCCCGUGGCAGCGGGGUCCAAAAGGAAACUACGUGAUAUUAAGGUUCUCCUUUUAAUAAAGAAUCGGACCAAUGCAUUAGCACUUGGUGAACACAUGAACUCCUCAAACUAUGGUCAUCACCGGGAGUGGUUCCGGUUAUUGUCACUCCGGGGUUGCCGGAUCAUAACACAUAGUAGGUAACUACAACUUGCAAUAUCGGAUCUAAAUCACACAUAUAUUGGUGACAACAUAACAAUUUCAGAUCUGAAAUCAUGCCACUCGGGCCCUAGUGACAAGCAUUAAGCAUGGCAAAGUAGUAGCAACAUCAAUCUCAGAACAUAGUGGAUACUAGGGAUCAAUCCCCAUCAAAACUAACCCGAUUACAUGAUAGAUCUCAUCCUACUCAUCACCGCCCAGCAAGCCUACGAAUAGAUUACUCACGAAUGACGAAGAGCUUCACGGAAUUGGAGAGGGAAGAAGGUUGGUGAUGACGAUGGCGACGAUUUCCCCUCUCCGGAGCCCAAAACGGACUCCAGAUGUGCCCUCCAGAUGAAGAACAGGUUGUGGCGGCGCCUCCGUAUCGCAAAUACGACGAAAUCUUCUCUCUUGAUUUUUUCUGGGAUGAAAGUGAACUUAUAGAGCUGAUAUUGGGGGCGGCAGAGCCACGUGGGCCCCACAAGCUUGCCCACCGCCACCAGGGGGGUGGCGGCUUGAGGGCUUGUGGCCCACUGGCCCACCCCCUCAGGUGGAUCUUUGCGCAGGUAUUUUUCAUAUUUUCCAAAAAUAUUCCCCGUAAAUUUUGAGGACAUUCUGAGAACUUUGAUUUCUGCACAAAAAUAACACCAAGGCAAUUCUGCUGAAAACAGCGUCAGUCCAGGUUAGUUCCACUCAAAUCAUGCAAAUUAGAGUCCAAAACAAGGGCAAAAGAGUUUGGAAAAGUAGAUACGAUGGAGACGUAUCAACGUCAACUACAUAACACUUCACCAUUAUUUGUGCCUAGAGGAAGGCAUUGGGGAGUAGUAAGUAGAUGAUGGGUUGCUAGAGUGACAGAAGCUUAAACCCCAGUCUAUGCGUUGCUUCGUAAGGGGCUGAUUUGGAUCCACUAGUUUAAUGCUAUGGUUAUACUUUGUCUUAAUUCUUCUUUCGUAGUUGCGGAUGCUUGUGAGAGGGGUUAAUCAUAAGUGGGAUGCUUGUCCAAGUAAGGGCAGUACCCAAGCGCCGGUCCACCCACAUGUCAAACUAUCAAAGUAACGAACGUGAAUCAUAUGAAUAUGAUGAAAACUAGCAUGACAGAAAUUCCCGUGUGUCCUCGGGAGCGUUUUUCCUCCUAUAAGACUUUGUUCAGGCUUGUCCCUUGCUACAAAAGGGAUUGGGCCACUUUGCUACACCGUUGCUAUUACUUGUUACUUGUUACUUUUCACCUGCUACGUUUCACCUCACUACACCAUCACUUGCUACCACUACUUUCAGUGCUUGCAGUUAUUACCUUGCUGAAAACUGUUUAUCAGAGCCUUCUGCUCCUCGUUGGGUUUGACACUCUUACUUAUCGAAAGGACAACGAUUGAUCCCAUAUACUUGUGGGUCAUCAAGACUCUUUUCUGGCGUAGUUGCCGGGAGUGAAGCGCCUUUGGUAUGUGGAAUUUGGUAAGGAAACAUUUAUAUAUUGUGCUGAAAUUUAUUGUCACUUGUCACUAUGGAAAUUGUUCCUUUGAGGAAUUUGUUCGGGGUAUCUUCACCACGACUGGAAGCAUGAGGAGUUUCUCCUCAACCUAAGGUACCUACUGAAAAUAUCUUUUAUGAAAUUCCUUCGGGUAUGCUUGAGAAACUGCUGGCUAAUCCUUUUACACGAGAUGGAUCAUCACAUCCAGACUUGCAUCUAAUCUAUGUAGAUGAAGUUUGUGGUUUAUUUAAGCUUGCAGGUUUGCCCGAGGAUGAGGUAAAGAAGAAAGUAUUUCCUUUAUCUUUGAAGGAUAAGGCGUUGACAUGGUAUAGGCUAUGUGAUGAUACUGGAUCAUGGGACUACAAUCGGUUGAAAUUGGAAUUUCAUCAAAAGUUUUAUCCUAUGCAUUUAGUACAUCGUAAUCGGAAUUAUAUUUAUAACUUUUGGCCUCGUGACAGGGAAAGCAUAUCUCAAACUUGGGGGAGGCUUAAAUCAAUGCUAUAUUCAUGCCCCAAUCAUGAGCUCUCGAGACAAAUUAUCACUCAAAACUUUUAUGCUCGGCUUUCUCAUGAAGAUCGUACCAUGCUUGACACUUCUUGUACCGGUUCUUUUAUGAAGAAGGAUAUUGACCACAAGUGGAAUUUAUUGGAAAGAAUCAAACGUAACUCUGAAGAUUGGGAGCUUGAAGAAGGUAAGGAGUCAGGUAUGAAUUUCCAGUUUGAUUGCGUUAAAUCUUUUGUUGAAACAAACACUUCUAGAGAUUUUAGCGCUAAGUAUGGACUUGACUAUGAGAUAGUAGCUUCUCUAUGUGAAUCUUUUGCUGCUCAUAUUGAUCUUCCCAAAGAGAAGUGGUUUAAGUAUCAUCCUCCUGUAGAAGUCAACAUAGUUAAACCCAAUCUAGUUGAAGAGAAAGUCAUUGCCUAUAAUGAUCCUAUUGUUCCUUGUGCCUACAUUGAGAAACCACCUUACCGUGCUAGGAAAAAGGAUUAUUCUAAAGCUCCAACUGUGAUACGUAGGGGUUACAUUAGACCACUUGCACCCCCUGAGGAAAUUAGAGUUGAACCUAGUGUUUCUAUUAUCAAAGAUCUCUUAGCCGAAGACAUAGACGGGCAUGUUAUCAAAUUCUGUGAGGACUCUACUAGAAUUGCUAAACCUCACACGAAAGACAAAUACGGACCUGUAGUUGACCUGCCCGUUGUUUCUGUCAAGAUAGGAGAUCACUGUUAUCAUGGUUUAUGUGAUAUGGGUGCUAGUGUUAGUGCAAUACCCCGGUCCCUAUAUGAUGAAAUCAAAGAUGAGAUUGCACCUGCUGAGUUAGAACCCAUUGAUGUCACUAUUACGCUAGCUAAUAGAGAUACUAUCAGCCGUGUGGGAAUUGUGAGAGAUAUAGAAGUCUUGUGUGGUAAGACGAAGUAUCCUACUGAUUUCAUCAUCCUUGCUACUGCACAAGAUAGCUUUUGUCCCAUCAUAUUUGGUAGACCCUUUCUCAACAUUGUCAAUGCUCAUAUUGGUUGCAUUAGACAGACUGUCACUGUUAGUUUCGAGGGUGUGUCUCAUGAAUUUAACUUCUCCAAGUUUGGAAGACAACCCCAUGAAAAAGAGUCGUCUGGUAGGGAUGAAAUCAUUGCUCUUGCCUCUAUCGCUGUGACUCCUACGGAUCCUUUAGAGCAAUAUCUGCUUGAGCAUGAAAAUGAUAUGCAUAUGGAUGAAAGAGAUGAGAUAGAUAAAAUUGUUUUAGAACAAUAUCCUAUUCUUAAGAAUAAUCUGCCUGNNNNNNNNNNNNNNNNNNNNNNNNNNNNNNNGAAUAAUCUGCCUGUUGAACUGCUUGGGGAUCCUCCCCCACCAAAGGGUGAUCCUGUGUUCGAGCUAAAACAUUUACUAGAUACACUUAAGUAUGCCUAUCUUGAUGAGAAGGAGAUAUAUCCUGUUAUAAUUAGUGCUCACCUCUCGAAUCACGAAGAGAAGAAGUUAUUAAAAACUUUGAGGAAGCAUCGUGCUGCUAUUGGAUAUAUGCUUGAUGAUCUUAAGGGUAUUAGUCCCACUCUAUGUCAGCACAAGAUUAAAACCGAUCCUGAUUCUAAGCCAGUCGUUGAUCAUCAACGGAGGUUAAAUCCUAGGAUGAAAGAGGUCAUGAGAAAAGAAAUAUUAAAGCUUCUGGAAGCAGGAAUCAUUUAUCAUGUUGCUCAUAGUGAUUGGGUAAGUCCAGUACAUUGCGUACCUAAGAAGGGAGGUAUCACCGUCGUUCCUAAUGAUAAGAAUGAACUAAUCCCACAGAGGAUUAUUACUGGCUAUAGGAUGGUGAUAGACUUCCGGAAACUGAAUAAGGCAACGAGGAAAGACCAUUAUCCUUUGUCGUUUAUUGACCAAAUGCUAGAAAGGCUAUCUAAACACACACACUUCUGCUUUCUACACGGUUAUUCAGGUUUCUCGCAAAUACCUGUUGCACAAUCUGAUCAGGAGAAAACCACUUUCACAGGCCCCUUCGGUACCUUUGCUUAUAGACGUAUGCCUUUUGGCUUAUGCAAUGCACCUGCCACCUUUCAAAGAUGUAUGAUGGCUAUAUUCUCUGACUUUUGUGAAAAGAUUGUUGACGUUUUCAUGGAUGAUUUCUCCGUUUACGGUUCUUCCUUUGACGAUUGCCUCAGCAACCUUGAUCGAGUCUUAUAGAGAUGCAAAGAUACCAACCUCGUCUUGAACUGGGAGAAGUGCCACGUCAUGGUUAAUGAAGGCAUCGUCUUAGGACACAAAAUCUCCGAGAAAGGCAUUGAAGUUGAUAAGGCUAAGGUUAAUGCAAUUGAGAAAAUGGCUUGCCCCACAGAUAUCAGAGGUAUACGAAGUUUCCUAGGUCAUGCUGGUUUCUAUAGAAGGUUCAUUAAAGACUUCUCUAAGAUUUCUAGGCCUCUUACCAACCUCUUGCAGAAGGAUGUUCCUUUUGUUUGUGAUGAGGAUUGUGAGGAAGCUUUCGAAAUACUUAAGAAGGCCUUGAUAACCUCACUUAUUGUUCAACCACCUGAUUGAAACUUUCCCUUUGAAAUCAUGUGCGAUGCUAGUGAUUAUGCUGUUGGUGUUGUUCUAGGACAAAGAGUUGACAAGAAGUUGAAUGUCAUUCACUACGCUAGUAAAAAUCUAGACAGUGCCCAAAUAAACUAUGCCACUACAGAGAAGGAAUUUUUAGCAGUCGUGUUUGCAUGUGAAAAGUUCAGAUCUUAUAUAGUUGACUCCAAAGUCAUUAUUCACUCUGAUCAUGCUUCUAUUAAGUACCUUAUGGAGAAGAAGGACGCUAAGCCUAGGCUAAUCAGAUGGGUUCUCCUGCUACAGGAAUUUGAUUUGCAUGUUGUUCACCGAAAGGGUGCUGAUAACCCUGUAGCAGAUAACAUGUCCAGGCUAGAGAAUGUCCUUGAUGACCCACGACCUAUUGAUGACAGCUUUACCGAUGAGCAAUUGAAUGUUACCCGCACUUCACAUAGUGCACUGUGGUAUGCUGAUUGCGCAAACUAUAUCGUAGCCAAAUACAUGCCACCUAGUUUCACCUACCAGCAAAAGAAGAAAUUCUUCUUUGAUUUGAGACACUACUUUUGGGAUGAUCCUCACCUUUAUGAGGAAGGAGUAGAUGGUGUUAUUAGACGUUGUGUGCCUGAACAUGAACAGGGACAGAUCCUGCAGAAGUGUCAUUCCGAAGCCUACGGAGGACACCAUGCUGGAGAAAGAACUGCUCAUAAGGUAUUGAAAUCAGGUUUCUAUUGGCCCACUCUCUUCAAGGAUGCCCGUAAGUUUGUCUUGUCUUGUGACGAAUGCCAAAGAAUAGGGAACAUCAGUAAACGUCAGGAAAUGCCUAUGAACUAUUCACUUGUCAUUGAACCAUUUGAUGUCUGGGGCUUUGAUUAUAUGGGACCCUUCCCGAGUUCCAAUGGGUAUAAUCACAUCUUAGUUGCUGUUGAUUACGUCACUAAGUGGGUAGAAGCUAUCCCCACUAGAAAUGUUGAUCACCGCACCUCUAUUAAGAUGCUUAAAGAAGUCAUUUUCCCAAGAUUUGGAGUCCCUAGAUAUCUGAUGACUGAUGGCGGUUCACACUUCAUUCAUGGUGUUUUCAGCAAGAUGCUCGCUAAGUAUGAUGUCAACCAUAGAGUUGCAUCUCCUUAUCAUCCUAGGUCUAGUGGUAAAGUGGAGUUGAGUAAUAGGGAGAUCAAAUUGAUCUUACAAAAGACUGUCAAUAGAUCUCGAAAGAAUUGGUCUAUCAAACUUGACGACGAACUAUGGGCUUAUAGGACUGCUUAUAAGAAUCCCAUGGGCAUGUCGCCGUAUAAAAUGGUUUACGGUAAGGCCUGUCAUUUACCUCUUGAGCUAGAACACAAAACUUAUUGGGCCAUCAAAGAGCUCAACUUCGAUUUCAAACUUGCCGGUGAGAAGCGGUUGUUUGAUAUCAGCUCAUUAGAUGAAUGGAGGGCCCAGGCAUAUGAGAAUGCCAAGUUGUUCAAGGAAAAGGAUAAGAGAUGGCACGAUAAAAGAAUACAAAAACGUGAGUUCAAUGUAGGUGAUUAUGUCCUGUUAUACAAUUCUCGCUUAAGAUUCUUCGCAGGCAAGCUUCUCUCUAAAUGGGAAGGUCCCUACGUUGUUCAGGAAGUAUAUCGUUCCCGUGCCAUCAAAAUCAAUAACACGGAAGGUAAUUUUCCUAGAGUGGUAAAUGGGCAAAGAAUCAAUCAUUAUAUCUCUGGUACUCCCAUAAAUGUUGAGAGCAAUAUCAUCAAUAUCAUAAAUCCAGAGUACAUAAGGGAUGUUUAUCAGCCUGUUUCAGACUCUGAAAAUGAAGAGGUAUGUGUUUCAGUAAGUAAUUGGACUCCAAAACUUUUCUAGUAGGAAAUUUUCUCCCUUUUGGAAUUUAUGGAAAAAUAGAAAAAUAAAAAGCAGUCCGGAGAGCGCACGAGGCGGCCACAAGCUUGGUAGCCGCGGACUCCCCCCUGGUCGCGGCUACAGGGCUUGUGGGCACCUCGUGUGCCUCCCGGACUCUGUUUUCUUGCGGAGGACUCCUUCUGGUCCAGAAAAAAUCAUUAUAUAUAUGCCCGAGGGUUUUGAUCUCCGUAUCGCGCAGUUUUCCUCUGUUUUCGUUUCGAGCAUGUUGUCUGCCGCAGAUUUAGGUCAAGAUGUCUUCUCAAGAUUCAGAAGAAGAGAUCUAUGUGGUCGAUGACCGUGCGAACUCUAGGAUUAAUGGGGACUUAAAGACUUAUGGUUGGACCACAGAUGAGGAAGAGGAUCAUGAACCAAAGGGGAAGGAGCAAACAAGCUCUGACAAGGAGGAGGCUCCUCUACCUCAACCUGCGAACACCCAUGUGGAGUUCAAGAAGUCAAGCCUCCCCAACUCCACGAAGAAGCAUAAGACUUUGUUUAUCCCUUCUCGUUUCCUGCAGGAGAGUAAGCAGGAAUUAUGCCAAAGGGUGUUGAAGCUUGAAGAAGAAAACGACGAUCUGAGGGAGCAGAAUUUCAUGCUCCAUUGGAAAUUAAACAAGCUCAAGACCUCUGCAAAGACACCACCAUCACCACCAAAGGAAGACAAUUAAGCAUUGGUAUGGGCAACUCCCUUGGCUUGUGCCAAGCUUGGGGGAGUUGCCCUGGUAUCGUAUCACCUUUAUAUCUUUUGCUUUUACCUUUCUUUUAGUUCUUUCUUUUUCAGUUUUUACUUUCUUAUCUUAGUGGGAUAAGUCUUUAGUGUUUAGUUUGAGUCUUUUGCCUUGUGUCUUCCCCAAUGUACUCGAGCUUGCGAGCCAUAUAAUAAAGAGUAUCUUAGUCAAGGGCUUUGUUUUGUGCCGUGGUCAAAAGUAUGAAAAGAACGAUAGCAUGAAAGAUCAUGAGAUGAUCUUAUGGAAAGUGAUAGCUUCACAUAUAACAAGUAUGAUGAUUGAAACUUGUUGAGAAUAGACCAACAUAGACCCCAGUCAUUGUUGCAAUUAAUAAGAAGUAAUAAGGAAAGAGAGGUUCACAUAUAAAUAUAUCUUCUUAGACACUUUUUACAAUUGUGAGCACUCACCAAACUAUUACAUGCUUAAAAGUAGAUGUUGGACAAGGAAGACAACAUAAUGAAUUGUGUUUGCUUGAUUCCAAACAAUGUUAUAUGAUUAGAGAUCCCUUAGCAUGUGACGAUUGCUUCCACCUCAUAUUAGCCAAAACUCCCGCACCAAGUAGAGAUACUACUUGUGCAUACAUAAACCUUCAAACCAGUCUUGACAUGAGUGUCCACCAUACCUACCUAUGGAUUGAAUAAGAUCCCUCAAGUAAGUUGUCAUCGGUGCAAACAAUAAAAAUUGCUCUCUAAUAUGUAUGAUCUAUUAGUGUGUGGAAAAUCAGCUUUAUACGAACCUGUGAUGAGGAAGACAUAAAAGCGACAGACUGCGUAAUAAAUUUCUUUAUCACAGGAGGCAAUAUAAAGUGACGUUCCUCCGCACUAAGAGGACACGCAUCCAAACCUAAAAGCGCAUGACAACCUCUGCUUCCCUCUGCAAAGGGCCUAUCUUGUACCUUUACCUUUUGUCCUUGUGAAAGUCAUGGUGAUCAACACCAAUUCCCUAUUCCGUCUUCAUCUUGGUGAACGUCAUAUGNNNNNNNNNNNNNNNNNNNNNNNNNNNNNNNNNNNNNCCCCCCCCCCCCACGGAAAGAUCAAUAUUCAUAUAUCAACUUGGAGAUGGGUACUUAUGCUUUAUUAUUGUUGACUUUACCCUUGAGGUAAAUGGCUGGGAGGCAAAAUUAUAAGCCCCUAUCUUUCUGUGUGUCCAACUGAAACUUUGAUGCCAUGAGUACCACGUGAGUUGUAACAAUUGUGGAAAACAAAAGAGAUGAUUAAGUAUGUGGAUUUGCUUUACGAGCUCUUAUUUGACUCUUUCUGAUGUUAUGAUAAAUUACAAUUGCUUCAAUGACUAUGGACUGUUGUUGGCUACUUCUCGGUAAGGUUUUUGAUUCAUACUUUGCUUUGUGAAGGAAUUGUUACUUUCCCAUAAGAAUCUUUAUGAUGUAUUGUUGUUCUAUGUGUGAUCAUGAUGCCCUCAUGUAUGUAUUAUGUUUUAUCGAAACCUUCAUCCCUAAACGUGUGGACAUGUUUAUGGAUCUUGGUUUUUGCUUAAGGACAAGCGAAGUUUAAGCUUGAGGGAGUUGAUACGUCCAUUUUGCAUCAUGCUUUCAUGUUGAUAUUUAUCGCUUUAUGGACUGCUAUUAUACUUUGUGGUACCAUACUUAUGCCUUUUCUCUCUUAUUUUGCAAGGUUUAUUUGAAGAGGGAGAAUACCGGCAGAUGGAAUUCUGGACUGGAAAAGGAGCAAGUCUGAGUCAUCUAUUCCGCGCAACUCCAAAUGCCGUGAAAAUCAACGUGAAAUUUUUUGGGAAUAUAUAAAAAAAUACUGGGCGAAAGAAGUGCCAGAGGGGAGCUGCCAGGGGCCCACAAGCCUGGUAGUUGCGGCCUGCCCCCGUGGUCGCGGCUAAAGGGCUUGUGGGCACCCUGGUGGCCCACUGGCCCCCCUCUUCUGCUAUAUGAAGGGUUUCGUCCGGAAAAAAAAUAGGGCGAAGCUUUUUCGAGGAGGCGCCGCCGCCACGAGGCGGAACUUGAGCAGAACCAGUCUAGAGCUCCGGCAGGACGAUCCUGCCAAGGAAACUUCCCUCCCGGAGGGGGAAAUCGUCGCCAUCGUCAUCACCAACACUCCUCUCAUCAGAGGGGACUCGUCUCCAUCAACAUCUUCAUCAGCACCAUCUCAUCUCCAAACCCUAGUUCAUCACUUGUAACCAAUCCCCGUCUCGCGACUCCGAUUGGUACUUAUAAGGUUGCUAUUAGUGUUGAUUACUCUUUGUAGUUGAUGCUAGUUGGAUUACUUGGUGGAAGAGUUUAUGUUCAGAUCCUUGAUGCUACUCAUUACCUCUCUGGUCAUGAAUAUGAUUAUGCUUUGUGAGUAGUUACUUUUGUUCCUAAGGACAUGGGAUAAGUCAUGCUAAUAGUAGUCAUGUGAAUUUGGUAUUCGUUUGGUAAUUUGAUAUGUUGUAUGUUGUUUUUCCUCUAGUGGUGUUAUGUGAACGUCGACUACAUAACACUUCACCAUUAUUUGGGCCUAGAGGAAGGAAUUAGGGAGUAGUAAGUAGAUGAUGGGUUGCUAGAGUGACAGAAGCUUAAACUCCAGUCUAUGUGUUGCUUCGUAAGGGGCUGAUUUGGAUCCACUAGUUUAAUGCUAUGGUUAGACUUUGUCUUAAUUCUUCUUUCGUAGUUGCGGAUGCUUGCAAGAGGGGUUAAUCAUAAGUGGGAUGCUUGUACAAGUAAGGGCAGUACCCAAGCGCCGGUCCACCCACAUGUCAAACUAUCAAAGUAACGAACGCGAAUCAUAUGAAUAUGAUGAAAACUAGCAUGACGAAAAUUCCCGUGUGUCCUCGGGAGCGUUUUUCCUGCUAUAAGACUUUGUUCAGGCUUGUCCCUUGCUACAAAAGGGAUUGGGCCAGUUUUCUGCACCGUUGCUAUUACUUGUUACUUGUUACUUUUCACCUGCUACGUUUCACCUCACUACACCAUCACUUGCUACCGCCACUUUCAGUGCUUGUAGUUAUUACCUUGCUGAAAACCGUUUAUCAGAGCCUUCUGCUCCUCGUUGGGUUCGACACUCUUACUUAUGGAAAGGACUACGAUUGAUCCCCUAUACUUGUGGGUCAUCAUUAAGGUCCUAGAAGUAUACGAAGUAUACAGAUUGCUACAGACUGGUCUGUUUUUGAUAGAUUCUGUUUUUGCUGAGUUGGUUGCUUGUUUUGAUGAAACUAUGGAUAUUAUCGGGGGUACUAGCCAUGGAAAAGUGAUAAUACAGUAAUCUAAUACCAAUAUAAAUAGAAAUCAAGAUUGCUACAGUACCUAAAGAGGUGGUAGUUUGUUUUCUUGUGCUAAUGAUAUCACGAGUUUCUGUUUAAGUUUUGUGUUGUGAAGUUUUCAAGUUUUGGGUGAUGUUCUCAUGGAAAAAGAGAUAAGGAGUGGAAAGAGCUCAAGCUUAGGGAUUCCCAAGGCAUCCCAAGCCAAAUUCAAGGACACGAAAAAGCCUAAGCUUGGGGAUGCCCCGGGAAGGCAUCCCCUCUUUCGUCUUCAAUCCAUCAGUAACAUUACUUGGAGCUAUAUUUUUAUUCACCACAUGAUAUGUGUUUUGCUUGGAGCGUCUUGUAUCGUAGGAGUCUUUUCUUUUUGUUGUGUCACAAUCAUCCUUGCUGCACACCUUUUGAGAGAGACAUGCACUCAUCGUGAAUUUGUUAGAAUGCUCUUCAUGCUUCACUUAUAUCUUUUGAGCUAGAUAAUUUUGCUCUAUGUGCUUCACUUAGAUCUUUUAGAGCACGGCGGUGCGUGACUUGGUAGUUAGUUUGUGCUAUGAAUGUAGAAAGAGAAGUUUGAUUCCUCUCAAUUGGUUUUGAGAUAUGUAUAUGGUAAUAUUAGAGUUAUGCUAGUAGGGUGUUGUGAAUCUAGAAAUACUUGUGUUGAACUUAGUGAUUCCCGUAGCAUGCACGUAUGGUGAACCGCUAUGUUAGGAAGUCGGAGCAUCAUUGAUUUAUUGAUUGCCAUCCUUUGUGUGGCUGUCGGGAUCGCGCAAUGGUUAAACACCUACCAACUCUUCCCCUAGGAGUAUGCGUUUAGCACCUUGUUUCGAUUACUAAUAAAAACUUUCGCAAUAAGUAUAUGAGUUCUUCAUGACUAAUGUGAGUCCAUGGUAUAGAUGCACUUUCACCUUCCACCAUUGCUAGUCUCUCUAGUACCGCGCAACUUUCGCCUGUGCACAAACCCACCAUAUACCUUCCUCAAAACAGCCACCAUACCUACCUAUGAUGGCAUUUUCAUAGCCAUUCCGAGAUAUAUUGCCAUGCAACUCCCACCGUUCCGUCUCAUGACUUGUGCCGUCAUUCUCAUAUUGUCAUUGCAUGAUCGUAAGAUAGCUAGCGAGAUGUUUCAACGUCAUACGCCAAGCUAGAUCGUUGCACAUCCCGGUACACUAACGGAGGCAUUUCAUAUAGAGUCAUCAUUGCUCUAAGUAUUGAGUUGUGAGUAAAUAAAAGUGUGAUGAUCAUCAUUAUUAGAGCAUUGUCCCAUGUGAGGAAAUAAAAAAAAAGAGGCCAAAGAUGCCCACCAAAAAAAUAAAAAAAAUAAAAGAGGCCAAAGAGCCCAAACAAAAAAUGAGAGAAAAAGAGAGAAGGGACAAUGCUACUAUCCUUUUCCACACUUGUGCUUCAAAAUAGCACCAUGUUCUUCAUGAUAGAGAGUCUCUUGUUUUGACACUUCCAUAUACUAGUGGGAAUUUUCAUUAUAUAACUUGGCUUCUAUAUUCCAAUGAUGGGCUUCCUCAAAAUUGCCCUAGGUCUUCGUGAGCAAGCAAGUUGGGUGCACACCCACUAGUUUUCCUUUUGAGAUUUCACACACUUAUAGCUCUUGUGCAUCCGUUGCUUGGAAAUCACUACUCAUUCACAUUUAUAUCUAUUUAUGGGCAUCUCCAUAGCCCAUUGAUACGCCGAGUCAAUGUGACCAUCUCCUUCCUUUUUGCCUCACAACCUCCAGCACACUCUAUUCCACCUAUUGUGUUAUAUCCAUGGAUCAUGCUCAUGUAUUGCGUGACAGUUGAAAAAGUUUGAGAAAGUAAGAGUGCAAAAACAAUUACUUGGCCAAUACCGGGGUUGUGCAUGAUUUUAAUUCGUUGUGUGGGGAUGAUGGAGCAUAGCCAGACUAUAUGAUUUUGUAGGGAUAACUUUCUUUGGCCUUGUUAUUUCGAAAGUUCAUGAUUACCUUGCUAGUUUGCUUGAAGUAUUAUUGUUUUCAUGUCAAUAGAAAACUAUUGUUUUGAAUCUUACGGAUCUGAACAUUCAUGCCACAAGAAAGAAGUUACAAAGGACACAUAUGUUAGGUAGCAUUCCACAUCAAAAAUUCGGUCUUUAUCACUUCCCUACUCGAGGACGAGCAGGAGUUAAGCUUGGGGAUGCUUGAUACGUCUCCAACGUAUCUAUAAUUUUUGAUGGUUCCAUGCUAUUAUCUUGUCAACCUUGGAUGUUUUAUAUGCAUGAAUAUGCUAUUUUAUAUCUUUUUUGGGACUAACCUAUUAACUCAGUGCCAAGUGCUAGUUUCUGUUUUUUCCGUGUUUUUGACCCUUUUUCAGACGGAGUCCAAAUGGAAUAAAACUUUACGACGAUUUUUUUGGACCAAAAGAGACCCCCGAAGGUUUGGAAGAAGGCCAGUAGAGCCACGAGGGAGUGACAAGCCCGGGAGGCGCGACCCCCCCUAGGCCGCACCUACUAGGCUUGUAACCUCCUCGUAGGCCCAACCAACGUAAUUCCACCGCCAUAAAUUCCUAUAAAUACAAAAAACCCCAAAAAGAAACCUAGAUCAGGAGUUCCGCCGCCGCAAGCCUCUGUAGCCACCAAAAACCAAUCCGGAGCCCGUUCCGGCACCCUGCCGGAGGGGGAAUCCAUCUCCGGUGGCCAUCUUCAUCAUCCCGGCGAUCUCCAUGACGAGGAGGGAGUAGUUCACCCUAGGGGCUGAGGGUAUGUACUAGUAGCUAUGUGUUUGAUCUCUCUCUCUCUCUCUCGUGUUCUUGAGAUGUCAUGAUCUCGAUGUACCGCGGGCUUUGCUACUAUAGUUGGAUCUUAUGAUGUUCUUUCCCCUCUCCCUUCUUGUAAUGAAUUGAGUUUUCCCUUUGCAGUUAUCUUAUCAGAUUGAGUCUUUGAGAACACUUGAUGUAUGUCUUGCACGUGUCUAUCUGUGGUGAUCAAACUGCGGGUUUGUGACAUUGGGAACCUAUGCAUAUGGGUUGGCACACGUUUGGAUAUUCAUGUGAGUACUUGAUGUAUGUUUAGGUGAUCAACUUGCGGGUUUCAUGACAUUGGGAACCUAUGCAUAUGGGUUGGCACACGUUUUGAAUCUCCGGUAGAAACUUUGGGGCAUUCUUUGAAGUUCUAUGUGUUGGUUGAAUAGAUGAUUCUGAGAUUGUGUGAUGCAUAUCAUAUAAUCAUGCCCACGGAUACUUGAGGUGACAAUGGAGUAUCUAGGUGACAUCAGGGUCUUGGUUGAUAUGUAUCUUAAGGUGUUAUUCUAGUACGAACUCUAUGAAAGAUUAAACAGAAAGAAUAGCUCCGUGCUAUUUUACUACGGACUCUUGAAUAGAUCGAUCAGAAAGAAUAACUUUGCGGUGAUUUCGUACCCGACAAUAAUCUCUUCGUUUGUUCUCCGCUAUUAGUGACUUUGGAGUGACUCUUUGUUGCAUGUUGAGGGCUAGUUAUAUGAUCCAAUUAUGUUAUCAUUGUUGAGAGAACUUCACUAGUGAAAAUAUGAACCCUAGGCCUUGUUUCCACGCAUUGCAAUACCGUUCGUGCUCACUUUUGUUACUAGUUACCUUGCUGUUUUUGUAAUUUCAGAUUACAAGAACCUAUAUCUACCAUCCAUAUUGCACUUGUAUCACCAUCUCUUCGUCGAACUAGUGCACCUAUACAACUUACCAUUGUAUUGGGUGUGUUGGACACAAGAGACUCUUUGUUAUUUGGUUGCAGGGUUGCUUGAGAGAGACCAUCUUCAUCCUACGCCUCCUGCGGAUUGAUAAACCUUAGGUCACCCACUUGAGGGAAAAUUGCUACUGUCCUACAAGCCUCUGCACUUGGAGGCCCAACAACGUAUACAAGGAGAAGGCUGCGUAGUAGACAUCAAGAGGCCCGAGAGGGGUGCAGCGGGUCUUAACUCCGAUGAGCAAUUCCGAUGAUCUAGGGGGUUAGUCAGGUGGUUAGGUGGUCCGGUUCGUACCUACUCAUUGCAGGGGUUCCAAUUUUGGCCUAAAGUCGCUCGGUCAUCGACGGAGGACCCGGGUCGACGGAGCGGGUCUAGCUGUGCAUAGCGACAGCAGAGUUCGUGUUGUGCGCUGCCUGGGGCGUGGCGACAGCAAACACGGCGCGUGUUGGGUUCCGGGACAUCCGGAGGCUUUGGGUGCAAUGGACGAUGCCGGACCGUGCGGGGCUGCAGCAGGGGAGACGCUAGUGGCCACGGCAGCCGCUGCAUAUGCUGCUGUCGGAGCUGACUUGCUCGGCCAGCUCACCACCGACGCUAGCAAGCGUCCAAGGUGAUGCGAGGCGCGUGGAUAAGCUCGGGCACACGAUCGAGCGGCUCUUGCAUCGAUACUGUGGAGAUUGUCACCGCUCAAGACUGAAAUUGAACUCUGAAUGUUGACUGAAUCAAAUUCAGAGAUAGAUAGUGGCAAAAGUGCAUGCUAGGUGUUCGACCAAAUGAAAAUGGCACGCACACAAAAACAAUUGAGCUGAAAUUUUUUGGGGUGGUCUCUCAUUGGGUGCAAAGACUGCCCACAAAUUUUUAGAAUUUUUGAAAUUGUUUUAGUCAGGUUUUUAUUCAAAACAGAGUCUUUUGGGUCAAACUUGAGUGAAAUGAAAUAGGUUUUCAGUGAAAUAGGUUGAGGGUACUAAGGCCUUCUAAGGGUAGGAGUUUGGGUCUCAAAUUCCUAAAGAAUCACUAAGUUCCUUUGUAAAUUUGCUGGGGUCAAAUUUGAUUAGGGAAAAUACUUUUAUUUGAAAUAAAAUACGAAAGGUGGUUAAACCCUUCUAAAGCUUUGGUAAAUCAAUGAAAAUGAAAACCUAGAUGUUAGAGAAGUGCCAAAGGGUCUAAAUCAGAAUGGAGGAAAAAGAAAUCUUGAGGAAUAUUGACAAUUGAACCUAUAGAAAUUAAAUUCCUAGGUUUUGCAAAAGAAUAAAAUAUUCUCCCAAACCAAUUCAUUUUGAGAGGAGGCCAAAAGAAUACUUUUUAAACCACGCAGGUUGAGAAAAGAAAGCUCCAAAAAAAUCUUAAGGAGGUUGUCAAAGAGCUUCAAAGCUUUUUAUUAAAGCAAAAAUUUGAAAAUCCAUUUUGAAAAUGGUUCAAAAAUCAAGAAAUCCAAAUUAAAAAAAUUUGGGUGUUACACAUGACUUUGAACCACAAUGACAUGGACGACAUCAGCAAAGAAUGGCAUGAUAAGACAAGGAGAGAAAUCUUGAAGAGGAGGAUGCUUGCGUGUUAUGGUGGCGAUGGUUUAUCCUCUGGAAUGGGAACCGAUGAUUUCGGCGUCGGAGUAGGAACAAGUAAAGGCAAUGGAUUCGGGGGCGACGAUGACCUCGUUUGUGCAGAAUGAAGAACGACCAUGAUGCAUGAAGUAAUUUUGCGUUUGUCUUUCCAACUAUGCUCUCAUUUCGCGUGCGAACUACUCUUUAUUGUUUAAAUUCAAACUCAUUUGCACGAAUCGCUUUCAAAUUCCAACUAUGUUUUAUUGCGAGGUUUUCCAGUUUGCGGGUCGCCGCGGUGGCGCCCGAAUAGACCUUGUGUUGAAGACCCGUAUAACAUCUUCUGCGAAUAUGCUUUUAUACGGGUCUAUUUUCGGGAGUGUGCACCUCUCCGCACCCGCGCUGGCCCGCAAAACAUGUUUUUCACGAACUGUAAAUGGCUUUUGCAGGUCGGCAUUAUACGGGGUGUGCUAGAGAUGCUCUUAGUGAGCUAUCUUGCAACAGGCUGCAAAACCCUAUAAACAGGAUGAAUACAAUUCACAUGGUGGGUUCUUCGCCCUAGGUGAGUGAGUGACACGGUAUAAAUGAGAGUGAUGUGUUCUCUCAACAAUCAUUUAGAGCAACUCCAAACGGACGACCCUCCAUUUGAAUCAUUGUGGACAUAGAAUUAGGGCACAACGAGACAAUUCGAACAGACACACGUCCGUUUUUAUCUUCCAGUGACCCAUUCCAGGUCGAAAUUUGGGCCGUAUUUGCGUCGGUGCGGAUACGGGACAGACGCCCGCGAUGCUCGCCCUACUCUUCCCCCUGGCCCGCUAGUCAGUGGCAGUAGGCUAGUCUCUUCUUCAUCUCCUUGCCUCAUACUCACCCGAAGCCUCUCGACUGCCUCAUCGCUCGCUGCCGCCACCCAGGCGUGCUACCUUGUCUCGGUCGGGCGCGAAGCUCUUCACUGUCUGACUUCUUCUACAACGCCCGCAAGUUGUUCAACGGUUUGCCCACAAAGUACAAAUGGACUUCGAUGAUGAGUUUUUUUCUACAAUGUUCUUUGUGAUUCAGGUGAUUCUUCGUUCGAUGAUGAGGAGAUUGUGGCAGCUGCAUUGAUCAUCCAUGACCACCUAAGCAUGGAGCGGCCGCUAUUUAGGGGCUCGAUACCGGGGCACACGCCCACACUGAAUCGAGACUGGGAGAGUGGCCAUUUCCUACUUUGGAACGACUAGUUCAAGAACCCUAGUCCGCUCUUCAAACAUCACAUGUUCCAAUGCUGUUUUCGUAUGUCUAGGCAUGUGUUCAACCGUAUUCGGGAGGGGGUCGUGUACGAUAACUAUUUUGAGUGCAAGAGGGAUGCCCUCGGAAAGAUUGGCUUCUCCUCUUAUCGGAAAUGCAUUGCUACCAUCUAGACGCUUGCAUACGGAGUUUCUAGUGAUCUCAUUGAUGAAUAUGUCCGGAUGAGUGAGUCUGCAUGCCUUGAGUCCAUGUAUAGGUUUUGCAAGGUUGUCAUAGCUGUGUUUGGGCCGGAGUACUUGAGAGAGCCAACUGUUGCUGAUACAACACGGCUCAUGGAGAUAAAUGCUAGCAGGGAAUUUCCGAGGAUGCUUGGUAGCAUAGAUUGUAUGCAUUGGAAGUGGGGAAAAUGCCCUUCUACUUGGCAAGGGUGGUAUAAGGGCCAUGUCCGAGCUUGCACUCUCAUGCUUGAGACCAUUGCUUCCCAAGAUCUCUGGAUUUGGCACUAUUUCUUUGGCAUGGCCGGAUCUCACAAUGAUAUCAGUGUGUGAUACACCCAUUUUGCAUCAUGAUUUCCUAUUGAUAUUUAUGUUAUUCUUGGUCAUUAUUCCACUUUUGGUACAAUUAUUAUGCAUUUUCUUUCAGAAUUUACAAGGUACAUCAUAUAGAGGAAAAUUGUCGGGGACUGGAAUUCUCAACCUGAAAACCAAGAAAAGGCUAAAAAUUCACUCGACUCCAAAUGACAUGAAACUGCAUGAGGAUUUUUUUCUGAAAUAUAUGUGAAUUUAUGGAGCCAAAACAUACCAGAGGGGGGCCACCUGUUGGUGCCAAGCCAACAGGGCGCGCCCACCCCCUAGGCCCGCCCUGAUGGAUUGGGACCACCUCCAAGGUUCCCUGGCCUCCCUCUUUUGCUAUACGAUGUGUUUUGACCUAUAAAAAAUAAGAAUAUACUUUCAGGAUGAAGCGCCACCAUCCUGAGGUGGAAACCUGGGUAGAGGCCCUUUUGCUCCCCGACAGAGCGAUUCUACGGGGAAACUUCUCUGUGGGAGGGGGAAAUCAAAGCUAUCGUCAUCACCAACGCUUACUCCUUCAUGGGAGAACCAAUCUUCAUCAACCUUUCAUGGGAGAUAUAACGUAUGUUGUACUAAAAACUCAUAGAUGACCUAUCGAUGUGUCUCAUAGUUGGGUCUGUCCAACUCACACCUUAUCUCGACUCGGAUUCGACUACGUCCACUCCGACCAGAUCUUUCUGAGUCCAUAUUAUCCGACUAGCAUCCAAUUAUGCAUGGUUAGUGAGACCAAACCAUCUGCCAUGUCAUAUGCUAAUAUGAAUGGUUGCGCAUUCACACAACACUUUCGAUUAGGGAUCAUUUAGGACAAUCAUCAUACAAAUGCAUAGUCUCACAAACAAGUCACGUACUUGUUGAUACACAUCAUUGACAAUGUCCAAUGACUAUCCUUAUUCAUAAACACAUAGGAAAUAUCAUCAUACAUGAUUGCCUCUAGGGCACAUCUCCAACACUCCGGUGUGGUGUCGUCAGAGGCCGUCUCCAUCAUAGGGCGUCCUCAUCGAGAGAUCUCGGGAGAGUUGGCCGACAUGCCGGUCUCGAUCCGCCUGCCACGAUGUCUCUGCCAGCUGUCCGCUAGGCCGGCCAUUUCAUGCUUCAUCUCUGCCAAAAGGCUCUCCCAUAGAGCUUUGCCGCCUAUAGUCAUGGUGGACGUGGUGCAAGGGAGGACGGUGGUAGGAGUAUGUGGAGCGGCUUGUGUUGUGGCGUGGAGUUAGCCGGGUGUGCCCGCCUUUAAACAACUAAUUUCGGUGAGGACAAAUGUCUGGGUGUGCCAAUGUGCGGCGCCGGUGUGGGUUUCUGGGCUCGCGAGCCUACUUAAUAGUGGCAUACGGAUGGAUGGGGCAGUGAAACAGGUGUGGUAGAUAUACGUCCCAUCUCGUCCAGUAACGUGUUUCCGGCAUUGAAUGGACGCGGACACCGGGGACGCGUCGCAGGUGGUGUCAUCGGUCGGCGCGUCGCUUUAAUACCGGAGGCAAUGAGAGGCCGCGUGUGCUGUGUGUCGGGUUCAAUGUGGACCGACCGCUCUACAACAACAGAAAUGCAGACAGAUGAUGUCGGCGGGAAUAAAUACAGAUGAGGGAGAAGGGUUUUUGGGUGGGCCAAUGUGGUCAGAAGAGAAAGUGGAUCUUGUCCGGAUGCCCGCAAAGUCUCCCUAAUUUGUCUUCGGUUUACGAGAGAAAGUAUGUCCAGAACACCUAACGGAUCGAUGCAGGACCGCGUUAGAUGACAUAACACGACCGAAGGCGAUCGGACGCUUGUGGACGGUCGAGUGUCGGCGUCGAAGAUGCCCUAAGCUAGGUGGAAACGUUGUUGCCUAACGAAUGAAUGGCUUUUCUAAGAAGGGGUUGCCUAGCGUCAAGCAGGGGAUCAAUAGAGUGUUGCCAACUUGAAUCUAUGGGCCAAGUAUUUUCUACUCCCUCCGUUUCAAAAUAUAAGACCUUUUAGAGAUUUCACUAGAAGACUACAUACAGAACAAAAUGAGUGAAUUUAUAUUUUAAAAUAUGUCUAUGUAUAUCCGUAUGUACAUCCGUAUUUUAAAAUAUAAGUCUUUAAAGAGGUUUCAUUAGUGGACUACAUACGGAUGUAUAUAGACAUAUCUUAGAAUGUAGAUUCACUCAUUUUGUUCCAUAUGUAGACUUCUAAUGAAAUAUCUUAAAAGACAUUUAGAAACGGAGGGAGUAGUUUAUAGUACAAUCUCUAAAAGGUCUUAUAUUAGGAACAGAGGGAGUAUACUUUAGUACUUUGUCCCUGUCACGCCCAAGAUGCGACCCUAUCCUCAAUUUGGCACGAAGGCCUCGUCACGGAUAGAAGCGCAUCUCGUCGUGUCUCAAGAAUGGAUAUCGUUACAAGUACAUGUACUGAAAAGGAGAGUUAUAUAAAGAGUUGGCUUACACUCGCCACAAGCUACAUCAGAGUCACAUCAGUACAUUACGUAAUCAUCAAGAGUAAGAGCAGGGUCCGACUACGGACGAAAACAAACGAGAAAAAUAAGAACGACGUCCAUCCUUGCUAUCCCAGGCUGCCGGCCUGGAACCCAUCCUAGAUCGAUGAAGAAGAAGAAGAAGCAACUCCAAAUGAACAAUCAACGCGCUCGCGUCACGUAACCUUUACCUGUACCUGCAACUGGCGUUGUAGUAAUCUGUGAGCCACAGGGGACUCAGCAAUCUCAUUUCCAAAGGUAUCAAGACUAGCAAAGCUUAAUGGGUGAGGUAUGGUUAAGUGGUGAGGUUGCAGCAGCGGCUAAGCAUAUAUUUGGUGGCUAAACUUACGAGUACAAAAAUAAAGAGGGGGAUGAUCUACGCAUAACGGACGUGCCUACUGAUGAUCAAAUGAAUGAUCCUGAACACCUACCUACGUCAGACAUAACCCCACCGUGUCCUCGAUCGGAGAAGGAACUCACGAAAGAGAUAGUCACGGUUACGCACACAGCUGGCAAGUUUACAAGAUAUUUCGUCAAAGGUAAAACUAAUCCAGCAAGGCCGCCCGACGUGUCGACGAUCCCGAUAGGAGUCGCGUACCUCGUUCUCAGGACACGGCGGAUGAGCUAGACGUCGGGAUCGCUAAACCUCCGGGUGACCAGAGGGGUGCCGGACAUCGCUCACGUGGGACCAACACUCAUGAGGAGCACUGGCCCGGGGGUUGAUUAAAUUAUCCUCGGGGUCCGGAAAGUCCCUAUGCAAUUUUAUUAGGUGCUUAGGCAAAUGUAGAACCAAAGUUGGGCCUUGCCAGACCAGCUUUAAUCUAAAACGGAUUAUCAAGGGGGUCCCCAUAACAACCCCGAUCGUGUUAAAAGCGCUCAUAUAUGGAACAUAACACCGGUAGCCGGAAACUAAGGGGGCAAAGGUGGAACAAAACACCAGGCUAGAAAGGCCGAGCCUUCCACCUUUUACCAAGUAUAUAGGUGCAUUAAAUUAAAUAGCAUUAAAUAUGGUGAUAUAACACGGAACCCAUGCUUUGCAUGGAAGCAACUGCACCUGCAACUAGCAACGCUAACACAGGGUAAAGCAAGCUGUAACAUAGCCAAUCACUGGUUUGCUAGGGUGAACAGGUUGAUGGUUUCAUGGCAUUGUAGAGAGGCUGAUAUUUAACAGGUGGUAGGCAACAAGACGUAAACGAUAGCAACGGUAAAACUAGCAUGGCAAUGAUAGUAAUGGUAUCUGGGGAAAUGAUCAUCUUGCCUGAGAUCCCGCUGGAAAGAAGAAUGCCUCCGUGAAGCAGACGAACCGACGUAGUCGAUCGGGUCCUCACAAUCCGACACGCUGCGGAACUCUAUCGAGACGAAGCAAACCGGAAACACAAAUCAUCACACGGUAUUCACCACAAGAUGCACAACACAUAUGAUGCAUGAGCAGCUGAAACCAUGCAAGUCACGGCAUGACAAAUCACACAAUCAAACACUACACAUUAAAUGAAGUUCAAUAUGCAACGGGUUGCAUAUUGACGAAAAUCCACACAUGAAUUAUUUAGUUCACUCCGAUUAUCUCCACGGCAAUAUUAAUGUUGUCAAACAUGCAGGGGGUGAAGCGGAAAUUAAACUACCUAUCUAGGCAUUUUAAGUGAGGUCGGAAAUGACAUUAAGCACCUCCGAAACGACCUCGCAUGUUAAUUUACAAUUCUGUCCAGAUCUGAAUUAACACAUUUAAUUAGUUGUUAAACAGAAAAACAAUUAGGUUCUCGUGAUUCUACGCUUCAAGGCAAGCAAUCUACACAUAAAGAACAUCUCCAACGGAGCUACGGUUCAAAAGAUACAAGCACCGCAAGAUAUGAUGGCAUGAAUGCAAUAUGUGUGCAACGGCGGUCACGAGCACUUCAAAACAUACAUCACGCAAGAUAAAAUGAAACUACACGAGAUUCUAAGCAACUUUCAUGUAGGACACGAUCAAAACGGAGCUACGGUUCGAAAACUACGAGCAAAACAAGAAAACACUACAAUCUGCCAAAAUCAGCCAGAUAGCAUUUUCUACGCCCCACAACUACGGCUACACAACUCCGAUUUGCUCAAGCAAGGCAUGGCACGGAAGAGGGCAAGAAGCACUACUACAAACUACUAACAACAACUAACAUGGCAGCAAGGAGCACUAGGAAAAGAAGACACAAAAUGGCAUCUCACGCACUAUUUCAGACUUAGAGAAAAUAACACCUCAUGAAAGUGCAGUUUUCAGCCUGAAGGCAUAUUGACAGCAGCAAAAACCUAAGCUACAGGUCUCCAAAUGGCAUGAAACUUCACAGCAUGCUAGAGAAACACAAGGGGUACAACUAACUCCAUUGGACCAACCCCAAAAGAGCUACAUAUCACAAGAUGCAAGCAAGACAAGACAGCAACAAAAUAUAACAGAUUCCAGACUUAGAAAUAUUUCAGCUCCUCCAAAUCAGCACUAUUUCUAGCAACUUGGGAGCAAGCAAACAACACCAAAACAUGCAUUUCUAUUGCAACCAAAAAUACCAGGGACUAAACAAAACAUCUAAGAAGAAUUCCCUAGUUGACAACUAAUUCAAACGAGGCCCGGAAUAAAUCCUACGAAUUAAACAAAAGGGCAUCACGGCAAAAUAUCGCGCCAAUUAACUUACUCAAAAGCUAAAACUAAUUGCACAGAAAAAUCCAUGGGAUUUUUCUACCCCGGAAACAUAUAGAAUAUGUGGGGUUUGCAACAAAAAAUAAUGCCACACAUUAAUGCGAGAUAAAACCUAUAUACGGGAAAAUAAACUACCGGCAAAAUCCUACACGCAAAAAAACAAAUGACCGCUCUAAAAUGUAUGAAAAAAUGGUCCCUAAAGCAUGGGCAUUUCUAAUGCGGCAUACGGGCAAUCCGGCCACGCGUGAAAAAUAAACUACGGGCAAAAACAAUAUAAACAACACACAUAUUCUAGGCAUACGGCGCGUUAACGACGUCAAAUAAAUAUGCAUGUUUCAAAAUCAUAUUCUAUGCGCGAAACUACCACAAAACCAUGUAUAAAACGCGUCGUUCCGACUUACGAUUUAGAAUCUACGGGCAUUUAAAUAUAUCUAUUUUUCUGGAAUUUAAAAAUUCCGAAAAUCCCUAAAAAGGAAAAAUAACUACCGGCCUAACUGUGGGCGUAAAAUAACUAUCACGUAUCUAUGCAUAAAUAGAGAGGCUGGGGGGACUGAUCACCUUGGUGGGCCUGGCCCAUGUCGCGGGGGAGGAGGUCGAGGCUUGGAGAGGGGGAUGGGCCUCGGGGCAGAGGCGGUUGGGGAGCUAGCCGACUGGGCCUUGGUGGCCUGACGCGGGAGUGGGUCGAGCUGUCAAGGCGACGUGGGCCGGCGCUGGCGGACAGGAGGCCGAACUGGGCCGAGGCGGUAGCCACAGGGGCCGGCUGCUCGCGCCCUGGAGGAGGCCGGCUGGAGCAGCGAACUGGGCCGGAUCUGGCCUCGCCAGACCAGGGCGAGCUGGGCCGAGCGGGAUGCCGAGGCUGCUGGGGCGCGUAGCUGGGCCGCAACGGAGGAGGCAGGCCCACGCGCGGUCAACCGCUCGCGAACGGGCGUCACCGCGUCUUCCUCCUCGAUCUAGAGGAGACGGCGGCGCUGAAGCUUCUACGGCGGGCGGCGGCAGGGGUUCCGGCGCGGGGGGANNNNNNNGGCUGCGCUGAAGCUUCUACGGCGGCCGGCGGCAGGGCUUCCGGCGAGGGGGAAGCCGCCCCGGGAGCGCGGCGAGGCAGGGCUGGCCGGAGGGGACCGGAUCCGGGGGUUCCCGGCCCGGAUUUGGCGACAGGAGGCGGCGGCAGUGCUCGGGUUGGGCGAGGCUCCGGCGGCGGCGCUGCGUUCCCACGGGACCGGCGGCGGAGGAAGACUGGCAGCGGGGCACGGGAAAGGCAGGAGGCGGCCGGGGACGACGCGGGCGGCGGAGGAAGGCGGCGCUACGGCCGGCUGGACUCCGGCGAGGCAGCAAGGGGAGGCUGACAUGGGAGGAGGUAGGGGGGCAUGGGAAGAUCCGGUCCGUCGGAUCUUGGAUCUGACAGUCCAGAUCGUCCAGAUCGGAUCUGGAGGAGGAGGAGGAGGAGGAGAUAGUGGUGGGAGGAGAAAAUGGCUCGGUUAGGGUUUCGGGAAUUGCACGCUUUUCGAGGCAGGGUUAGGGGAGACCUAAAAAGGAAGGGGAGGUGUGUUUAAAUAGGAAAGGGGGGCUAGGUUAACCGGAAUCGCGUUCCGGAUCCAACCGCGGGGUCGGAUUCGGACGAUUCCGAACACGGGUAUGGGCACGUGGCCGUGUAGAGGGGAUAUCCGGAGACGAGAGGGAGAACGGGUGACGCGGCACGAAUUUUAAAACACCGACAGAUGUCCGACGUAGACCGAAUACGGUGCCACUAUGGUCAACCGUUCGGGUACCAGAUGGUCUCCGAUCGCGACGAAAUUCAACAAGCGGCCUAGCGAUAACUAAUUAAGACCGCACGUCAAGCUUCGACUCAAUCAGAGAAAGUUUUAAACGCACUUUAAAAACAGGGUUUCGACGGUGCCGCAGGCGCGUGCGAGUGCGGUCGGGCUCAGAACGGACGACGACGCGAACCAGCAACUAACAAUGGAUGCAAGUUUUGAAAACGGGCGGCAACGGAGACGCCGAUGCAAUGCAGAUGAUGCGCAUGAUGCGAUGAUGAUGCGGCAACUGAAAAUACCCACACGACGAAAACGAAAAGAAAAGGGGAAGCUUCUGGAACGUCGGCAUCAGGCUGUCACAACUCUCCUACACUACAAGAGGAUCUCGCCCCGAGAUCCAAGAAUGAAAGGGGGAGAGGAUGAGAAAGAACAAGAGGUAAAAACUUAGUCGCUUCUUUGACAACGAGUGAAAACAGCAAUCCUUGAAGGUUGCAAGGAGAUGAGGACUGAUAUGAGAAGGAAGCAAGAAUUCACGGAAAAUUUCGGCAGCACUUCGGUAGGAAAAUGGGACAAAAAAUUCGAAACGGUAGGAGAAUUAGACAAUAUUCACAACCAACAAGUAAAUAAAGCAGGGGAACACCAAGAUCUUGAUAGAACAACAAGAUAGACCCAAAAAAAGCAAUAUCACAAUGCCUCCGAAACAAUAGAAUAGGAACUAGCUCAAGCAGAAGAAGAGAAUGAAGAGAGGAUGACAACUACCAUCACAAUAGAAUUUAAGAGCCUCCGGACAAAGAAUUGACGUAGCGGUUGGAAACCCAACAAUAGAAACAAGAUACUAGUGGGCUUAAGAAAAUCAUCCCAACAAAUAAGAGGUGACAACCAACCACUAAAAGAAACAAGGAUUGAUUGGGAGAAGCAAGAUAUGAACAAACUUACACCAAGAGGAUGCAUUGAGACCUUAGAUUAAUGACAAGCACCAUGAUAGCAUAAUCCAUAGGAAAAGCUAUAGGUGAAAUCCACACCAAGAUAGCUCAAUGAAGAAAUCCUGGGUUGAAAAUACCCCAUGAUCAAAGAAUUGGUGGGUUUAAUUAUCUCAUUCUUGAAAGGAAAACUCUUCGAGGCUCCUACACUAUCAAGAAGGCUAUAAUACCACCUCAAAGGAUAAAGGAAGAACAAUUGCACAUAGAAACGCAAGAGAACGGAUACUUGAGGUUCUACAACAAGAAUCUUGAAGAACACUUUGAGAAUGAAUUGAUAUGAAGAUAACCACCAAGAAGGACCUCCGUAUGAAUGAAUGAUGCAAAGAUAUGAAGGUAGAAAGAAUAAGAUUAUGAGCUUGCCAAGAUUUAGAUGAAGCUUCACAACGAGAUACUUGAUAAAACUUUGAACUCCGGAAAAGAAAGAUAAGCACUUGAGAAAAGAAUUGAUAUCAUGAGCCACUCCGGGAGAAGAAUUCAGAUUACUAUGAAGAACAAUAAGAAUUAUGUUAUGCUUAUCCUUCAUCAAGUUAAAUUGAUGACAAGCAACGGAUCUAGCAUACAACUUAUUCUUGUGAAAAGAUUGAGGAGAGAUAUGAGCACAAACUAGAAGAAUGUAGCAAGAAACACUGGUAAGAAUUCACAAUUGAAUGGGAACACCACGAAUUAAUGGAGAACAUGAUAAUGAAGAGCUCAUGAGCCACCUGAGAGAAAACUUGAACAAGGCACCGGAUAAUCAAGAGAUGAAUGAAGAGACAACAGUUGAGAAGAAUUGAGGAUGAAAGCUGAAAGCUGAGAACGAAGAAUCUUCUAAAAUGAUGGCCUUCGGAGGAACGAGAAAUAAAAACAACUCAGAAAUGCACCGGGUAGCGAGAAACGAAUACAAAUGAUUGAUAACAACUAAGAUGAUGGCACAAAGCUGAAAUGACGAAUAUCCAAGAGAAUGAACCAUGAUUGAGAGAAACACUCCUCCGAAUUUGCAAGCUGAGAAUGAUGACGAGGAACAACAGCAAGAAUAGCUGAGACACUCCGGAAUAAAGAAGAAUGCAAGGUUGAGCCAAAUAUGAGAAUUAAUUCGAAUAGAUCUUGGAGAAGGGAUAUGACUGAUGAAAAUGAUACUUACGUCACAGUUGAAAAGAAUUAAGGAUCUACGGAAAAGAUUAAAGAGCCAGGUAAGAUCCUGGGAAAACCUGUGGGUUAUGGGCCCACUCAAAGAAACCACCAUUAGAAAAUAUUGCUAGACCGAGAGAUAUUGCACCGGUACAAAUGAAAACUAGAUGAGGUUGAGAACCUCGAAAUAAUUAAAAGAAUUGAAAACUCGAGACUCAGAGAUAUCUUCAGCACUCCGGAUGAAAAGAGAGGAAUGAAUAACCAAGAUAGCCUGAAAGAAUCUCCAACAUGAAAAAGAAUUACAAGGAUAAUUAGGAUAUGAUGAACACGGAUGGCCGAAUUAAAUUCACCGGUAAGGAUGACAGAAUGAACAAAGAUGAACACGAAGCUCCUGAGAAUCUUCACAAUGAAUCACCGGAUAAGAGAGAAAAGAACACAUAGCGGAAGCACAAUGAAAAGAAACUCUUGGGUGGAAAUUGAAUCACUGAGAAAAGGGCGGGAGNNNNNNNNNNNNNNNNNNNNNNNNNNNNNNNNNNNNNNNNNNNNNNNCGCAGAAAAAGGGGGGGGAGGGGGGGGAAAAACAAAGACAACUUGGGCUAGAUGAGAUGAACUCCGGAAUAAACGAGAGAAAGAUCUUGCAAAUUAGAGAGGGUUGAAUUCACUUGGAGAGAAACACAUCGGUUGAAAAGAGUUGAUACGAUGACUCCGGUUGAAAGGAAUUGAUAAGACAACUGAUUAAGCAAAAGGAUUUGCAUUCUCACAUAAAAAUAUGAGAACACCUCUUAAAAAGAUCUGAAAUCACCACUUGACAUCAAAGCAACUGAAUUACCAUAUUUCAACAAAACAAAGGGUGCGGCUUAUGAAACAAGCCAGAACAAACUCAUCAGAAAAAUUUCCGUUCGAUAUUUUUGUGGACAGGAUCGCACGGGCACGAUUUUACAGUAGCCAUCAAGUGCAAGGCAGUGCACCUGACAUACGAAGCGUCCCCGAGUCGUAGCAAGCUACAAGGACUCUUUAAGACACAACGUGUACCGCUGUAAGUCGACCGUGAACAAACGAAUCCACUAGAUGUCGAACCCCAACCUAACAUCAUGCAUUUGUUGGAAGAAUGUCCUAUAAGUAACUACUUGAAUUCCCACCUAUGAAUUCCCGAAAUAUCUGGUCAUGCAAUCUGGUACACGGAUACAAGGAGUAAUAUCACACAACUCCUAUACUAACCCGUCACUUGUAUCACAUCCGUCAACACACGACCAGAAUCUCGGACCUUCAUCUACAACAGACCCUCGUGAUCACAACGAUACAAAGUAUGGCAGUACUCCCGAACAAUCUACACCAGUACUGGGGACAUCGGGGUUAUCUCGCCACUACUAGUAUUGAAGCAAUUACGAACAUCCUUCGUCCUGAGAUACUAAGAAAUCUGAAUGAUAACGAUGUGCUCAAGAAUCCCCUGGAGCUCAACUCCCCGGAAGAAGAUCAAGUCAGAUAGGAGGCACCAAGACAGAACUCCGUCACAUCGGCAUCAUAUAGAUUCCAAGAAUAUCCGCGUGAUCCUAAAAAAAAUUGAGUGAGAAGAGGAGUAUAAUUAAAAUAUUACGUCAAGAUUCCUCACCGGAGCAUAGAAGAGGAGAAAAAAGAAUCCUACUCUCCGAUAUAUAACUAAGACUCAAAUAGUUUAUCACUAGACUCGACUCGGCCAAGUUCGAUCAAUCAAGGGGGCUCCUAGGUCGGUACGGCUCUGAUACCAACUUGUCACGCCCAAGAUGCGACCCUAUCCUCAAUUUGGCACGAAGGCCUCGUCAGGGAUAGAAGCGCAUCUCGUCGUGUCGCAAGAAUGGAUAUCGUUACAAGUACAUGUAUUGAAAAGGAGAGUUAUAUAAAGAGUUGGCUUACACUCGCCACAAGCUACAUGAGAGUCACAUCAGUACAUUACGUAAUCAUCAAGAGUAAGAGCAGGGUCCGACUACGGACGAAAACAAACGAGAAAAAUAAGAACGACGUCCAUCCUUGCUAUCCCAGGUUGCCGGCCUGGAACCCAUCCUAGAUCGAUGAAGAAGAAGAAGAAGAAGCAACUCCAAAUGAACAAUCAACGCGCUCGUGUCACGUAACCAUUACCUGUACCUGCAACUGGCGUUGUAGUAAUCUGUGAACCACAGGGGACUCAGCAAUCUCAUUUCCAAAGGUAUCAAGACUAGCAAAGCUUAAUGGGUGAGGUAUGGUUAAGUGGUGAGGUUGCAGCAGCGGCUAAGCAUAUAUUUGGUGGCUAAACUUACGAGUACAAAAAUAAAGAGGGGGAUGAUCUACGCAUAACGGACGUGCCUACUGAUGAUCAAAUGAAUGAUCCUGAACACCUACCUACGUCAGACAUAACCCCACCGUGUCCUCGAUCGGAGAAGGAACUCACGAAAGAGAUAGUCACGGUUACGCACACAGUUGGCAAGUUUUAAUUAAGUUAACUUUAAGUUAUCUAGAACCAGUGUUAAACAAAGUUUCCACGUUGCCACAUAACCGCGGGCACGGCUUUCCGAAAGACAUACCCCUGCAGGGGUGCUNNNNNNNNNNNNNNNNNNNNNNNNNNNNNNNNNNNNNNNNNNNNNNNNNNNNNNNNNNNNNNNNNNNNNNNNNNNNNNNNNNNNNNNNNNNNNNNNNNNNNNNNNNNNNNNNNNNNNNNNNNNNNNNNNNNNNNNNNNNNNNNNNNNNNNNNNNNNNNNNNNNNNNNNNNNNNNNNNNNNNNNNNNNNNNNNNNNNNNNNNNNNNNNNNNNNNNNNNNNNNNNNNNNNNNNNNNNNNNNNNNNNNNNNNNNNNNNNNNNNNNNNNNNNNNNNNNNNNNNNNNNNNNNNNNNNNNNNNNNNNNNNNNNNNNNNNNNNNNNNNNNNNNNNNNNNNNNNNNNNNNNNNNNNNNNNNNNNNNNNNNNNNNNNNNNNNNNNNNNNNNNNNNNNNNNNNNNNNNNNNNNNNNNNNNNNNNNNNNNNNNNNNNNNNNNNNNNNNNNNNNNNNNNNNNNNNNNNNNNNNNNNNNNNNNNNNNNNNNNNNNNNNNNNNNNNNNNNNNNNNNNNNNNNNNNNNNNNNNNNNNNNNNNNNNNNNNNNNNNNNNNNNNNNNNNNNNNNNNNNNNNNNNNNNNNNNNNNNNNNNNNNNNNNNNNNNNNNNNNNNNNNNNNNNNNNNNNNNNNNNNNNNNNNNNNNNNNNNNNNNNNNNNNNNNNNNNNNNNNNNNNNNNNNNNNNNNNNNNNNNNNNNNNNNNNNNNNNNNNNNNNNNNNNNNNNNNNNNNNNNNNNNNNNNNNNNNNNNNNNNNNNNNNNNNNNNNNNNNNNNNNNNNNNNNNNNNNNNNNNNNNNNNNNNNNNNNNNNNNNNNNNNNNNNNNNNNNNNNNNNNNNNNNNNNNNNNNNNNNNNNNNNNNNNNNNNNNNNNNNNNNNNNNNNNNNNNNNNNNNNNNNNNNNNNNNNNNNNNNNNNNNNNNNNNNNNNNNNNNNNNNNNNNNNNNNNNNNNNNNNNNNNNNNNNNNNNNNNNNNNNNNNNNNNNNNNNNNNNNNNNNNNNNNNNNNNNNNNNNNNNNNNNNNNNNNNNNNNNNNNNNNNNNNNNNNNNNNNNNNNNNNNNNNNNNNNNNNNNNNNNNNNNNNNNNNNNNNNNNNNNNNNNNNNNNNNNNNNNNNNNNNNNNNNNNNNNNNNNNNNNNNNNNNNNNNNNNNNNNNNNNNNNNNNNNNNNNNNNNNNNNNNNNNNNNNNNNNNNNNNNNNNNNNNNNNNNNNNNNNNNNNNNNNNNNNNNNNNNNNNNNNNNNNNNNNNNNNNNNNNNNNNNNNNNNNNNNNNNNNNNNNNNNNNNNNNNNNNNNNNNNNNNNNNNNNNNNNNNNNNNNNNNNNNNNNNNNNNNNNNNNNNNNNNNNNNNNNNNNNNNNNNNNNNNNNNNNNNNNNNNNNNNNNNNNNNNNNNNNNNNNNNNNNNNNNNNNNNNNNNNNNNNNNNNNNNNNNNNNNNNNNNNNNNNNNNNNNNNNNNNNNNNNNNNNNNNNNNNNNNNNNNNNNNNNNNNNNNNNNNNNNNNNNNNNNNNNNNNNNNNNNNNNNNNNNNNNNNNNNNNNNNNNNNNNNNNNNNNNNNNNNNNNNNNNNNNNNNNNNNNNNNNNNNNNNNNNNNNNNNNNNNNNNNNNNNNNNNNNNNNNNNNNNNNNNNNNNNNNNNNNNNNNNNNNNNNNNNNNNNNNNNNNNNNNNNNNNNNNNNNNNNNNNNNNNNNNNNNNNNNNNNNNNNNNNNNNNNNNNNNNNNNNNNNNNNNNNNNNNNNNNNNNNNNNNNNNNNNNNNNNNNNNNNNNNNNNNNNNNNNNNNNNNNNNNNNNNNNNNNNNNNNNNNNNNNNNNNNNNNNNNNNNNNNNNNNNNNNNNNNNNNNNNNNNNNNNNNNNNNNNNNNNNNNNNNNNNNNNNNNNNNNNNNNNNNNNNNNNNNNNNNNNNNNNNNNNNNNNNNNNNNNNNNNNNNNNNNNNNNNNNNNNNNNNNNNNNNNNNNNNNNNNNNNNNNNNNNNNNNNNNNNNNNNNNNNNNNNNNNNNNNNNNNNNNNNNNNNNNNNNNNNNNNNNNNNNNNNNNNNNNNNNNNNNNNNNNNNNNNNNNNNNNNNNNNNNNNNNNNNNNNNNNNNNNNNNNNNNNNNNNNNNNNNNNNNNNNNNNNNNNNNNNNNNNNNNNNNNNNNNNNNNNNNNNNNNNNNNNNNNNNNNNNNNNNNNNNNNNNNNNNNNNNGGGGGCGGCGGAGGAAGGCGGCGCUACGGCCGGCUGGACUCCGGCGAGGCAGCACGGGGAGGCUGACAUGGGAGGAGCUCGGGAGGAGGAGAGUCACGGGCAUGGGAAGAUCCGGUCCGUCGGAUCUUGGAUCUGACGGUCCAGAUCGUCCAGAUCGGAUCUGGAGGAGGAGGAGAUAGUGGUGGGAGGAGAAAAUGGCUCGGUUAGGGUUUCGGGAAUUGCACGCUUUUCGAGGCAGGGUUAGGGGAGACCUAAAAAGGAAGGGGAGGGGUGUUUAAAUAGGAAAGGGGGGCUAGGUUAACCAGAAUCGCGUUCCGGAUCCAACCGCGGGGUCGGAUUCGGACGAUUCCGAACGCGGGUAUGGGCACGCGGCCGUGUAGAGGGGAUAUCCGGAGACGAGAGGGAGAACGGGCGGCGCGGCACGAAUUUUAAACACCGACAGACGUCCGACGGUAGACCGAAUACGGUGCCGCUACGGUCGACCAUUCGGGUACCAUACGGUCUCCGAUCGCGACGAAAUUUGACAGGCGGUCUAGCGAUAACUAAUUAAGACCGCAUCUCCGAUCGUGACGAAAUUCGACAGGCGGCCUAGCGAUAACUAAUUAAGACCGCACGUCAAGCUUCGACUCAAUCAGAGAAAGUUUUAAACGCACUUUAAAAACAGGGUUUCGACGGUGCCGCACGCGCGUGCGAGUGCGGUCGGGCUUAGAACGGACGACGACGCGAACCGGCAACUAACAAUGGAUGCAAGUUUUGAAAACGGGCGGCAACGGAGACGCCGAUGCAAUGCAGAUGAUGUGCAUGAUGCGAUGAUGAUGCGGCAACUGAAAAUACCCACACGACGAAAACGAAAAGAAAAGGGGAAGCUUCUGGAACGUCGGCAUCAGGCUGUCACAACUCUCCUAGAAAAAAAAGAGGAAGCUUCUGAAACGUCGGCAUCGGGCUGUCACAGUCCCAGAGUUAUUACCUUUGUAUUUCUUCGUUUUUCUCCGAGGACUCGCUAGCGCCAUUGCAUGAGUUAAAAAGACUAGGCCCUAAAAAGGAGUUAAAAGACCAGAUGGUGUGUGUUAAAAAUUGUAUCAGGUUUUGUAAAAAGUGCUCCUUCUGUAUUAAAAAUACAUGCAUCAAUUUGUUUUUAAAACACACAAUUUCAGGAAAAAAAUCACGACUUUUCCAGCAAAACAUUCACACAUGUAUAAAUUUUUUGAUGACAUUUAAGAGACGUUCAUACCAUUCAACCAAGAUGUUCACAAUAUGUAAAAAAAAAUCUGGCCAUUUAAAAAAUCAUAGUAUGUAAAAAUAUAUUUGUAUCAUUUAAAAAAAAUGUCACAUGUAUAAAACUGCUUAUGAUAACAGGACACACGCAUUGAAAAAAAAUCACGAAAUAUAAAAACUUGUUUCUACACUAAAACUAGAAGUGUAGCAACAAGCAUCAGCCCAUGUUUGUGCACUAAAACUACUAGUAAGUUACACGUACAACGCACAUUUCAACUAAUAUUACUGGUUGCUGUGAGAAUUAACAUGUUCAGAAAGAUACUUCAAUGAUACUAUUAUUUUAGAAAUAAACUGUAACUUAAAUGAGCUUUAAGAUAUGCUACAGUUUAACCCCCACACUAUUGUGAAGACACAACUAAUUAUCCUAGUAUUUCUUAUGUGUUUACGCAAUUCUUAACGUUGCAAAAGCUUACAAGGUGCAAUGCAUGUCUAGAAUGUUAUAAAUUAUAUUUGCAGGUGCAUGAAAAUUUUUAGAAACAUAACGAAAAUUUAGGAAACCUCAAGACACCAUAUAAAAACUACAAGAUAGAAAUCUUUCCAAUGCCGUAAUGGUUCAUUAAUUAGAUGUAGCUUUUCAUAGUUCAUGUAACACAUAUAAAUCACAAAUGUCGACAGGAAAAAAAAUCUCUAAGUCCACAUUUUUUCUCAGGUAGAGAAAACAUAGUUGUUAUGAGACAAUUGCUCUCCUAUUCUACACGAUGAGAAAACCAUGAGCUGAUGAGUAACCAAAAAUAAUAGUGGGAAAAUAUGUACUCACGCUACUUAAAUAUUUUUUAUCACGCGUACAAUUGAAUUAGUACUCAAGGUAAAUAUCACUCUGAGGUGCCAAAUUCGCUAUACAGAAAAAUGUUGCAAUGGCCAAUGGGAAGUAUUUGUUAAGUUCCUUCAAGACACGGCAAAAAAUAAAAGCUUAAUUCCAAGAGUGGUAGCAGGAUUAUCUAGGGCAGGUGAUGUAGGUUCAUUGCACAUUUGUUAUGAUAAUUUUCAAGUUCGCUGACCGAAUAUCUUUAUCCUGGAGUCUUUUGAAGACUGUACACUAUUGCACACUAUAGCAUGAUACUACUUCAGCCAUUUUUUGCUUUUGCUUAAAACCAAGCCCCUAACUUCUUCAUAUCUCUGUUCAAGGAUGUACCAGAGCACCCCAUUUUUAUAUUAGCUUUGGUAACAAUAUAAAUGAACUGAACAUACCAACAAUUAAACAAGAAUUUAGUAAUAUUACAUCAUUCAAAUAGUGUUUGCACCACUUUUAAUUAAUAAUUUUAUGAAAAGAAUAGUACAUGGCACAAGAAAAAAGAAUGAGAAUCAAUCAGCACUGGUAUGCAAAUGGAAUGAUCUCUCAUCAUUGGACUAUGCAACACAGGAACACUUGAACUGGGGCGGAGCAAGCGUGCGGGGCGAGGGGUGGUUAAUGCGCGGACGAGGUGUGGGGGCGAGACGAUGUGCGAGAUUAGCGAGCCUUUCGAUUAGCGCUAACAAAGAUUCGUUAGUUUCGUUAACAAAGAUUUUAGAGCAUUGAUUUAGAUAUUAGACGGCCUAGAUGUAGAGUUGGAUCUGCCCUCUCGUGCUUUUAAUAGUAGAGAUACGUGUAGCAGCAUCGGCCCAUGUUUGUGCACUCCUUCGAUCAUGUGUACGUAGGUGCAGCCAUGAGAGCUUUUCCCAACGCUCCCGCAUGCAUGAUACUAUAAGAUACUUCCUCUCUUUCUAAAUAUAAGUCUUUUAAGAGAUUUCACUAAAUGACUACAUACGAAGCAAAAUGAGUUAAUCUAUACUCUAAAGUAUGUCUAUAUACAUCCGUAUGUAGUUCCCUACUAAAAACUUUUAAAAGACUUAUAUUUACGAACGGAGGGAGUAUGUAUCAAUUAUUAUCACAGAAAUAAAACUCCGAACAAAUAAUUCUUGAUGUGAUUUUAUUUUUAAAGAGCGAGCCGUUAAUGACGAGACUUAUAGUUUAGCUAUAUAUAAGCACUCUCUCACUCUCUGUCCGGAAUGCCACGUUUGAUUGGUCAAUCCUCACGAUUAUGUCCCGCCUCAUGUGAACUAUCAUCAGCUUAGCUUUUUUCUAAAAAAAAAAGAAUAUUCCCCCGCGGAUUCUCAACAAAAAUCGUUCCCCCGCAGCUUCCGGCAUGGCCCUCGCCUCCUACCGACCAACCACGAGGCACCAGCGACCAGGCGAUGGUACGAAAUAAACAACCCCGUAAAAUAUCCCGUGGGCCCCCGUCUGGACCCACCGACCAGUCCCACGCCCGCCGGUGGAGGAGUAGGAUGGGGGGUAGGACGCGGCCUGGUCGUGUCGGGGCAGGACCGGUCUGGUCAGUCAUUCGGCCCCUUUUGCGGCCCACGCGGAAGAUUCGCCGGGCGCGGGCCCACCGGUCGAUUCGCCUCGCCCCGCGCCCUCGCUCCGGAUUGCUGAGCAGAGAGACCGCAGACCGGGGACGGCGGUCAUCACUCGCGUGAGUCGCUGUGGAUCGCCUCUCGCUGUUGGGUGGUCGCGGUCCAUUGGGCGGAGCGGACCUGCAGGUGGGGGCCGUUGCGGCACGGGCCGCUCGGGCUGUUUAAAAUUCCGGUUCGGGCCGGGGAAGGCGAAAAAGAAAGGGAAGAAACGCGCACGUGCUUUGCUUGCGGAACGGUGCUUGCUGCCGGAUGCGUGCGUGGCUGGUCAUUUUGUAAUUAUUGCGCAUGUUCCUUCUGAAAUACUCGUACGGAGUACUGCUCCCCCUGGACCGUGCUGGCUACGGCCGCGAUCCGCAGCACAGCUCACAUGAACUCAGACGGUUGCCUUGAUAUUUCAGAGCCACGAUCCACACGGCAUAGUGUGCAUGAUCACACACUGUUGCAAAUGAUUGAGAAUGUAUUUGGUCAUGGGAUAUCCGGCCCUGUCAGACCGACCUGACCCGACCCGGUCCGGUCUUGCCUGUGGGGCGGGUCUGGACCUAAAUUUUGAGCCCGAAGCACACGUCGGGCCGGGCCUAGGAUUGUCAUUUUUUUACUUUAGGAAAGGGGCCCAGCCCGAGGCCCGAUGGGAUUUCUUACUGCUGGGCUGGGCUUGGACCUAAAAACCUGGCCCAACAACCGGGCCGGGCCGUGCUCGGACCUAGGUUUUUUACAUUGGGCUUGGUUAGACCCGGCCCGACCCGGUCUUGCCUGCUGGUCGGGCUUGAGCCUGAAUUUUGAGCCCGAAGCACACGUCGGGCCGGGCCUAGGCUUGCCAUUUUUGUAAUUUAUGAAAGGGGCCCGGGCCAAGGCCCGAUGGGAUUUCUUAGUGCUGGGCCGGGCUUGGGCCUAGGUUUUUUACGUCGGGUUUGGUCAGGUCCGGCCCGAAACCCGACCCGGCCCGAUGGAUGGCGAGGUAUAAUUGAGAUUGACUCAACUCAUGGCUUAAGUUAAUUUCAAAAAAAAACUCACGGCUUAAUUUCAAAAAGUGGAUUUUGAUGAUUUUUUGGGAUAUCAAACCUGGGUGCUUAUCCUACUCCACCAUUAUUUUUCAUGAGGAAUGGAUGUUCGUGGUAUCUGUGGAGAAGAAAAUACGGUCUAACAUACGAAUUUUAGUUUUUUUCUACACAAACGAUUUUUUUUACUAAGAAUACGACAAGCAACCAUUCCUCAUGGAACUAAAGACAGGAGUAGAAUGGAUACCCAUGUUUGUUAUCCCAAAACUUGAGUCUUUUUUAGAAAAAAUAUUGGUAUUUUUAUUUAAUAUUUAUAUAAGGAUGUGUAGCACCCGAGAGCCACAAAUCCUCCAUUGUCAAACAAUAUGUUGUAUUAUACUCCCUCCAUCCGAGUUUAUUGGGCCUUUCAGCCAAAGCAGCGGAACCAAGACGAGUUUGAUUUAUUCUGCAGUAAGUGCAGUCGUUCCUCGAAACACAGUGAGCGGCUUCGCUUCUCAUGCCCGCACUUCCUCCCACACGUGCAUGCGCCAAGCAGUGCCCAAUCAGAGCCCAAACACGCAUGCAUGCAUGUCCAAUUCAAUUAGCGCAACAUUAAAGCUCUUGCAUUUUAGGUGUUAUUCAGCUAUUUUUUCAACAAGGGCCCUUAUAAAUCCACAUGCCUAAUAAACCCGGACGAAGGGAGUAGGAUACAAGGAGUAGUACUUUCCAAUGAAUGCUACGACCCUCACAUAUAUGUUUGUUUUUUCAUAAUUCUUGUUUUUUGUGAGUUUUAUUGCAUUGUCCAGCGACUGUUCGUCUACCUUGCUCACACAAUCCUCAUUGUCAUCCUCACAAUAUACGCGUUUAUAGAGGAAACGACUAUGUCACAUGACAAUGAUGAUCCGAGUUUUACCCUUGCACACCUUUCCUUCCAUUUUCUUCGCCCGCAUUUCAUUUAUACUCUAUCUAUUCUGGUUGAAAUCCACAUCAUGAGUGAGAGAUUGCCAGAGUACAUGUCCAUUACGGGUCCUAGAAUUGUCAGGGUCACUAAGUGGAGAUUGAUGCACACACUCUAAAUCUGUCUAAAUCCACACCAUUAUUGAUUCAUCCAUGUAUAUGAAUCAAGAUUUGUCUUAUCAGUUCAAUGAUUAGACCCUCUAUGUAUGUUAACUACUACUCCUAUAUCUAUACUUAAAUAAUUGUAGUUGAAGAGAACUGGAGUUUUGUUUUUCCAACCACAGUUAUUUAGGUAUAGCAGGAUUAACUUAAAGUUCAUGAGAAUUACUGUAACUAGGAAGUUUUUUAAUAAAAAAAGAGAGUUGGUGCAUGUUAAGAUAAAUUAUAAUCUGUCCAGAAACUAGUAAAAUAAGAAUGGAACUCAAAGCAGCUCACCAAGAAAGGAAAAGGAGCCCUCAAAAAAGAAAAGGAAAAGAAAAGAAGGAGCCCAUCAGAGUCGAAGCAGGUAGGGGAGGACGAUCUACUGGUCCACCAUAGACGCGGCGCACGACGAAAGCAGCAGUCUUCCUUCUCCACGACGACCCCUCCUCCAUCUCCGCUCCGCUCCCUCCCUCCCUCGCGCAUGCUCCAAAAAGCUACUCUCUCCUCUCCACCUUUCCCCUCUCCCCACGUCUAGGGUUCCCCACCUCCCCCCCCCCCCCUGCCGCCCCCCCCCCCACCCCAGCUCCGCGGGGGGUGGCGCCCAGGCGGUCGCCGACUCCCCGACCUCCGUCAUCGAGAACCACCACGCCGCCGCGCACCACUCCGCCGAGCUCCCCUCCUCCCCCUCUGACGCCGACGACGACGACAAGGAGGAGGAGGCGGGGAUGCCGUCGGUCCCCCACCAGCCCACCGUCUCCUUUGCCGAGACCAGCUGCUCCCUCCUCGAAUCGUCUGAGGAGGAGGAAGAGGACGAUGACGACGAGGACGAAGCCGCCGACGAGGCCAUGCCUGCCGCAGCUCGAUCCAGCGGCUCCCUCUCGCCGGCGCAUUUCGAGGCGGGGAACCACCCCACGGGAGCCAAGUCUCGGGGCUGCUACAGAUGCGGGAAGGGAGGCGGCUUCUGGGGCCGUGGGGACAUGGAGUCGUGCCUCGCCUGCGGCGCGCGGUACUGCUCGGCUUGCGUGCUCCGGGCGAUGGGGUCUAUGCCGGAGGGGCGCAAGUGCUUGUCCUGCAUCGGGCGUCCUGUGGCCGAGUCGAGGAGGAACGCGCUGGGCAGAGGCUCACGCGUGCUGCGGCGGCUGAUCAGUGCGGCGGAGGUGCAGCUCGUCAUGAGAAGCGAGCGUGAAUGCACAGCGAACCAGCUGCGACCGGAGGACAUUUACGUUAAUGGGGCUAAGUUGUCACCGGAGGAGCUAGCUUUGCUGCAGGGAUGCUCGUGCCCUCCUUCUAGGCUCCGCCCUGGCUUCUAUUGGUACGACAAGGUAUCCGGCUUCUGGGGCAAGGUACGUGGGUCAAGGUUUUGGCACAAGAAUUAAUCUGAUCGUUUGCUUUGUCUGUCAGUCUUCUUAGUGAGCCUAUUUUGGGUGGCCUCUUUAACCGUAUAGUAUGAUGUCACAAUUGUAUUUUAGCCAAUCAGUAGUGAUUUUUUCGUCUGCAUUUCCACACAUUUGUCGGACAUGGACAAAUGUUUUUCCAACAGCAUGGUAACUACCAGUGCCCGCCACUCUCACUCACAUCAUCCACGCGUCAUCCAAAAAUAGAAACAGCUUUCGACCAAAAAUAUAGGCGGUUUCUACCCAAACACAUUCACUUUCUAUUCGACAUCCAUCUAGAGUUCAGGCCCGAGGUUUUCCCUCUUUUUUGAAAGAAAUCCAUCUAGAAGUAUAUUUCAACCAUGAAUCUGUCCAACCUCCACUCCCCAACUUUCAACCCUUGCUUCCAACUAAUGAACAACGCCCUUCAACUAGAUGAACUAGAGUUUUCAAUCGAUCAACUAGAAAGGCCCCCUCAAAUCAGAUAACUUAAAUACUAUGAAAGACAGCAACUUCUAAAUUCAUAAUUAAUUUCCAUGAAAAUAAAUAAACCGAAUUGAAGGUAAAGUCAGCCUCAAAUCCCGAGAUCCGAGCUUUAAACCUCCCACAAACCAGCUUCCAAUCAUCUUGGAGAACUUCAAUCCAAUAUAAUCGAGAGAAAAAAAAUCAAGAACCCGUCCCCUAGGAGGGUCUUGCCUUUCUCCUCUUUCUUACCUCCUUGGUGACCUACUCAGCCAGUUGUGGUGGCGUUGCCUGUUGGCACAGGCAGUCGGCUCCCCUCUGCGCCCUUGCUGGCAGCACGUGGCGGUGCCCCUAGCCGGCUUCCUUACCAGAGAUCCAUGCUAGGGUAGAUUAUUGGAGGUGAGAAUGGAAGAAAGGAAGUGCAAGAGACACAAGAAACAAGUGUUGCCACUGAACUGGAAGAAAGGAACGGAUGAGAGAGACGAGAAUGGGAAGAGAGAUAGGGAGACAAUAAAGCCCUGAUUGUUAGUCAAGUGCCCCACCACGAACAUACAAGGGAUAUCUUGAGGUUUCUGUGUAUGGUUCUGAACUUCUCAUAGGAGAUGUGGAGUAAUUUGGAAUAUUCUGUUGAAUGCUUAGGUUUAACAUUUAUGGUUAUUAAAGGUGGAACAUAGGUUGUUGGCUUGUUGCCCGUUGUCUAUUCUGCAAACUGGCAGUGAAAGAUCACUCCUUUGGGGUCUUUGUGUGGGUUUUCAGCGGAUAGUUAUGAUAGAGCUGUGUAGGUUCUGUAUUGGAUGAAAAUCAUGAGACUCAGAGACUGUAUAUUUAAUUAUUCUUGGUGGGAAAUAUGUUGGAAGAUCUGGAGGGAUAGUGCUGUUGAGCUUUGAUAUUGUCAAAUACAGUAUCUACUGUAGUUGACUAUUUUGAAUAUUGAUGUUUUUUUAGUGAGUUGGUAGAACCAUGAUGUCUUAUGAUCUUAUCAUGGUUUGAACAAAUUAUCAAAAUCCUAGGUAUCAGGGUGGUUGGUAUUGUCCCUAAAUCAGGAGAAGUUGCUACAUUUUUUUUCUAGUUGAGAGUAGUACGCAGUUGCAUACCAAGGUUAGCACAUGUUAGCAGUAGUAUGUAUGUAAAAUAGUACUUCAUCCGUCCGGAAUUAGUUCAUCCAUUUGAGCGUCAACUAAUUCCGGAAGUAUCUAGCACUGAAAUACGUCUAGAUACAUCCAUUCCGUACGGAUGUAUCUAGCACUGAAAUACGUCUAGAUACAUCCAUUUGAGCGUCAACUAAUUCCAGACGGAGGGAGUACAUCAUGGUAUAUGGGAAUAUGGCAGUGUCUGGGUGUCAUAGCUUGUGCUGACUUGUUUUUUGGGGACAUGGAAUUUCAAGUUAUAAAAUGUCCCGCACAUGCCAUUUCAGAAUUUCGAUCAUUGCAUGAUUAUUUUUGCUUGCUUCUUUGCAUAAAUGUUGAUGAUGUAAACUUUUCUUCGAUAAUGUUACAGGAGGGACACAAACCCCAUUGCAUAAUAAGCGCAAAUCUAAAUGUUGGAGGUGCUUUAGCUCAAAAGGCGAGCAAUGGGAGCACCGGAAUCUUGGUAAAUGGCCGUGAGAUUACAAAAUCUGAGCUGCAAAUACUUAAGGUUCGGAAUUUAUUUACUCCUAUUUCAUUUUUAGAUUCAUGAGUUGCAUAUUUUCUUACAUAUAUCUUUGGUUUCAGUUGGCAGGAGUUCAGUGUGCUGGGAAACCUCACUUUUGGUUGAAUGCUGACGGGACUUACCAAGAGGAAGGCCAAAAAACUGUUAAAGGGAAGAUUUGGGAUAAGGUAGUUCUAGAAUUCAUCUUUCUUAGGUGACCUAUAUUUGCACGCGAGGAAUCUGACCAAGGUUAAAUUUAUCUGCACUUUUCACCAGCCUAUAGUGAAGCUGCUUAGUCCUGUCCUGUCAUUGCCAACUCCUAACAAAAUGACUAAUCAAUGCGGUGAAGAGGCUAUUAAUGUGGUAAAUCGACCUGACUACUUGGAGCAAAGGAUGACCCAGAAGCUUCUGUUAGUUGGAUCAGGGACAAGCACCAUACUCAAACAGGUACAUAUGGCUAUUGAUGUCUAUUAUGUUCAUGUUCACGAACUGAUAAGUUGACUAGCUGCAUUGAGGCCACCGUCCAAUUACAACCAUUAUUCACACUGUUACAUUAGUAUUAAGAUUUAUGUUCCACAUGUGCAUUGACUAAAUCUUCUGCAGUGCCAAAUGUCAUUUGCAAUACUGUUGUAGACUAGCAAUUAAUUCUGAAUCUCUUGAAUUUCAGGCUAAACUCUCAUACAAGAGUAAACCAUUUUCGAUGGAAGAGUGUGAAGAUCUCAAACUAAUCAUACAAAGUAACAUAUAUCGCUACAUUGGUAUACUUCUUGAAGGCCGUGAACGGUUUGAAGAGGAAGUUUUAGCUGAUAGAAGUAAACUCUGCCAACAUGAUCAUUCUAGCUCUGGUAUGAUCAUGUCUAUCCACCAUUUGUUGUGCUUUAUAAUAAAUACUUAGUCUUGGAUUCAUGGUACCUCUCAUUAUUUACCUUGGUAAAGCAACUGAAACCAAGGGGAAGACUCCUAUGCUAACUGUUUGGCUAGAACUGAUCCUAACAGCCACAUGUUUUUUGCAGGGCGUUCUGAGUCGGGGUUCUGUGAUGAAGAAGUUACUGAGUACUCCAUUGUCCCACGCUUGAAAGCAUUCUCGGAUUGGAUUCUAAAGGCCAUGGCUUUGGGUAAUCUUGAAGACAUUUUCCCUGCAGCUAGUCGUGAAUAUGCACCACUGGUUGAGGAACUAUGGAAAGAUCCUGCUAUUCAAGCUACAUAUAGACGAAGAAAUGAACUGCCGUUCCUUCCAUCUGCUGCCAGUUACUUCCUUGACAGGGUACUAUUGCUGUUCUAUUGAAAAUUUUGCUCGUUUACCUGGUUUGAUGUUUUCGUAUCCAUUCCUAUCAUUGACUUCCUUAGUAGUGAUCUGGUUAUCAAAUUGUGAUCAUUCAUUCUUUGGCCUUUGUGCAUUUGAAAUGAUCAGGUGGUUGAUAUUUCUCGAACGGAAUAUGAGCUCUGUGAUAUUGAUAUCCUCUAUGCUGAUGGAAUAACAUCCUCGGAUGGAUUAGCAUCUACAGAUAUCUCUUUCCCGCAGCUGGCUUUGGAUGUGCGGAUUGCUGAUGAGCUUGAUCCACAAGACACGUUGCUAAGGUAGGUCUUUUGUCACAAAAGGAAGGGAUGGUCUGGUAUUUGUGUUACAUGUAUUUUUCCCAUAAAUUACAAUAUUUCAGCACCAUUAGCUAAUUAUGUAACAAAAAAUGCAUAUAUGCGUGGGUUCCUGUUAGUCUUUUCCUUAUGUUGUCAUGAAGCCACUUUCUAUGGUAUUUUGUCAAGUGUCUGUCGCGAUGGAAAGCACACAUUCUAUGUUGGAUUCCUAUAUUACUAUUAAGAACUGUGAUAGUAAUACUGGCAAUGAAAAUUUCUGUUUUGUUAUCAGGUACCAGCUGAUCAGAAUAAGCAAUAAAGGAUUGCGGGAGAACAGCAAAUGGCUGCAGAUGUUUGAUGAUGUCAGCCUUGUCAUCUUCUGUGUUGCCGUUAGCGAUUACGACGAGCAUUACGAGGAUGCAAAUGGCACAGUUGUCAACAAGAUGAUAGAGAGCAGGCAGCUAUUUGAGAGCUUCGCCCUUCAUCCAACAUUCGAACAGAUGAAUUUUCUCCUACUCCUGACCAAGUUUGAUCUUCUAGAGCAGAAGAUUGGUAAAUCCCCGCUAACCGCAUGCGACUGGUUUGCCGAAUUCACCCCGUUGGUAAGCCGCAACCUGAUUGAUGGAACCAGCAGAAGCAAGCGCGGCAGCCACAACGGUGCGUCGCUGGCGCAGAUGGCGGCGCACUACAUCGGCAUGAAAUUCAAGCGGCUGUUCCACUCGCUCACAGAGCGGAAGCUCUAUGUGUCCUACGUGAACGCCCUGGACCAGCAGUCUGUCUGCUCGGCGAUCCGCUACGGCCGGGAGAUCGUCAAGUGGGAGGAGGAGAAGCCCGUUUUUGGCUCCAGCGAGACGGUAUACAGCGGCGACGAGCCGAGCUCCUACUCCCACUGACGGCGACCAAACAUUUGCUCGCGUGACAGAAGACGAAGAAGAGGUGUAAAUAGUUGUGCAUUUCCCUCUCCGGCGACGACCUUUUUUUUUUAGAGCUUUGCCCAUUUUGGUUCUUCUUUCCCAGCUCAUCUUCUGUUUGUAAUUUAUUGUAUGGUUUGUUUGUUUAUUAGUUGUUCACACGUAGAAUGAGAGGCAAGAGGCCUGCCUGAUUCCGAUUAAUUCUUGCAUCUGUAUGUAUCAUUAUCGGUCUCCUUCACAUGGUGGCACGUCCGAUUUCUUGUACAAUUGUUGUGUGGCGCAUCUCAACAGGUCGAAAAUAAUGAAUGUAGCUGCUUCGUCAUGUACUACUCGGAAUGAAGCGGCCGAGCAGGAGGGCCGUCCGCACCUGUUAGAAAAGCGUGACCCGGCCGACCUCCCCAAAUCAGUCCUAUGUGCGGACUGGUCAAUACUCCUUAAAUCUAGCUCAAAUCUCAGAUGAGUAUAGGAAGGUACGGAUACGUCUCCUGGUCGAACGAACCUUAGACCACUGUCAAAACACACUCUUCCCUCCUCAUCUCUUUCUCCCCUUACCCCUCGUUCUUGCUGAAUUUGUCUUUUUCAUAGCUCACAUUUUGUAAUGCGUUUUAAUUUAAAAUAAUACUUCAUUCGUUUUUAAAUAUAAUUUUUUAGAGGUUUCACUGGAAGAUUAGAUAUGGAUGUAUAUAUACAUUUUAAAGUGUAGUUUUACUUAUUUCAUUCCGUAUGUAGUCCCUUAGUGAAAACUCUAGAAUGACUUAUAUUUAGGAAUGAAGGGAGUAUGUUUUAACUUAAAUUUUUGCGUGACAAUAAAAUAUUAUCCUCUUAACAUCUUAUAGUUUUUUUAUAUUUUUUCAAAACUUUAAAAUAUGGUUUUCAUAAACACUUCCUUUUUGCUGUCCAAGUGUAAGGGCAACUCUAAUGCCAUGCAUCAAAACAUCUUUAAAUGUCCGAACAGUGUGGUUCGAACAUCUUUUGUCAUCCAACACUAUGUAUCAAAUGGCGGACGUGUGAAUCUAGGUGGUGUUUCUUUUCAAGGACUAGACUUUUUUUAGUUCCAGAAACUAAAGAAAAAAGUCCCUUCAAUAGAGUCUUUUUCUAGUCCCUUAGGCUGCUCAUAGUGAAGAGUAACAUAUAGUAGUAUCAUGCAUAUGUUACUAUUGUAUGAUACUACCUUCAUAGUGUAUAGUAACAUAAACUAGUACUCCCUCCAUCAUGGUUUAGAAGGUGUGCAUGCAAAUUCUCUAGGACCUAGGUGGUUAUUGAUUGGCUGUGAAAUGAGUUAAAAAAUAACAUUCACACUACGCAUGCAUAUAGAAAUAGUACAACGGAGUACUAAUUAGCUGUUAGGAGUAAAUGCAAUGCGCCUUAAUCUUUGUCUAUUUUGAAAACGCACGCAAGUCUAACUGUGCCUUCUAAACCGUGACGGAGGGAGUAUCAUAGGUGAUCUCAUUUAUUGACAUGCAUGACACAUAGUAGCAUAGCAUUUAACAUGUUACAGUAUCUACCUACUCCCUCCUUUUUGGUUUAUAGGGCUCAAAUCUGAAAUCUCAUCAACCAAGGUGAAUUGUGAGUGGAUGACACUAGUUUAAACUAGCCAAUGAAAUAUUUCUCACAUAUUCAAUUUCCAAGGCAAUAAAUGUAGCAUCUUUCUUUUCAUUGGACUUGCAUGGUGGAUGUAGAAAACGAUGCAUGCAUAGCCAUUCAUCUCCUUUCUUUAAACUCUAUGAAUUAAAUAUGGCAUGAGACUCAAAGCACUUUAACUCACUUAGACUUAAAAUGAGCCUAAUAUAAACCGGAAAUUUUUGAGAUGAACCCUAUAAACCGGAAAGGAGGGAGUAUGUUACUCUAAUCCUCUCUCUCUUCUUUAAUUACUUGCCACAUCACCAUGUUUGCUAGUCCCAAGACUAUGUUACUAGCUAUGAUACUCCCACUAUGGCCAGCCUAAAGAAAAAGUCCCUCAUGUUUCUUUACCUAGGGACUAAAAUGGACUUUUUAGUCUAGUCCCAAGGUAAAGAAACACCACCCUAACAAGCCAAAAACAAAUCAUGAAAUCUGGGUAGGUUUAUAGGCAUCUGGAUGUGUGCCACAUUUGUGUCAUGCAACAUGGUCUCAACCUAAGCACUCGCUGCGUGUUCCGCUUCAGGAUAUUCGCCGCACAUUCAUGUCGCUCAAAAGCCGACAUGACGUGGCUGUGGUCUACCACAUUUACGUCUAUCAGGCGGGCGUGACCGGACGGCUGAUCGACGCUGUUUAAAAGCAGACACGGUGAUCGAGAAGCCUACUUCGAUCGCUACAUCCACACUGAAGCGGCGCUGGACCGCCUGCCCAGGUUAUUUAAGAAUUUCCGUCUGUGACUACAAACCCUACCUCCUCUCCUGUGCACACUGCUGCUGCCUCACUUCUCCUUCCUCCGAGUUAAUUGCAAGAGAGUGCCAUAAUUCGGGCCGUAUUCACAAGUUGGUGCCAUCUUUCAAUUUUUUUGCAAAUACGUACCAAGAUACAAGCCGUAUUUUGCAGAUCGCGUAUUUAUACGUAUAGAUGCUCUUUCUGACAUACAUGGCCCACCUGUCAGCCUCUUAAAGAAAAAACCGCCCGGACCGCUGCGGCUGGGGGGAAAACCGGCUGGCUGCGGGGAAAACCGGCUCUCUGCCGGUCGAGUAUUCCUGCCGGUCGCACUUCUUCUUCGGCUGGGGACUGCUGCGGCUGGCUCUCUUCUUCUUCGCUACUCCCGCUGCUCCUCUCCUGCUCUUCUUCGCCGCCGGCAGCCGAGCUCCGCCGUGCCAUGGAGUUUGAGGAGGAAAGCAGCGAUGACAACAACCAGGAUUACUCUCAGAUGCUCUACGGAAACAGUGAGGACGACGAAAAGUACGAGGUUAGUGCUCACAGCUAGGGUUAGGGUUCUAUCCGGGUGCAUUUGGGGAUUUUAGUGUCUGUUUUAGGGUAUAGUGCAGCUGCAUUUGGGGAUUUAGGUUAGGUUGGGAUUUAGUGGUGCUUAGGAUUUGAGUGCAGGUGCAUUUGGGGAUUUAGUGCUGCUGCAUUUGGGGAAUUAGUGCUGCUUAGUUAGGUUUUAGUAGGUUUGUUAGGAUUUUAGUUAGGUUUGGUGAUUUGGUGAAUUAUGUUGUAGUUUGGUAGCCUGAUUAGGAUUUGGUGAUUUGAUUAUUGUUGUAAUUUGGUAGGGGUUAGGGUUUUAGUAUGGUUUCUUAGUAAUGAUUUUUUUUCUUGCUUUAGAUUCAUGAUAGUAUUGAAGAUGAGGAUUACAGAGGGCUUGAGUUGGAUCUUAUGGUUUUCUGCCGGAAGCAUGGCAAAGCAACAGAAAGAUUUGUAGCUUUUGAAGGAACCAGCAGUGGCAGGAGGUUCUUGGCAUGUGCUGAGCAGGUAACUAUUGCACAGUUCUAUUUAUCAGUUUGAUGAAAGUAAAAUAUGCUAUGCUUACUAUGCUUUUUGUAUUGUUUAAUUUACAGGGAGCUGAUAACUGUGGAUUUGUUGAAUGGGUUGAUCCAUAUUGGCCUACACCAAUGCAGAAUGCCUUGUUGAAGCUUUGGCAAAUGUAUGAAGAUGCCAAAGCUUACCGGAGGAGUGACAAUCUGAAUAGUGCACUAACAAUUCAGACUUUGACAUGUGAGAAGAAGAGUCUUGAAGAUAAAUUUCAGGAACUAGCUAAACAUGUGGACACCCUUUUUCAGGCCCAAGAAACUAGGACAAAAGAGCAUUUGUAUGUGGUCAGUGAGUACAAAAAAGAAUUUGAAGAGCAGAAGGCAGAGAUAGCAAGGAAAGAGGGAGAGAACCAGAAGUUGAAUGAGAAGUAUGUCAUUCUUGAAAACCUUUCAAGAGCUCAAGGGAAAAUGAUCAAAAAUGUGAAGUGCAACCAUUUGAAAGAAAAGGAGAGGCUUAUUGAAGAGAGGAGGAAAAUGAAGUUGCAGAUCAGUCAACUACAUGAGGUCCUAGCCAAUUCAGAAGCACAAAUCAUUGAUGAAGUGACCAAGUUGAAGAAUGAACUUGCUUGUAUGACACUUUCAAAUGAAAAGCUCACUGAAGAAGUUUCUACAAGUUCAAGUUGGAACCAGCUUCUCAAUGAAAAGAUGAAGUGACUUAUGUUUGAACCAGUUAUUUGUUAUGUUUGAGUCAUGUUGUUGUUUGAUUUUUGUUGUUCUUGCUUUAUGACUUAUGUUUGAACCAAUUAUUUGUUAUGUUUGAACCAGUUACUUGUUAUGUUGGAACCAGCUACUGAAUGAAUGGGUUAUGUUGUUGUUGCUUCUAAAAUUUGAGUUAAUUUUUAUCCAGUCACAUUUGAGUAAAUUUUCAGUAUGUAUACUGAAACAGUGCUUGCAUUUGGCCAUGUUGUUAUGUUGGAGUAUAAUUGAGUUAAUUUCAGUAUAUAUAUCCAAGCAAAAUUUCAGUAUAUAUAUCCAAGUAUAAUUGAGUGUAUAUAUAUCCAAGUAUAAUUGAGUAUAUAUAUCCAAGUAUAAUUGAGUGUAUAUAUAUCCAAGUAUAAUUGAGUGUUGGAGUAUAAUUGAGUUAAUUUCAGUAUAUAUAUCCAAGUAUAAUUGAGUAUAUAUAUCCAAGCAGUACACAAGCAAAAUUUCAGCAUAACUGUCACCUAGCUCAUAUAUUACCAAACACCACAAAAGUUCUCAAACACCACAAUAGUUCUAAAACACCACAAUAGUUCUCAAACAGACCACUAGCAUUACAAAACAUCCACUAGCAUUACUGUCACCCAGCCUUACUGUCACCUAGCUCAUCUAUUACCACUAGCAUUGAAGUAACUAGCCCAUCCAGUAUUGCCAGAAGUAGAAGCACUAGCAGCCCAUCUUGGGGCUGAGAAACCUCCUCUUCCAGCACCUAUACCAGCACCAGCACCUCUACCAGCACCAGCACCAGCACCUCUACCAGCAGUAGCACCAGCUCCUCUUCCAGCACCUCUACCAGCAGCAGCACCUCUUCCAGCAGUAGCACCAGUACCUCUUCCAGCAGGAGCAGGAGCAGUUGUUGNNNNNNNNNNNNNNNNNNNNNNNNNNNNNNNNNNNNGAGCAGUUGUUGCAGGUGCAUGUGCAUUUCUUGCAGGUGCCUAUUAAAUAAAUAAAGAAAGAGGGAAACAAAUCAUUGAAUAUAUAUGUCAAGUGCAAAAUAUUAAAGAAAGAAAGAAAGAAAGAAAGAGGGAAACAAAGUAAAAAAAGUGUUACCACAUGUUUGUUUUUCCUCAAAAGCAAUUCUGGUUUCAAGUUUUUGUUGCAGCUUGUGUAUCUGUGACCUUGGAGUCCACAAUUGCUACAUGUUAUUGUACCCAAUCUUGAUGUAUCCUUAGGCUUGGGCACUUCAAAUCUUCCCUUUGCCCUCUUCUCUUUCUUUCUGCCUUUCUUAAUUUUAAAUUCAGGGGGGUCUAUGUCUGGCCCUGUACUUUUUGUCCAGUUAUGUUCACCAGGAACAGGGUUGACACUUCCAAGCCUUUUCACUCUCUUUUUUCAUAUGAUCCAUUGCAAGUUCAAACUUGUGGUCAUUAUAAGCAUAACUGACAUUAUCCAUGUACUUCUUAAGAUCUUCCCCCCUAAACCCAACAUUAUGGAAAUUUGCAUACAAGUGUCUAAGGCAAAAUCUUUGGUGGGAGUUAGGAAAAACUUGAUUCACUGCAUUCAGUAGCCCCUGUUCACACAUGACACGACUAUAAGAUACAAUUCUAAGAUACAAUUCUAAGAUACAAUUCAUAACUACAGUUGUAAGCUAGAAUUCAGUAUUACCUUCUGUCUAUCUGACAUGAUUGUGUAUGGACCAAACUGUCCAGUUUCUCCUCCUAGGCAGAUCUUCAGUUGGUGGAGAAACCAACACCAACUUUGUGUAUCCUCUUGUCCAACAAUAGCAAAUGCCAGGGGAUAUAUAUUAUUAUUCCCAUCUCUACGAGUGGCAGCAAGGAUUUGGGCACCAGUGCAUAGCUUUACAAAACAUCCAUCAACACCUAAUAUAUUGCAACACAAAAUUUUCACUAUAAUAUCAAAUUCACAACUAAAAUAACAUAAUAAUUAUAUAAAUUUGAACUAACCAAUGAAGGGUCUGCAUCCCUGAAGAAAACCCUCCCUUGCUCCAUUGAGGCAGAAGAACAUUGCAUGAAACCUUGGCCCAGGAUGUGGAAUUUUUGCAGUAGGUGUUGGAGUUACUGUUGUAACUAUAACCCUACUACCAGGGUUUGUAUCCAUCACAAUCCGAGCAUAGUCUCUAAUCCUGGUAUAUUGCUUCUUGUGCUCUCCUAGAAUAUUCUCAAUAACUUGAUUUUUUGCCCUAUAUGCCAUUGCCUUUGGAACUUCUACACCAUACUUCUCUUGGCAGUUGUCAAUCAUUGUCUGAAUGCUAGUAUUGAGAUCAGAUCUAAACAAUGGCUCAUAUGUCUUUGCAAGCCACUUUGCAGUGACCCUACUCUUAUAUGUAGUAGUAGGGCAAGUGUGUUGCAAUCUCAUUUUCUUUAUUGCAAAUGUUUUCUCUCCUUUUAUAACUGCUGCCACCAUAAAGAAUUUGCAUAUAUUCUUUGUUAUGCAUUCCACAAUUAUUCUUUUAUCUGAAUUCCUGUGAUACUGAAAAGACCUACUCUGACUGAUGUGCAAGCUCAACAAAGCAUCCCUAACUUGGUGUUGAUCUCUGAAACACAUUUUCAGACAUAGUUGAUUAUGUGGCUCUUCCCUAUUUUCAUCAUACCAUUUCCUAGGUGGCAGUUUCUUUGCCCUGCUCUUUCUUCCUUUAGGUGGUACAAAACUAGCUGGCUCAAACCCAUCAUCAUCACUUUCCUUAAGGAAACCUUUCUCCUCUUCAUCUGAUGAGGGUUUAAAAUUUGGUUCAUAUAUUUGUAUGGCACUGGAAUGUGACCUGCUUGUGGGUCCUCUACCCAAUGGCAGUUUCCUUCUCUUCACUACAGGUUCAGUAAUGUGUUCUCCUUCUUGAACAACUUGAUCCUCCUCAUCCAGCUCAAAUAAAUCUUCCACAUUUGUUUCACCAUCAUAAUGAUGUAAGACCUCUGGUAGCACUUCAUCAUCAAGUCCACUGCUGUCUGUUUCAUCAUCAUUUGUUUCUUCCUGUUCAAAUUCUUCUAAUGUAAGCCCUCUUCCCUCAUUUGCGUUUGGCCUAUACCCCCCCAUGAAGUAAGGAUCAUGUUCAAUAUCUAUUGGACCCUCUGAAUCAAAUGAAGAUGCAUCAGUACUAUCUUCUUCCACUACUUGUUUAAGCUUCAGCUUGCCCUUCUGCUCUCUCUCCUCAUUUCUGAUCUCUUGUCUUCCAACCAAAAUUUGGCUCUCUUGUGUCACAAGCACAUCUUCAAAGACAGGUGCACUCCCCCUAUACACAGACAAAUUCAGCAACUUGGCAUUCUUGUGCUGCCUCUUUAGUUGUUGCAACUUAGCAUUGCUAUCUAUUUUCUCCAAACCAUCAACUCAUAUGCCUUUAUCAAAAUACACUGAGUCAGUGCUUCCAUAGCCUUGUGUCUCCAUCAGUGCUACCACACUAGGAAGGACAACAUCAUCACUGCACAGUUUCAACUCUAAACUAUCCAGAUCUUGAAAAUGAAUGGCAACAUCCCAAAUUUCUGGAUAUAAACUGCAAUUUCAGAAAAAAUGUCAAUUGUCAGUGAUAAAUUCACAUCACAUGACAAUGCAACACUAAAUUUCACAAACUAGAGAACUGUAACUAAUUAAAUCUAAUAGCAGGACAUAAUUUUAACUGAGCAGCAGGAGACAGUAGCAGGACACAGCAGCAGGAGAUUUUGGGCAUAUUCAAAAACUGGACUGGGAACCUAAUCCUAAAUCUCCAUUUCAUUCAAUCCUCAAUACUAUAAAUUGAUGAAGAAAACUUACUCAACGCCGCCGAUCCCAGACGUCCAAUGAUGGCUUGUGCUUGGAUUCGCCACCCAAAUCUGUGCUAGCCUCAACAUCCCCGCCUUGGACACAGCAGGCUCGGAGAAAUCGCAGGAGCUCUCGUCAUCGGACGAAUAAGAGUCGCCGUCGUCGUCGCCAUCAACGUAGCCGUUGCCGCCAGCACGAACUAUGCUUCCAGGGGCCGCCGCCGCCAUGGCUGGGAUAGAGGAGAGGGAGUAGGGUUGGGAACAGAUGCGAGAGGAAGGAGAGAUGGAUAGAGCCGGUUUUCCCCGCAGCCGAUCCGAUACGAGAGGAAGCAGAGAGCCGGUUUUCCUCCCAGCCGCAGCGGUCCGGGCGGUUUUUUCUUUAAGAGGCUGACAGGUGGGCCUUGUAUGUCAGAAAGAGCAUCUAUACGUAUAAAUACGCGAUCUGCAAAAUACGGCAUGUAUCUUGGUACGUAUUUGCAAAAAAUUUAAAAGAUGACACCAACUUGUGAAUACGGCCUGAAUUGUGGCACUCUUUUGCAAUUAACUCCCUUCCUCCACACACACCGUCAUUGUGGGCAAGUUUGAUAGCGACGAUUCUCCGGUUGCGUGGGCAAUGGUCAUAACAGGGGGCGUGUUGUAACGGGAGAACUCUCUUGAUCCCUUCUAUGUUAAUUAAUGAAUCGGAUCCUAAAGACCUGUUCGGUAACCCUCUACGGAGCGGAGCAGGCGGAGCGCCCUUUCAGCCACUCUCCAAAUUUGAACUGAAUGCUGCUCUGCUCCGGAGCGGAGUUAGAGAGCGGAGACAGUCCGAACAGGUGCUAAGAAACCGUCUUUUCAGAAAAGAAGAAGGGGGAAAUCACAUGUCCAACCAGAGUUUCUGCAUAAUGUCUCUGAACAGUAAGGGGAUAAAGAAACAGAAACGUAGUUACAUAUACAGUGGAGGUACACGAGCAUGCACCGGCUAGCUGGGUGCGAAGCGGUCGAGCAGCAGGUACACCGUCGCGUCCGACAUCCCGCCGCCGCCGGCCCCCUCCAGGUCGGCGACGGACGGCUUCGUCGCCGCGGCUGCCGCCUUGUUGCCAUGAGCGGCCCCUCCCAUCUGGUGUUGGUGCUCGGCGUGGCUCAUCGCCGGCACGGCCUGCCGCUUCUUCCCACGCAGGGCGGCGGAGAGCUCGCCGAAGAACCAGGCGCCGGCGACGUCGGAUGCCGCCGCCACCGUCGUCGUUGAAGACAUGUCCAUGGGUUGAUCUCAACUAACUUGUUGGCCGGACGAACCAACUUUUUAUGAUUGCAGGAACGAAAUGGAUGAUCUGGAUGCCAGCGAACGAGGCUUUGCGAAUGUGAUGGAGCACCAUGGGUGCUGGCUGCCGCUUAUAUAGGGCGCCGUGCAUCGCUGACGGGAAGGUGGCCAGGUAGGAAUAGGAUAGGCAUUGCAGCUGGGGGUGGCUCCACAGUCCACACGGUAACUAUACCGUGGGCGUGCCGUGGCAACGUUGGACUCGUUUGCGCUGCGGGUUCGGGUAGUUGUUGUUGGAUCGGAUCUGAGGUCUGAGCCGCGUUCAGGGUCGCACUCGGAGGCACACUGAUCCUGACCAAAACCGGCGGACCGGCCGGGUUUAUUUGUCUGGGCACGGAGACGAGAUAGAGGGAGCUGCGAUGGCACAUCGUCGAUGAGAUGAUUAUGUUUCAACCGUUGUCAUCUUUUCGUUCUAGUAGAAUUUUUUGACUUUUGGAAAACCAGCACGACCCUAGAACUAACCUAAGUUAAUUAACUUGGAAUUGGAAGAGGUUAUAUGAAAAAAAAAGUUCACUUGGAAGUUGGAAGAGUAGUUUUCAACCUUUUUUUGGUGUGAUUCAGGGAGCUUUAUUGAUUUUUAUUAAUAGAUAACCCUCGUUCAUGUCUCGAUCUGAAAGGAACAAGCUGUCGCGUUCAUUCGCAAGAGAGUGAAAUCGGCAAAGCAGGACCCGACCCGUUAAACCGCUAUAUCAGCACCAACCAGGGAGCAGGUCAAAUGAACGCAGAUGCUGUCGUCGUCUCUUCCUAUCGUUCGCGCGCGUGGCAGUGACGCGGACCGACGGCCACGUUGUCUCCACGAGUGAUCACGGUCGGUGCGAUAGAUGAUGUUCCACGUUCGCACCACGCGGUAAAGAAAGCACGCAACGCCCAGAUAACGUGAUAGAUUUUAUUUUUUGAGAACGGACAACGUGAUAGAUGAUCACCCUUAUGUACCGCGUUGAUAGACGAUCACGAUCUGGUUUGCUUCAACUGUGCCUCUCAUUCUCAAAAACAUAAAAAUAAUAGAACUAUGACGACCGACGAAUCCUAGGAGGGAGAUCGGCGUAAGGUAGGGGAAUUGGAGUAGGUGAGGAGAGCAGGGGAAAGACACACGAAGAGGGAUGAGAUCGGUUGAAUAAAUUCGCUUUGUCGAAAUCCCUAUAAUGAGUUGCAUUUGCGGCUGCCGAAUAAACCAUUCUUAAUUGGUAUAAUGGCCCUUUCUUACAAUACAAGAGUUUCUUACAGGAGUGAAACCAAACUAAAGAAAAAGAUUAAAGAAUAACGUUUGACAAAAUAAUUAAUGCAAAACGAUAUUCUCUCUGUUCAUGCCCAACUCAAUGAUACACAAAGAAAGUUAAGUAUUCACGCACACAGGCCACAUGCGGCCCAAAGACCCACGGGCUCCAGCCCACUUAACAUACGAUACGCUUGUAUAAUGUGUGACAGCCCCCUUCCCUUGAGAUUCCAAUUUAUUUGUUCAGUAUAGUGUCUUCGGAUAACGAUGUCGCAUCACAUUGUAGUCUUCCCCAGGUUGCCGAUUCCGAUGAAAGUGUAGACUACUAGACACGCACCUGGACAACCGAGAUGUUGCCCUUAUUGACCAUCCUUCGAUCCAGAAUGGCGAUUGGUUGAAGUGACCUGGACGACCGAGCUGUUGCCCUUAUUGACCAUUCUUUGAUCCAGAAUGGCGAUUGGUUGGAGUGACCUGGACGACCGAGCUGUUGCCCUUAUUGACCAUCCUUCGAUCCAGAAUGACGAUUGGUUGGAGUGACCUGGACGACCGAGCUGUUGCCCUUAUUGGCCAUCCUUCGAUCCAGAAUGGCGAUUGGUUGGAGUGACCUGGACGACCGAGCUGUUGCCCUUAUUGACCAUUCUUUGAUCCAGAAUGGCGAUUGGUUGGAGUGACCUGGACGACCGAGCUGUUGCCCUUAUUGACCAUCCUUCGAUCCAGAAUGACGAUUGGUUGGAGUGACCUGGACGACCGAGCUGUUGCCCUUAUUGGCCAUCCUUCGAUCCAGAAUGGCGAUUGGUUGGAGUGACCUGGACGACCGAGAUGUUGCCCUUAUUGACCAUCCUUCGAUCCAGAAUGGCGAUUGGUUGGAGUGACCUGGACGACCGAGCUGUUGCCCUUAUUGACCAUCCUUCGAUCCAGAAUGGUGAUUGGUAUCCAGAAUGGCGAUUGGUUGGAGUGACCUGGACGACCGAGCUGUUGCCCUUAUUGACCAUCCUUCGAUCCAGAAUGGCGAUUGGUUGGAGUGACCUGGACGACCGAGCUGUUGCCCUUAUUGACCAUCCUUCGAUCCAGAAUGGCGAUUGGUUGGAGUGACCUGGACGACCGAGCUGUUGCCCUUAUUGACCAUCCUUCGAUCCAGAAUGGCGAUUGGUUGAAGUGACCUGGACGACCGAGCUGUUGCCCUUAUUGACCAUCCUUCGAUCCAGAAUGGCGAUUGGUUGGAGUGACCUGGACGACCGAGUUGUUGCCCUUAUUGGCCAUCCUUCGAUCCAGAAUGGCGAUUGGUUGGAGUGACCUGGACGACCGAGCUGUUGCCCUUAUUGACCAUGCCUCGAUCCAGAAUGGUGAUUGGUUGGAGUGGUGCUAGUGAAGAUGUUGAUGAAGAUUGAUCCUCCCAUGAAGGAGGAAGCGUUGGACGAUGGCUUCGAUCUCCCCCUUCCGGAGAGAAAUUCCCGAGCAGAAUCUCUCCACCGGAGAGAAAAAGGGACUCUGCCCAUGUUUCUGCCUCGAGACAGCGACUCUUCGUCCUGAAUGAAUGCUUAUUAUUUUUUCUAGGUCAAAACAUACCAUAUAGGAGAAGAGGGGGGGGGGGGGCGGAAGACCUGAUGGGCCCCCAUGAGGCAAGAGGGCGCUGCUAGGGGGGUGGCCACGCCCUAUUGGCUUGUGGCCAGCGGGUGCCCCCCUCUUGUAUAUUUGGCCUAAUUAUUCUUAUAUAUUCCAUAAAAAUCUCCCUGAAAUUUUAGGUCAUUUGGAUUCCAAUGAUUUUGCACCCUUUCUCUUGGUUUUUCAGGUCGAGAGUUCCAGUUUCCGACAGUUUCCCUCUUCAUGGUGUACCUUGCACAUUCAGAGAGAAAAAACAUAAGAAUUGCAUCAUAAUGAGGAAUUAUGGAGAAGAGUAACAUAAAUAGCAAUAAGAAUUCAUGAUGCAUAAUGGACGUAUCACAUAUAUACACAUAAUCACUCACGUGAAUAAAUAUUGCAUAACUAUGCACUUUCCUAUCAAUUGCCCAAUAGUAAUUUGGUUACCUACCAUGUGCCUUUUUCGAGAGAGAUGCCACUAGAGAACGCUAUGCCCCCCGGUCUAUUCACUUAUAAAUUUAGAAAAAAUACCUUUCUGCCUUUUAUUAUUUGCAUUUAUUUUUUCUAUUUAAUAUAUUUCAACUAUCUAUCUACACUACUUAUCUUCUUGCAAGUAACGAGUUCAAGGGGAUUGACAACCAUCUUGCUCGUGUUGGGUGCAAGUAUUUGCUCUGUUGUGUGUAGGCGCUGAAGACGUGAGUUGUGUGGUCCUUCUAUUGGUUCGAUAAUCUUGGUUCUCACCGAGGGGAAUAUUUAUCUAUACUGUGUUGCAUCAUUCGGUCCUCUUUAGGGAAAAACCCAACGCAGAACAGAAGUAUCAGAAAUACUAAAGAGAAGAACCACCGAAGGGGGGCCACCUGCUAGCCACAAGCCAACAGGGAGCACCGAGAUAGCUUGUUGGCCCCUCGUGGCUGUAGUUAGCGUGAUUCCAAAGCCAAAAAAUCCUAUAUAUACAGAAACCCUCAGAAAUAAACCUAGAACUUCCACUCCGCUCCCGCAAGCCUCUAUACCGAAGAAAACUCAUCUGGAGCCCUGUUCCGGCACCCUACCGGAGGGGGCAAUCAUCAUCGGAGGCCAUAUUCAUCAUCCCGCGGUGACCAUGACAAGGAGGGAGUAGUUCACCCUCGGGGAUAAGGGUAUGUACUAGUAGCUCUCUCUCUCUCUCUCUCUCUCUCCCUCUCAGUCGUGUUCUUGAUAUGUCAUUAUCUUGAUGUAUCAUGAGCUUUGUUAAUAUAGUUUUAUCCUAUAGUGUUCAUCCCUUGCUAUGUUGAUGUGAUAAACUGAAUCUUUCCCAUUGAAUUUUUUAUUUCGCAUUGAAUAUUGGAUUUGAGAUCACUUGAUGUAUGUCUUGCAUGUAUAUACCCAUGGUGAAAAUGGGGUGUUCUGUUGAUUCACUUGAUAUAUGUUUUGGUACUCAACUCGCGGAUUCCCUAGGUGACAUUGGGGUAAUAUGUGCAUAGGGGUUGAUACACAUCCUUGUCCUACUUUCCUCGAUUGAAAUCUUGGGGUACUCUCUGAAGUUCUUUGUGUUGGAUUGAAUAUGGUGAAUAUGAAAUUGUUCGAUGCAUGUCGAAUAUUAACCCAUGGAUAAUUGAGGCGAUAUUGGAGUAUCUACGUGACAUUAGGGUUGAUUGAUGUGUAUCAUAUGUGUUAUUCUAGUACGAACUCUAGGGCUGUUUAUGACACUUUUAGGAAUAGCUCAAUUGAUUGAUCGGUGGUGCGUCCGGUUGGUGGUGGAUGGCGGCUCGGCUGCCGGCAUGCAGUAACGCGGUGGCGGGGCUUUACGGGCCCAAUCUUGUCCCGGUCGGGCCUGUUGGAAAUAUGCCCUAGAGGCAAUCAUAAAUUAGUUAUUAUUAUAUUUCUUUGUUCAUGAUAAUCUUUUAUUAUCCAUGCUAUAAUUGUAUUGAUUGGAAACACAAUACUUGUGUGGAUACAUAGACAAAACACUGUCCCUAGUAAGCCUCUAGUUGACUAGCUCGUUGAUCAAAGAUGGUCAAGGUUUCCUGACCAUAGGCAAGUGUUGUCACUUGAUAACGGGAUCACAUCAUUAGGAGAAUCGUGUGAUGGACUAGACCCAAACUAAUAGACGUAGCAUGUUGAUUGUUUCAUUUUGUUGCUACUGUUUUCUGCGUGUCAAGUAUUUGUUCCUAUGACCAUGAGAUCAUAUAACUCACUGACACCGGAGGAAUGCUUUGUGUGUAUCAAACGUCGCAACGUAACUGGGUGACUAUAAAGAUGCUCUACAGGUAUCUCCGAAGGUGUUCGUUGAGUUAGUAUGGAUCAAGACAGGGAUUUGUCACUCCGCAUGACGGAGAGAUAUCUCGGGGCCCACUCGGUAAUACAACAUCACACACAAGCCUUGCAAGCAAUGUGACUUAGUGUAAGUUACGGGAUCUUGUAUUACGGAAUGAGUAAAGAGACUUGCCGGUAAACGAGAUUGAAAUAGGUAUGCGGAUACUGACGAUCGAAUCUCGGGCAAGUAACAUACGAAGGACAAAGGGAAUGACAUACGGGAUUAUAUGAAUCCUUGGCACUAAGGUUCAAACGAUAAGAUCUUCGUAGAAUAUGUAGGAUCCAAUAUGGGCAUCGAGGUCCCGCCAUUGGAUAUUUACCGAGGAGUCCCUCGGGUCAUUUCUACAUAGUUCUCGAACCCGCAGGGUCUGCAAACUUAAGGCUCGACGUUGUUUUAUGCGUAUUUGAGUUACAUGGUUGGUUACCGAAUGUUGUUCGGAGUCCCGGAUGAGAUCAUGGACGUCAUGAGGGUUUCCGGAAUGGUGUGGAGAUGAAGAUUGAUAUAUAGGAUGACCUCAUUUGAUUACCGGAAGGUUUUCGGAAUUACCGGGAAUGUACCGGGAAUGACGAAUGGGUUCCGGAUGUUCACCGGGGAGGGGCAGCCCACCCCGGGGAAGCCCAUAGGCCUUAGGGGUGCCGCACCAGCCCUUAGUGGGCUGGUGGGCAAUCCCAAGAAGGCCCCUGCGCAGGAUAAGAAGAAAUCAAAGAGAAAAUAAAAAAGGGGAAGUGGGAAGGAAGGGAAGGACUCCACCUUCCAAUCCUAGUUGGACUAGGAUUGGAGGAGGAAUCCUCCUCCCCCCCCUUCGGCCGACCCCCUUGGGGCUCCUUGAGCCUCAAGGCAAGGCCCCUGCCCUCCCACCUAUAUAUACGGAGGUAUUAGGGCUGAUUUGAGACAACUUUUCCACGGCAGCCCGACCACAUACCUCCACGGUUUUUCCUCUAGAUCGCGUUUCUGCGGAGCUUGGGCGGAGCCCUGCUGAGAUUAGAUCACCACCAACCUCCGGAGCGGCGUCACGCUGCCGGAGAACUCAUCUACCUCUCCGUCUCUCUUGCUGGAUCAAGAAGGUUGAGAUCAUCGUCGAGCUGUACGUGUGCUGAACGCGGAGGUGCCGUCCCUUCGGCACUAGAUCGGAGCGGAUCGUGGGACGGAUCGCGGGACGGUUCGUGGGACGGUUUGCGGGGCGGAUCGAGGGAGGUGAGGGACGGAUCGCGGGACGGUUCGUGGGACGGUUUGCGGGGCGGAUCGAGGGACGUGAGGAUGUUCCACUGCAUCAACCACGUUUAUUAACGCUUCUGCUGUGCGAUCUACAAGGGUACGUAGAUCUGAAAUCCCCCUCGUAGAUGGACAUCACCAUGAUAGGUCUUCGUGUGCGUAGGAAAUUUUUUGGUUUCCCUUGCGACGUUCCCCAACAGUGGCAUCAUGAGCUAGGUUCAUGCGUAGAUGUCAUAUCGAGUAGAACAAAAAAGUUUUUGUGGGCGGUGAUGUGCGAUUUGCUGUACUCCUUAGUCUUUUCUUGAUUCCGCGGUAUUGUUGGAUCGAAGCGGCUCGGUCCGACAUUACUCGUACGCUUACAAGAGACUGGUUUCAUCGCUAUGAGCAACUCCGUUGCUCAAGGAUGACUAGCGAGUGUCGGUUUCUCUAACUUUAGUUGAAUCGGAUUUGACCGAGGAGGUCCUUGGAUGAGGUUAAAUAGCAAUUCAUAUAUCUCAGUUGUGGUGUUUGCGUAAGUAAGAUGCAAUCCUACUAGAUACCCAUGGUCACCACGUAAAACAUGCAACAACAAUUAGAGGAUGUCUAACUUCUUUUUGCAGGGUAUGCUUGUGAUGUGAUAUGGCCAACAACGUGAUGUGAUAUAUUGGAUGUAUGAGAUGAUCAUAUUGUAAUAGUUAAUGUCGACUUGCAUGUCGAUGGUACGGCAACCAGCAGGAGCCAUAGGAUUGUCUUUAAACUAACGUUUGUGUUUGCAGAUGCAUUUACUAUAUUGCUAGGACGUAGCUUUAGUAGUAAUAGCAUGAGUAGCAUGACAACCCCGAUGGCGACACGUUGAUGGAGAUCAUGGUGUGACGCCGGUGACAAGAAGAUCGUGCCGGUGCUUUGGUGAUGGAGAUCAAGAAGCACAUGUUGAUGGCCAUAUCAUGUCACUUAUGAAUUACAUGUGAUGUUAAUCCUUUAUGCACCUUAUCUUGCUUAGAACGACGGUAGCAUUAUGAGGUGAUCUCUCACUAAAAUUUCAAGCUCAAAUUGUGUUCUCCCCGACUGUGUGCCGUUGCGACAGUUUGUCGUUUCGAGACACCACGUGAUGAUCGGGUGUGAUAGACUCAACGUUCACAUACAAUGGGUGCAAAACAGUUGCACACGCGAAACACUCGGGUUAAACUUGACGAGCCUAACAUGUACAGACAUGGCCUUGGAACACGAACACUCGGGCUAAACUUGACGAGCCUAGCAUGUACAGACAUGGCCUCAGAACACAUGAGACCGAAAGGUCGAGCAUGAAUCAUAUAGUUGAUACUAUUAGCAUAGAGAUGCUUACCACUGAAACUAUUCUCGACUAACGUGAUGAUCGGACUUGAGAUAGUGGAUUUGGAUCAUGUACCACUCAAAUGACUAGAGAGAUGUACUUUUUGAGUGGGAGUUCUUAAGUAAUAUGAUUAAUUGAACUAAUUAUCAUGCACAUAGUCUAAUGGUCUUCGCGAAUUACGAUGUAGCUUGCGCUAUAGCUCUACUGUUUUUAUAUGUUCCUAGAGAAAAUUUAGUUGAAAGUUGGUAGUAGCAAACUUUGCGGACUGAGUCUGUAAAACUGAGGAUUGUCCUCGUUGCUGCGCAGAAGGCUUAUGUCCUUAAUGCACCACUCGGUGUGCUGCACCUCGAACGUCGUCUGUGGAUGUUGUGAACAUCCGACAUACACGUUUCUGAUGACUACGCGAUAGUUCAGUGCAAAAUACUUAAUGGCUUAGAAGCAAGACGUCGAAGACGUUUUGAAACGUCACAGAACAUAAGAGAUGUUCUAAAGAGAUGAAAUUGUGAUUUCAUGUUUGUGCCCUUGUUAAGAGGUAUGAGACCUCCAGCAAGAUUCUUUGUCCACGAAGUAAAGGAGAAAAGCUCAAUCGUUGAGCGUGUGCUCAGAUUGUCUAAGUACGACAAUCGCUUGAAUCAAGUGGGAGUUAAUCUUUCAGAUGAGAUAGUGAUGGUUCUCCAAAGUCACUGCCACCAAGCUGUGAGAGCUUCGUGAUGAACUAUAACAUAUCAAGGAUAGAUACAAUGAUCCUUGAGCGAUUCGCGAUGUUCGACAUUGCGAAAGUAGAAAUCAAGAAGGAGCAUCAAUGGUUGAUGGUUAGUAAAACCACUAAGUUUCAAGAAAGGCAAGGGCUAGAAGGGAUACUUCGUGAAACGGCAAAACAGUUGCUACACUAAUGAAGAGACCCAAUAUUAAACCCAAACCCGAGACUAAGUUCUUCUGUUAUGAGGAGAACGGUCACUGAGGCGGAGCUACCCUAGAUGCUUGGUAGAUAAGAAGGCUGGCUAAAAUCGACAGAAGUAUAUCUGAUAUACAUGAUAUUGAUGUGUACUUUACUAGUACUCCCAGUAGCACGAGGGUAUUGGAUACCCGUUCGGUUGCUAAGUGAUUAGUAACACGAAAUGAUAGCUACGGAAUAACAGGAGACUAGCUAAAGGCAAGGUGACGAUACGUGUUGGAAGUGUUUCCAAGGUUGAUAUGAUCAAAUGUCGCACGCUCCCUCUACCAUCGGGAUUGGUGUUAAACCUAAAUAAUUUUUAUUUGGUCCUUGCGUUAAGCAUGAACAUGAUUGGAUCGUGUUUAUUGCAACACGAUUAUUCCUUUAAAGAGAAUAAUGGUUACUCUAUUUGCUUGAAUAAUCACCUUCAAUGGUUUAUUGAAUGUCGAUCGUAGUGUUGCACAUGUUCAUGAUAUUGGUGACAAAAGAUACAAAGUAAUAAUGAUAGUACCACUUAGUUGUGGCACUGCCACUUGAGUCAUGUUGGUAUAAAAUGCAUGAAGAAGCUCCAUGUCGAUGGAUCUUUGUACUCACUCAUUUUUGAAAUGAUUGGGACAUGCAAACCAUACCUGUUGGUAUAAAAUGCAUGAAGAAACUCCAUAGAGAUGGAUCAUUUGGACUCACUUGAUUUUGAAUCACUUGAGACAUGCAAAACAUGCCACAUGAAACAAGGGAGUAACUUGUUGGGAAUAACGCAUUUUUGAUGUGUGCAGUCCAAUGAGUGCUAAGGCAUGCAGUGGAUAUCGUUAUGUUCUUACUUCACUGACGAUUUGAGUAGAUACAGGAGUAUUUACUUGAUGAAUCACAAGUCUGAAAUAUUGAAAAGUUCAAAGCUAUUUUAGAGUGAAGAUCGUCGUGACAAGAGGAUAAACAGUCUACGAUAUGAUCACAGAGAUGAAUAUCUGAGUUACAAGUUUUGGUACGCAGUUAAGACAAUGUGGAAAUUGUUUCGCACUUCAUGCCACCUGGAACACCAUAGUGUGAUGAUGUGUCCGAACGUCAUAGUCGCGCCCUAUUUGAUAUGGUGUAUACUAUGAUGUCUCUUAUCGAAUUACCGCUAUCGUUUAUGGGUUAUGCAUUAGAGACAACCGCAUUCACUUUAAAUAGGGCACCGCGUAAUUCCGUUGAGAUGACACAGUAUAGAAUGAGGUUUAGAGAAAUCUAAGCUGUCGUUUCUUGAAAGUUUGGGGCUGCGACACUUCUGUGAAAAAGUUUCAGUCUGAUAAGCUCGAACCUAAAGCGGAUAAAUGCAUCUUCAUAGGAUAUCCAAAACAGUUGGGUGCAUCUCCUAUCUCAGAUCCGGAAACAAAAUGUUUGUUUCUAGAAACGGGUCCUUUCUCGAGGAAAGGUUUCUCUCGAAAGAAUUGAGUGGGAGGGUGGUAGAACUUGAUGAGGUUAUUGAACCAUCACUUCAACCAGUGUGUAGCAGGGCGUAGGAAGUUGUUCCUGUGGCGCCUACACCAAUUGAAGUGGAAGCUGAUGAUGGUGAUCAUUGAGCUUCGGAUCAAGUUACUACAAACCUCGUAGGUCGACAAGGUCGCGUACUACUACAGAGUGGUACGGUAACCCUGUCUUGGAGGUCAUGUUGUUGAACAACAAUGAACCUGCGAGUUAUGAAGAAGCAAUGGUGGGCCCAGAUUCCAACAAAUGGCUGGAAGCCAUGAAAUCCGAGAGAGAAUACAUGUACGAAAGCAAAGUGUAGACUUUGGAAGAACUACUUGAUGGUCGUAGGACUAUUGAGUAAAGAUGGAUCUUUAAAAGGAAGACAAACGAUGAUGGUGAUACGUCACUAUUAAGAAAAGCUCGACUUGUCGCAAAGAUGUUUUCGACAAGAUCAAACAGUUGACUAUGAUGAGACUUUCUCACUCGCAGCGAUGCUAAAAGUCUGUUAAAAUUAUGUUAGUAGUUGUUGCAUUAUUUAUGAAAUAUUGCACAUACGAUGUCAAAACAUUGUUUCCUCGACGGUUUCCUUGAGCAAACAUUGUAUGUGAUACAACCAGGAGGUUUUGUCGAUCCUAAAGACACUAACAAAUAUACAAGCUCCAGCGAUCCUUCAAUGUACUGGUGCAAGCUUCUCGGAGUUGGAAUAUACACUUUGAUGAGAUGAUCAAAGAUUUUGGGUUUGUACAAGGUUUAUGAGAAACUUGUAUUUCCAAAGAAGUGAGUGGGAGCACUAUAGAGUUUCUGAUAAGUAUAUGUGGUUGACAUAUUGUUGAUCAGAAGUAAUGUAGAAUUUCUGUGAAGCAUAAAAGUUUGUUUGAAAGGAGUUUUUCAAAGGAAUACCUGGAUUGAGCUACUUGAACAUUGAGCAUCAAGAUCUAUGGAGAUAGAUCGAAAACGCUUAAUAGAAGUUUCAACAAGAUGCAUGCCUUGACAAGUUUUUGAAGGAGUUCAAAAUAGAUCAACAAAGAAGGAGUUCUUGGUUGCGUUGUAAGGUGUGAAUUUGAGUAAGACUCAAAACCCGACCCCGGAAGAAUAAAGAGAAUGGACGAAGGUCGUCUUCUAUGCCUUGGACGUAGAGUACCACACUUGAUGUGUGCCUUGCCUCAAAGUCUGUUGAGAGGUACAGAGAGUGAUCCAUGAUUGAAUCACUAGCAGUGGUCAAAAUUUAUCCUUAGUAACUGAUGGAAUAAGGAAUUUUUCUUGAUUAUGGAGGUGUUUAAAGAGUUUGUCGUAAAGGGUUACGUCGAUGCAAGCUUUGACACUAAUCUGAAUAACUAUGAGUAGUGAAACAGAUUCGUAUAGUAGAGUAGAUAUUUGGAGUAUUUCCGAAUAGCACAUAGUAGCAGCAUCUAUAAGAUGACAUAAAGAUUUUUAAAGAACACACGGAUCUGGAAGUUUCAGAACCGUUACUAAAACCUCUCUCACGAGCAAGACGUGAUCAGACCCCAGAACUAUAUGGGUGUUGGAUUCGUUGAAAUCACAUGGUGAUGUGAACUAGAUUAUUGACUCUAGUGCAAGUGGGAGACUGUUGGAAAUAUGCCCUAGAGGCAAUAAUAAAUUAGUUAUUAUUAUAUUUCUUUGUUCAUGAUAAUCGUUUAUUAUCCAUGCUAUAAUUGUAUUGAUUGGAAACACAAUACUUGUGUGGAUACAUAGACAAAACACUGUCCCUAGUAAGCCUCUAGUUGACUAGCUCGUUGAUCAAAGAUGGUCAAGGUUUCCUGACCAUAGGCAAGUGUUGUCACUUGAUAACGGGAUCACAUCAUUAGGAGAAUCGUGUGAUUGACUAGACCCAAACUAAUAGACGUAGCAUGUUGAUCGUUUCAUUUUGUUGCUACUGUUUUCUGCGUGUCAAGUAUUUGUUCCUACGACCAUGAGAUCAUAUAACUCACUGACACCGGAGGAAUGCUUUGUGUGUAUCAAACGUCGCAACGUAACUGGGUGACUAUAAAGAUGCUCUACAGGUAUCUCCGAAGGUGUUCGUUGAGUUAUUAUGGAUCGAGACUGGGAUUUGUCACUCCGUGUGACGGAGAGGUAUCUCGGGGCCCACUCGGUAAUAAAACAUCACACACAAGCCUUGCAAGCAAUGUGGCUUAGUGUAAGUCACGGGAUCUUGUAUUACGGAACGAGUAAAGAGACUUGCCGGUAAACGAGAUUGAAAUAGGUAUGCGGAUACUAACGAUCGAAUCUCGGGCAAGUAACAUACGAAGGACAAAGGGAAUGACAUACGGGAUUAUAUGAAUCCUUGGCACUGAGGUUCAAACGAUAAGAUCUUCGUAGAAUAUGUAGGAUCCAAUAUGGGCAUCGAGGUCCCGCUAUUGGAUAUUGACCGAGGAGUCUCUCGGGUCAUGUCUACAUAGUUCUCGAACCCGCAGGGUCUGCAUACUUAAGGUUCGACGUUGUUUUAUGCGUAUUUGAGUUAUAUGGUUGGUUACCGAAUGUUGUUCGGAGUCCCGGAUGAGAUCAUGGACGUCACGAGGGUUUCCGUAAUGGUCCGGAGACGAAGAUUGAUAUAUAGGAUGACCUCAUUUGAUUACCGGAAGGUUUUCGGAAUUACCGGGAAUGUACCGGGAAUGACGAAUGGGUUCCGGAUGUUCACCGGGGAGGGGCAGCCCACCCCGGGGAAGCCCAUAGGCCUUAGGGGUGCCGCACCAGCCCUUAGUGGGCUGGUGGGCAAUCCCAAGAAGGCCCCUGCGCAGGAUAAGAAGAAAUCAAAGAGAAAAUAAAAAAGGGGAAGUGGGAAGGAAGGGAAGGACUCCACCUUCCAAUCCUAGUUGGACUAGGAUUGGAGGAGGAAUCCUCCUCCCCCCCCUCGGCCGACCCCCUUGGGGCUCCUUGAGCCUCAAGGCAUGGCCCCUCCCCUCCCACCUAUAUAUACGGAGGUAUUAGGGCUGAUUUGAGACAACUUUUCUACGGCAGCCCGACCAUAUACCUCCACGGUUUUUCCUCUAGAUCGUGUUUCUGCAGAGCUCGGGCGGAGCCCUGCUGAUAUUAGAUCACCACCAACCUCCGGAGCGCCGUCACGCUGCCGGAGAACUCAUCUACCUCUCCGUCUCUCUUGCUGGAUCAAGAAGGUUGAGAUCAUCGUCGAGCUGUACGUGUGCUGAACGCGGAGGUGCGGUCCCUUCGGCACUCGAUCGGAUCGUCGAGCUGUACGUGUGCUGAACGCGGAGGUGCCGUCCCUUCGGCACUAGAUCGGAGCGGAUCGUGGGACGGAUCGUGGGACGGAUCACGGGACGGUUCGUGGGACGGCUCGCGGGGCGGAUCGAGGGACGUGAGGACGUUCCACUAUAUCAAUCGCGUUUAUUAACGCUUCUACUGUGCGAUCUACAAGGGUACGUAGAUCUGGAAUCCCCCUUGUAGAUGGACAUCACCAUGAUAGGUCUUCGUGCGCGUAGGAAAUUUUUUGUUUCCCUUGCGACGUUCCCCAAUAGGGCCCGGGUGGCCUGGUUUUCCUCGGCUGCCGACGUCCGGACGGCGACCCAUGUCAGUGCUGGAGGCAAGGGUCUCCGACGCGAUGAGGGUGGUGGUAGCUCCCUCCCGUGCGGCUCCCGUGCUCCCGUCCUCGCUGCUGGACGCUCCUCCGCUCUUAUCUCGUGACCUGGUGGCGGUGUUCGCAGCAAGGCGGCGUGGAUGGGUCCAAGACCAUGGUGGUGCGUGCUUGCGGGUGGUAAGAUGGCUGUAUGGCUCCGGUUCGGGUGGCGGUGCAUGGGGUGCGGGAGAAUUCCCAGCCGGUUCAUCCAGCUUCGACGCGGUGACACCUGAGGGUGAGGCCAUUCCUUCGUGAAGGGUAUCGAUGCUUCCCGUCCUCUGCUCCACGUCGCGUGUCGGGGGAAACCCUAGGUCAUGUCUGGGCAGCAGUGUCGUUGGCGUCGCAUUCCUUCUUGGAAGUGCUCUUUAGGUACAUGAUGGUCCUGAGCCAUGGCGCGUGGUGGGACAAACACGGAGGGCACAGUGGCGGUAGUUCAUCUGUGCUUGCCGAGCUGCCGUUGUUGGCAUUUACUUCUUUUUUUCAUUUGGGUUUGAUGUGCUGUUCGCCUGAGAAAUUACCAUGUGAUCGAUGGUCGGUGCUUUAUAAUAUAAAGCAGGGGAAACCCUAUUUCAUGAAAGGAUAACUUUGAGGUGGUUUGCUGCCUACAACAAUCUCAUCUUAUGUUCUUUGCUACUUACAAACUUUGGAUUGAUUAAUUGUUGCAUAUUGAGGGAUGAUCAUAUGAUUCUAUUUUAUUAGUAUUGUUGAGAGAUUGCACUAGUGAAAGUAUGAACCCUAGGCCUUAUUUCCAAGCAUUUAUACAACAUUUUUCUUGCUGUUUGCCACUUGAUACCUUGCUGUUUUUAUUUAUUCAGAUUAUAAAAAUCUAUUUCUACUAUCCAUAGUAGACUAGCUUGUAUCACCAUCUCUUCGCCGAACUAGUGCACCUAUACAAUUUACCAUUAUACUGAGUGUGUUGGGGACACAAGAGAUUUCUUGUAUUUUAUUGUAGGGUUGCUUGAGAGAGAACAUCUUCAUCCUACACCUCACACGGAUUGAUAAACCUUAGGUCAUCCUCUUAAGGGAAAUUUAUUGUUGUCCUACAAAAACUCUGCACUUGGAGGUCCAACAACGUCUAUAAUAAUAACAUUGCAUAGUAAACAUCAGUAAUGUCCUGUCUACUAAGGGCGACGUGUAUAAUGAAGUUGGCCAAAAUUAUACAGAAUACAUGCCACUAGUACAUAGGUUGAGUGCUGAUAACAUUCGUGCAAAUAUCUUUGUAAGAGUUGCUGACUACAUUACUAUUAUGUAAAUUACAUUGCUAAUUAUGCUACUACUAUGUAAAUUACAUUGCUAACUAGGCUACUAUUAUGUUCUUCAACAGAAACUGCUAAAUGAUGUUGUGCCUCCGUUGAUGCAUGACAAAGGUGAGCUGGCAAUUACUUGUCGUACGAGUGUCACUUUCGUUUUUCCAUACCCGACUGAGCGCAAACUACAAGGUAAACUCCAAAUUGAAACAUGAAGAGAAAUAAAGAAGUACCACAAGCCACAAAUUUGGAGACCGUCGAAUCUCUUUGCUUCAUCGUGAAGACCUAGAUGUUUUUCUAUUAUAUGAUAUUUAUGUUGGAAAUAUGCCCUAGAUGCAAUAAUAAAUUGGUUAUUAUUAUAUUUCCUUGUUCAUGAUAAUCGCUUAUUAUCCAUGCUAGAAUUGUAUUGAUUGGAAACUCAAAUACAUGUGUGGAUACAUAAACAACACACUGUCCCUAGUGAGCCUCUAGUUGACUAGCUCGUUGAUCAAAGAUGAUCAAGGUUUCCGGACCAUAGGCAAGUGUUGUCACUUGAUAAUGGGAUCACAUCAUUAGGAGAAUAAUGUGAUGGACAAGACCCAAACUAUAAACGUAGCAUAUGAUCGUGUCAGUUUAUUGCUACUAUUUUUUGCAUGUCAAUGUAUCCGUUCCUAUGACCACGAGAUCAUGCAACUCCCGGACACCGGAGGAAUAGCCUGUGUGUAUCAAACGUCACAACUUACUGGGUGACUAUAAAGGUGCUCUAUAGGUAUCUCCAAAGGUGUCUGUUAGGUUGGCAUGGAUCAAGACUGGGAUAUGUCACUCCGUGUGACACAGAGCUAUCUCGGGGCCCACUCGGUAAUACAAAAUCACAACAAGCCUUGCAAGAAAUGUGACUAAGGAGUUAGUUACGGGAUCUUGUAUUACGGAACGAGUAAAGAGACUUGCUGGUAACGAGAUUGAACUAGGUAUGGAGAUACCGACAAUCGAAUCUCAAGCAAGUAACAUACCGAAGGAGAAAGGGAACAACAUACGGGAUUAACUGAAUCCUUGACAUAGAGGUUCAACCGAUAGAGAUCUUAGUAGAAUAUGUAGGAGCCAAUAUGGACAUCCAGGUCCCGCUAUUGGUUAUUGACCGGGGAGUGUCUCAGGUCAUGUCUGCAUAAUUCUCGAACCCGCAGGGUCUGCACACUUAACGUUUGGUGACAUUAUGGUAUUAUUGAGUUAUGUGUGUUUGGUACUCGAAAGUUGUUUGGAGGCCCAGAUGAGACCCCGGACAUCACGAGGAGCUCCGAAAUGGUCUGGAGGUAAAGAUUGAUAUAUAGGAAAGUGGGUUUUGAACUCCGGAAAAGUUUUGACCAUUUCCGGCAGUGUACCGAGAGUGACGAAUGGGUUCCGGGGGUCCAGCAGGUGGGCCCACCCACCCCAAAGGGUCUCAUGGGCUGUGGGAGGACGUGGACCUACCCUUAGUGGGCUGGCCGAAGCCUCCACUAAAUCCCAAGGCGGAUUCGAGGUGGGAAGGAAAGAAACCCAAAGGUGGAAAAGGCGGAAAGGGUUUCCAAGUGGAGAGGAGGAAUCCUACUCCUAGUAGGAUUGGAGUAGGACUCCUACACCUACAAUUUCGGCCAAACCGUGAGGGUUUGAGGCUGCCUCCUUGUCACCCCAAGAUGCGACCCUAUCCUCAAUUUGGCACGAGGGCCUCGUCAGGGAUAGAAGCGCAUCUCGUCGUGUCGCAAGAAUGGAUAUCGUCACAAGUACAUGUACUGAAAAGAAGAGAUAUAUAUAGGGUUGGCUUACACUCGCCACAAGCUACAUGAGAGUCACAUCAGUACAUUACAUAAUCAGCAAGAGUAAGAGCAGGGUCCAACUACGGACGAAAACAAACGAGAAAAAUAAGAACGACGUCCAUCCUUGCUAUCCCAGGCUGCCGGCCUGGAACCCAUCCUAGAUCGAUGAAGAAGAAGAAGAAGCAACUCCAAAUGAACAAUCAACGCGAUCGCGUCAAGUAACCUUUACCUGUACCUGCAACUGGUGUUGUAGUAAUCUGUGAGCCACAGGGGACUCAGCAAUCUCAUUUCCAAAGGUAUCAAGACUAGCAAAGCUUAAUGGGUGAGGUAUGGUUAAGUGGUGAGGUUGCAGCAGCGGCUAAGCACAUAUUUGGUGGCUAACUUACGAGUACAAGAAAUAAGAGGGGGAUGAUCUACGCAUAACGGAUGUGAACUACUGUUGAUCAAAUGAAUGAUCCUGAACACCUACCUACGUCAGACAUAACCCCACCGUGUCCUCGAUCGGAGAAGGAACUCACGAAAGAGANNNNNNNNNNNNNNNNNNNNNNNNNNNNNNNNNNNNNNNNNNNNNNNNNNNNNNNNNNNNNNNNNNNNNNNNNNNNNNNNNNNNNNNNNNNNNNNNNNNNNNNNNNNNNNNNNNNNNNNNNNNNNNNNNNNNNNNNNNNNNNNNNNNNNNNNNNNNNNNNNNNNNNNNNNNNNNNNNNNNNNNNNNNNNNNNNNNNNNNNNNNNNNNNNNNNNNNNNNNNNNNNNNNNNNNNNNNNNNNNNNNNNNNNNNNNNNNNNNNNNNNNNNNNNNNNNNNNNNNNNNNNNNNNNNNNNNNNNNNNNNNNNNNNNNNNNNNNNNNNNNNNNNNNNNNNNNNNNNNNNNNNNNNNNNNNNNNNNNNNNNNNNNNNNNNNNNNNNNNNNNNNNNNNNNNNNNNNNNNNNNNNNNNNNNNNNNNNNNNNNNNNNNNNNNNNNNNNNNNNNNNNNNNNNNNNNNNNNNNNNNNNNNNNNNNNNNNNNNNNNNNNNNNNNNNNNNNNNNNNNNNNNNNNNNNNNNNNNNNNNNNNNNNNNNNNNNNNNNNNNNNNNNNNNNNNNNNNNNNNNNNNNNNNNNNNNNNNNNNNNNNNNNNNNNNNNNNNNNNNNNNNNNNNNNNNNNNNNNNNNNNNNNNNNNNNNNNNNNNNNNNNNNNNNNNNNNNNNNNNNNNNNNNNNNNNNNNNNNNNNNNNNNNNNNNNNNNNNNNNNNNNNNNNNNNNNNNNNNNNNNNNNNNNNNNNNNNNNNNNNNNNNNNNNNNNNNNNNNNNNNNNNNNNNNNNNNNNNNNNNNNNNNNNNNNNNNNNNNNNNNNNNNNNNNNNNNNNNNNNNNNNNNNNNNNNNNNNNNNNNNNNNNNNNNNNNNNNNNNNNNNNNNNNNNNNNNNNNNNNNNNNNNNNNNNNNNNNNNNNNNNNNNNNNNNNNNNNNNNNNNNNNNNNNNNNNNNNNNNNNNNNNNNNNNNNNNNNNNNNNNNNNNNNNNNNNNNNNNNNNNNNNNNNNNNNNNNNNNNNNNNNNNNNNNNNNNNNNNNNNNNNNNNNNNNNNNNNNNNNNNNNNNNNNNNNNNNNNNNNNNNNNNNNNNNNNNNNNNNNNNNNNNNNNNNNNNNNNNNNNNNNNNNNNNNNNNNNNNNNNNNNNNNNNNNNNNNNNNNNNNNNNNNNNNNNNNNNNNNNNNNNNNNNNNNNNNNNNNNNNNNNNNNNNNNNNNNNNNNNNNNNNNNNNNNNNNNNNNNNNNNNNNNNNNNNNNNNNNNNNNNNNNNNNNNNNNNNNNNNNNNNNNNNNNNNNNNNNNNNNNNNNNNNNNNNNNNNNNNNNNNNNNNNNNNNNNNNNNNNNNNNNNNNNUAAUUGGUUGUUAAACAGCAAAACAAAUAGGUUCACGUGAUUCUACGCGUCAAGGCAAGCAAUCUACACAAAAAGAACAUCUCCAACGGAGCUAGGUUCAAAAGAUACAAGCACCGCAAGAUAUGAUGGCAUGAGUGCAAAAAUGUGUGCAACGGCGGCUACGAGCACUUCAACACAUACAAACAGCAAGAGAAAAUGAAACUACACGAGAUUCUAAGCAAGUUUCAUGUAGGACACGAUCAAAACGGAGCUACGGUUCGAAAACUACGAGCAAAACAAGAAAACACUACAAUCUGCCAAAAUCAGCCAUAUAGCACUUUCUACGCCCCACAACUACGAGCUACACAACUCCGAUAUGCUCAAGCAAGGCAUGACACGGAAGAGGGCAAGAAGCACUACUACAAACAACUAACAACAACUAGCUUGGCAGCAAGGAGCACUAGGAAAAGAAGACACAAAAAGGCAUCUCACACACUAUUUCACACUUAGUGAAAAUUACACCUCAUGAAAGUGCAGUUUUCGAUCUGAAGCAAUAUUGACAGCAGUAAAACAUAUAGCUACAGGACUCCAAAUGGCAUGAAACUUCACAGCAUGCUAGAGAAACACAAGGGUUACAACCUACUCCAUUGGACCAACCUGAAAAGAGCUACAGAUCACAAGAUGCAAGCAAGACAAGACAGCAAGAAAAUAUAACAGAUUCCAGACUUAGAAAUAUUUCAGCACGUCCAAAACCGCACUAUUUCUAGCAACUUGAGAGCAAGCAAACUACACCUAAACAUGCAUUUCUAUUGCAACUAAAAAUACCAGGGGCUAAACAAAACAUCCAAGAUCAACUCUCUAGUUGACAACUCCAUCAAACUACGCACGGAAUAAAUCCUACGAAUUAAUCAAAAGGGCAACAUGGCAAAAUAUCUCGCGAACUAACUUGCUCAAAAGCUAAAACUAAUUGCAAAGAAAAAUCCAUGGGAUUUUUCUACCCCGGAAACAUAUAAAAUAUGUGGGGUUUGCAACACAAAAUAAAGCCACACGAAAAUGAGGGAAAUAAACCUAGACACGAAAAAUAAUUUAGCGGCAAAUCCGUACACGCAAAAAAAUACCAAAGACCGCUCUAAAAUGCAUGCAAAAAUGAUUCCUAAAACAUGAACAUUUCUAUCAUGGCAUUCGAGCAAUUCAAACAUGCGCGGAAAAUAAAUGCGGGCACUUUCCUAUUGAGGCAGCACGGUAAAGAGUGCAUUUGGCACGUUAACUAGCUCAAAUAAUUAUGCAAGUUUGAUAAACGGGUUCUACUUGAGAAACUGCACGUUUUACAUAUAUAAUACUCUCCGAUCCGACUAACGGAAUAAAAGAUACGGCGUUUUAAUAUCCGACAAUUUUCCUGGAAUUAAAUUAAUUCCAAAAUCCUAAAUAAACUAAACGGGCCAAACUGGUAGGCGCAAAAUUGCAACAUGGUGCAUGGGGCGCUGGUGAGAGGGGCUCACCUUCGGGCCAAAGUGGGCCGGCCUCGGGCGGAUGAGGAGCAGGAGGCCUCAAUCUGGGCCGGCUCGGGGAAGGCGGAGCUGGGCCGGGGCAAGGCUCUGGGCAAGCCGGCCCACGUUGCCAGCAUGGGGAGCAGCCCAGGCGACGCUGGAGCGGGGCGCUCGGGCGGCUCGUCUCUCCCUCGAGAAGACACCGCCAUGGCGACGCAGAGCUCGGGCCUCCGGCGGGAAUCGCUGCACGAGGGUGGUUGGCGACGGAGGGAGGCACAGCCGGCCGGAUCUGGCCGGUCUUCGCCGGAUCUGGCCGGCGGCGGGGGCGAGGCAGCAAGGCGGCGCUGGGGCGCUGCUGCGUGCACGGGAUGGUCGGCGGGGCUCGAUGGGAGAGGGUCUCCGGCUGGCGGCCCCGGGUAGAGGACGGCGCGGGACUCCGGCGAGCUGCUGGCGGCGGGCAUGGGGUAGGCGGCGGAGGCGCUACAGGGAGGCAGUGACGGCGCAACGAGGAGGCUCGGCGCAGGGACGAGAACGGGGCGGCGGCGGCGGCGGCCGGAUGGGCCUGCCCGGGCCCGAUCUGGGCUCGGCGGGGCCGCGGCGGCUGGGGGGGGGGGGGNNNNNNNNNNNNNNNNNNNNNNNNNNNNNNNNNNNNNNNNNNNNNNNNNNNNNNNNNNNNNNNNNNNNNNNNNNNNNNNNNNNNNNNNNNNNNNNNNNNNNNNNNNNNNNNNNNNNNNGCUAUAGAAACGGGGGGGGGGGGGGGGGGGCUAGGUUAGCCGGAAUCGCGUUCCGGAUCCAACCGCGGGGUCGGAUUCGGACGAUUCCGAACGCGGGUAUGGGUACGUGGCCGUGUAGAGGGAAUAUCGGGAGACGAGAGGGAGAACGGGCGGCGCGGCACGAAUUUUAAAACACCGACAGACGUCCGACGGUAGACCGAAUACGGUGCCGCUACGGUCGACCGUUCGGGUACCAGACGGUCUCCGAUCGUGGCGAAAUUCGAUACGGUCGACCGUUCGGGUACUAGACGGUCUCCGAUCGCGACGAAAUUCGACACGCGGUCUAGCGAUAACUAAUUAAGACCGCAGGUCAAGCUUCGACUCAAUCAGAGAAAGUUUUAAACGCACUUUAAAAACAGGGUUUCGACGGUGCCGCAGGCGCGUGCGAGUGCGGUCGGGCUCAGAACGGACGACGACGCGAACCGGCAACUAACAACGGAUGCAAGUUUGAAAACUGGCGGCAACGGAGAUCCGAUGCAAUGCAGAUGAUGCGCAGGAUGUGAUGAUGAUGCGACUAAUAAAAUAAGCCACACGACGAAAAUGGAAAGAGAGGGGAAUCUUUUGGAACGUCGGCAUCGGGCUGUCACAACUCUCCUACACUACAAGAAGAUCUCGCCCGAGAUCCAAGAAUGAAAGGGGGAGAGGAUGAGAAAGAAGAGGUAAAACUUAGUCGCUUCUUUGAAAAACGAGUGAAACGAACGAUCCUUGAAGGUUGCAAAGAGAUGCGGAAUGAUAUGAGGAAGAAGCAAGAAUUCACGGAAAAUUUCGGCAGCACUUCGGUAGGAAAAUGGGACAAAAAAUUCGAUAAGAUGGAAGAAAUAGACGAUAUUCAUAACAAACAACUAAAUAGAGCAAGGGAACACCACAAUCUUGAUAGAACAACAUAAUAGACCCAAAAGAGCAACAUCACCAAGCCUCCGGAACAAGAGAAUAUGAACUAGCUCAAGCAGAAGAAGAGAAUGAAGAAAAGAAUGACAACUAUAUCACAAAUGAACUGCAGAGCCUCCGGACAGAGAAUUGACUUAGAAGUUGGAAAACCAACAACGAAAAGAACAAGAUAGUAGUGGGCUUACGAAAAUCAUCUCAACAAAUAUGAGGUGACAACCAACCACUACAAGAACCAAGGAUAGAAGAAAGCACAGAUAUCAAAACUCUUAGACCAAGAGGGUGCAUUGAGAACUGGGAUUACUGACAAGCACCAUGAUAGCAACAAUUCAUAGGAAAAGCUUUAGGUGAAAUCCAAACCAAGAUAGCUCAAUGAAGAAAUCAUGGGUUGAAAUAUCUCAUGACCAUAGAAUUGGUGGAUUUAAUUAUCUCAUUCUUGAAAGGAAAACUCUUCGAGGCUCCUACACUAACAAGAAUGCUAUAAUACCACCUCAAAGGACAAAGGAAGAACAAUUUGCACAUAGAAAUGCAAGAGAAAGGAUACUCGAGGUUCUCCAACAAGAAUCUUGAAGAACACUUAAGAAGGAAUGAAAUCUUGAUGAACCACCAUGAAGGACCACCGUAUACGAAUGAAUGAUGCAAAAUUAUGAAGGUGGAAAAGAAUAAGAUUAUGAACUGCCAAGAUUUAGAUGAAGCUACACAAAGAGAUAGUUGAUAAAACUUGGAACUCCGGAAAAGAAAAGAUAAGAACACUUGAGAAAAGAAUUGACAUCAUGAGACACUCCGGAAGAAGAAUUCAAAAUACUACGAACAAGAAUAAGAAUUAUGUUAAGCUUAUCCUUCAUCAAUUUAAACUGAUGACAAUCAACGGAUUUAGCAUACCACUUAUUCUUCUUGGAAUGAUCUUGAAGAGACAAAGAGAUAAGCACCACUUGAAGCAUAAUUGAAGAAAGCACCGGUAAGAAUUCACAAUUGAAUGGGAACACCACGAAUUAAUGGAUAUACAAGAGAAUGUAAAGAUCAUGAGCCACCUAACAGAAAACUUGAACAAGGCACCGGAUAAACGAGAGACAAACGAAGAGACAACAAUUGAGAAGAAUUGAGGAUGAAAGCUGAAAGCUGAGAACGAAGAAGUCUUCUGAAAUGAUGGCCUUCGGAGGAACGGGAAAUAAAAACAACUCAGAAAUGCACCGGAUAGCACGAAAGGGAUUACUCACGAUAGAAACAAUUGAGAGGAAAACACGAAGCUGAGAUGAUAAUCUUCACAAGAAUGGAGCAAGAUUGAGAAUGAUGACGAGAAACAACCCACGAAUAACUGAGACACUCCGGAAUAAAGAAAAUUGCAAGGUUGAGCCAAACAUGAGAAUUAAUCCAAAUUGAUCUUGGAGAAAGAAUAUGACUGAUGAAAAACAUACUUACGUCAUAGUUGAAAAGAAUUAAGGAUCUACGGAAAAAGAUUAAAGAGACAGGUAAGAUCCUGGGAAAACCUGUGGGUUAUGGGCCCACUCAAAGAAAAUCACCGUUGAAACAAUAGCUAGAACGAGAGAUAUUGCACCGGAAUAAGAAAACUAGAUGAGGUUGAGAACCUUGAAAUAAUGAAAGACCUGAAACAAGAAACUCUGAGGUAUCUUCAACGCUCCGGAUGGAAUAGCGAUAACUGAAUAAACAAGAUAGGCUGAAACGAAUCUCCAACAUAGGAAAGAAUUACAAGCACGAAAAGGAUAUGAUGAACACGGACAACUAAAUUAAAUUCACCGGAUAAGAGAGAAAAGAACAGACAGCGGGAGCACAAUGAAAAGAAAACUCUUGGAUGAAAAUUGAAUCACUGAGAAAAAAGGUGGGAGGGCGGGGAAAAACAAAGACAACUUGGGACGGAUGAGAUGAACUCCGGAUGGAAUAAGAGAAUGAUCUUGCAAAAUAGGAGAGGAUGGAAUUCACUUGAAGAGAAACACACCGGUUGAAAAAGAAUUGAUAUGGCGACUCCGAUUGACAAAAUUGAUGAGGCAAUUGAUUGAGCAAAAGGAUUAGCACUCUCACAUAAAAAUAUGAGAACACCUCUUAGAAAGGUCUGAAAUCACCACUUGACAUCGAAGCAACUUGAAUUACCAUAUUCAACAAAACAAAGGGUGCGGCUUAUGAAGCAAGCCAGAACAAACUCAUGAGAAAGAUUUCCAUUCUAUAUUUUCGUGGACAGGAUCGCACGGGCACGAUUUACAGAAGCCAUCAAGUGCAAGGCAGUGCACCUGACAUACGAAGCGUCCCCGAGUCAUAGCAAGCUACAAGGACUCUUUAAGACACAACGUGUACCGCUGUAAGUCGACUGUGAACAAAUGAAUCCACUAGAUGUCGAACCCCAACCUAACAUCAUUCAUUUGUUGGAAGAUUGUCCUAUAAGAAACUACUUGAAUUCCCACCUAUGAAUUCCCGAAAUAUCUGGUCAUGCAAUCUGGUACACGGAUACAAGGAGUAAUAACACACAACUCCUAUACUAACCCGUCACUUGUAUCACAUCCGUCAACACACGACCAGAAUCUCGGACCUUCAUCUACAACAGACCCUCGUGAUCACAACGAUACAAAGUAUGGCAGUACUCCCGAACAAUCUGCACCAGUACUGGGGACAUCGGGGCUAUCUCGCCACUACUAGUAUUGAAGCAAUUACGAACAUCCUUCGUUCUGAGAUACUAAGAAAUCUGAAUGAUAACGAUGUGCUCAAGUAUCCCCUGGAGCUCAACUCCCCGGAAGAAAAUCAAGUCAGACAGGAGGCACCAAGACAGAACUCCAUCACAUCGGCAUCAUAUAGAUUCCAAAUAUAUCCGCGUGAUCCUAAAAAAAAUUUGAGUGAGAAAAGGAGUAGAGAAAAUUAUCACGUCAAGAUUCCUCACAAAGCAUAGAAGAGGAGAAAAAAGAAUCCUACUCUCCGAUAUAUAACUAGACUCAAAGUAGUUUUUUACUAAAUUCGACUCGGCCAAGUUCGAUCAAUCAAGGGGGCUCCUAGGUUGGUACGGCUCUGAUACCAACUUGUCACGCCCAAGAUGCGACCCUAUCCUCAAUUUGGCACGAGGGCCUCGUCAGGGAUAGAAGCGCAUCUCGUCGUGUCACAAGAAUGGAUAUCGUCACAAGUACAUGUACUGAAAAGAAGAGAUAUAUAUAGGGUUGGCUUACACUCGCCACAAGCUACAUGAGAGUCACAUCAGUACAUUACAUAAUCAGCAAGAGUAAGAGCAGGGUCCAACUACGGACGAAAACAAACGAGAAAAAUAAGAACGACGUCCAUCCUUGCUAUCCCAGACUACGGAUGAAAACAAACGAGAAAAAUAAGAACGACGCCCAUCCUUGCUAUCCCAGACUGCCGGCCUGGAACCCAUCCUAGAUCGAUGAAGAAGAAGAAGAAGCAACUCCAAAUGAACAAUCAACGCGCUCGCGUCAAGUAAUCUUUACCUGUACCUACAACUGGCGAAAUGAACAAUCAACGCGCUCGCGUCAAGUAACCUUUACCUGUACCUGCAACUGGUGUUGUAGUAAUCUGUGAGCCACAGGGGACUCAGCAAUCUCAUUUCCAAAGGUAUCAAGACUAGCAAAGCUUAAUGGGUGAGGUAUGGUUAAGUGGUGAGGUUGCAGCAGCGGCUAAGCACAUAUUUGGUGGCUAACUUACGAGUACAAGAAAUAAGAGGGGGGAUGAUCUACGCAUAACGGACGUGAACUGCUGGUGAUCAAAUGAAUGAUCCUGAACACCUACCUAUGUCAUACAUAACCCCACCGUGUCCUCGAUCGGAGAAGGAACUCACGAAAGAGACAGUCACGGUUACGCACACGGUUGGCAUGUUUUAAUUAAGUUAACUUCAAGUUAUCUAGAACCAGUGUUAAACAAAGUUUCCACGUUGCCACAUAACCGCAGGCACGGCUUUCCGAAAGAUUUAACCCUGCAGGGGUGCUCCAACUAGUCCAUCACAAAUUACCACAAGCCGCAUAGAAAUCCUCAAUCACGAAGCUCGCGAUCUCGUCGGAUUCCCUAGUGGAAAACCUCAACUCUGAGAUUACCCAAAGCAUCACCGGAAUCCCGAUGCACAAGAUAUCUCGUCAAAGGUAAAACUAAUCCAGCAAGGCCGCCCGACGUGUCGACGUACCCGAUAGGAGCCGCGUAUCUCGUUCUCAGGACACGACGGAUGGAACUAGCUACGAGUGCCAAACCUCGAGUUUCCUCGCGGUGGCCCCGCAGGCAGACCGUUUGGGACCAACACCAUCAACACUGGCCCCCCUGUUUAUGUGAAAUUACUCCUCGGGUAGCGCUAACUCCCUAUGCAUUUCAAUGUAACAGAAUUAUUAUGUUGGGCAAAAGUAAAACCAAUGUUGGGCCUUGCCAGACCAGCUUUAAUCUAAGACGAAUUAUCAAGGGGGUCCCCAUAACAACCCCGAUCGUGUUAGGAGCGCUCGUUUAUGGAACAUAACACCGGUAGCCAAAACUAAGGCGUCAAAGGUGGAACAAAAUACCAUGCUAGAAAGGCCGAGCCUUCCACCUUUUACCAAGUAUAUAGGUGCAUUAAAUUAAAUAGCAUUUAAUAUGGUGAUAUAACAAGGAACCCAUGUUUUCACAUGGAAGCAACUGCACCUGCAACUAGCAACGCUAUCAACAGGGUGAAGCAAGCAGUAACAUAGCCAAUCAAUGGUUUGCUAGGUCGAACAAGUUGAUGGUAAUCAUGGCAUUGUUGAGAGGCUGGUAUUUAACAAGUGGUAGGUAACGAGACAUAAACGAUAGAAGCGAUAAACUAGCAUGGCAAUGAUAGUAAUGGUAUCUGGGGAAAUGAUCAUCUUGCCUGAGAUCCCGCUUGGAAGAAGAAUGACUCCGUGAAGCAGACGAACCGAUGUAGUCGAACGGGUCCUCACUUCCCGACACGCUUGCGGAACUCUAUCGAGAAGAGGGGAACCGGAAACAAGAAUCAACACACGAUAUUCACCACGGAAUAUGCACGACAAGAUGCAACUCACAUAUGAUGCAUGACCAGCUGAAUAUAUGCAAGACAUGGCAUGUCAAAUCACAACAACCAAAUACUACACAUUAAAUGAAGUUUAAUAUGAACGAGUUGCAUAUUGACGAAACUCCACAUACGAAUUAUUUAGUUCUAUCCCGAUUAGGUACACGGUAAUAUUAAAUGUGGUUAAACAUGGCAAGAGGUGAAGCGUAAUUAAACUACCUAUCUAGGCACUUUAAAUGAGGAUGGAAAUGACAUAUAGCACCUCCGGAACGACCUCACAUGUUAAUUUACAAUUCUGUCCAGAUCUGAACUAACACGUUUAAACGUUUGUUAAACAGAAAAAUAAAUAGGUUCACGUGAUUCUACGUGUCGUUACAAGCAAUUUACACAUAGAGAACAUAUCCAACAGAGCUACGGUUCAAAAGAUACGAACACCACAAGAUAUGAUGGCAUGAAUGCAAAAUGUGUGCAACGACAGUCACGAGCCUUUCAAAACACACAACCAGUAGGAUAAAAUGAAACUACAUGAGAUUCGAAGCAAGUUUCAUAUAGGACACGAUCAAAACGGAGCAACGGUUCAACAACUACGAGCUAAACAAGAAAUCACUACAAACUGCCAAAAUCAGGCACAUAACAUUUUCUACACCCCAAAACUACGAGCUACAGAAAUCCAAAAUACUCAACCCAGGCAUGAGGCAAUAGAGGUCAAGAUGCACUACAACAUACAACUAACAACAACUAGCAUGGAAGCAUGGAUCACUAGGAAAAGAACUCACAAAAUGGCUUCUCACAGACACUUUCAGACUUAGUGAAAAUGUCAGUUUAUGACAGUGCAGUUUUCGAUCUGAAGGCAUAUUGACAACAGAAAAACCAUAAGCUACAGGACUCCAAAUGGCAUGAAAGUUGACAGCAUGCUAGAGAAUCCGAAAGUGUCAAACGACGCACGGAAUAAAUCCCACGAAUUAAUCAAAAGGGCAACAUGGCAAAAUAUCUCCCGAACUAACUUGCUCAAAAGCUAAAACUAAUUGCACAGGAAAUAAAUGCGGGAAACAUAUAAAAUAUGUGGGGUUUGCAACACAAAAUAAAGCCACACGAAAAUGAGGGAAAUAAACCUAGACACGAAAAAUAAUUUAGCGGCAAAUCCGUACACGCAAAAAAAUACCAAAGACCGCUCUAAAAUGCAUGCAAAAAUGAUUCCUAAAACAUGAACAUUUCUAUCAUGGCAUUCGAGCAAUUCAAACACGCGCGGAAAAUAAAUGCGGGCACUUUCCUAUUGAGACAGCACGGUAAACAGUGCAUUUGGCACGUUAAACUAGUUCAAAUAAUUAUGCAAGUUUGAUAAACGGGUUCUACUCGAGAAACUGCACGUUUUACAUAUAUAAUACUCUCCGAUCCGACUAACGGAAUAAAAGAUACGGCGUUUUAAUAUCCGACAAUUUUCCUGGAAUUAAAUUAAUUCCAAAAUCCUAAAUAAACUAAACGGGCCAAACUGGUAGGCGCAAAAUUGCAACAUGGUGCAUGGGGCGCUGGUGAGAGGGGCUCACCUUCGGGCCAAAGUGGGCCGGCCUCGGGCGGAUGAGGAGCAGGAGGCCUCUUUCGGGCCAAAGUAGGCCGGCCUGGGGCGGAUGAGGAGCAGGAGGCCUCGAUCUGAGCCGGCUCGGGGAAGGCGGAGCUGGGCCGGGGCGAGGCUCUGGGGAAGCCGAUCCACGUUGCCACCGUGGGGAGCGGCCCAGGCGGCGCUGGAGCGGGGCGCUCGGGCGGCUCGUCUCUCCCUCGAGAAGACACCGCCAUGGCGAUGCAGAGCUCGGGCCGCCGGCGGGAAUCGCUGCAGGAGGGUGGUUGGCGAAGGAGGGAGGCACAGCCGGCCGGAUCUGGCCGGUCUUUGCCGGAUCUGGCCGCCGGCGGGGGCGAGGCAGCAAGGCGGCGCUGGGGAGCUGCUGCGUGCACGGGAUGGUCGGCGGGGCUGCGGGGCUCGACGGGAGAGGGUCUCCGGCUGGCGGCCCCGGGUAGAGGACAGCGCGGGACUCCGGCGAGCUGCCGGCGGCGGGCAUGGGGUAGGCGGCGGUGGCGCCAUAGGGAGGCGGCGGCGGCACUACAGGGAGGCAGCGGCGGCGCAACGGGGAGGCUCGGCGCAGGGACAAGAACGGGGCGGCGGCGGCGGCCGGAUGGGCCUGCCCAGGCCCGAUCUGGGCUCGGCGGGCCCGCGGCGGCUGGUGGGAGAGGCUGCGGAUCUGGCUAGGGUUAGGGUAGGGUCGCACGGAAUUCGAGGAGGGGGUUGUCUAAAUUAAGAGGGGGUCUAUAUAUAGACAAACGGGGGGGACUCGGACGAUUCCGAACACGGGUAUGGGUACGUGGCCGUGUAGAGGGAAUAUCCGGAGACGAGAGGGAGAACGGGCGGCGCGGCACGAAUUUUAAACACCGACAGACGUCCGACGGUAGACCGAAUACGGUGCCGCUACGGUCGACCAUUCGGGUACCAUACGGUCUCCGAUCGCGACGAAAUUUGACAGGCGGUCUAGCGAUAACUAAUUAAGACCGCAGGUCAAGCUUCGACUCAAUCAGAGAAAGUUUUAAACGCACUUUAAAAACAGGGUUUCGACGGUGCCGCAGGCGCGUGCGAGUGCGGUCGGGCUUAGAACGGACGACGACGCGAACCGGCAACUAACAACGGAUGCAAGUUUGAAAACUGGCGGCAACGGAGAUCCGAUGCAAUGCAGAUGAUGCGCAGGAUGUGAUGAUGAUGCGACAAAUAAAAUAAGCCACACGACGAAAACGGAAAGAGAGGGGAAUCUUCUGGAACGGCGGCAUCGGGCUGUCACACUCCUCCCCUCCCUCCCUCCUAUAUAUACUAGAGAUUUUAGAGGGAAGAGCUAACCAUAAUUGCCACGUGUUCCCUCUAUUUCAUCUAGAUCGGUUUCUCCUCUAGUCUAGUUCGGCGGUGCUUAGGCGAAGCCCUGCUGGAUUAGUUCACCACCACCACCACCACCACCACGCCGCCGUGCUGGAGAACUCAUCUACCUCUCCGUCCCUCUUGCAGGAUCAAGAAGGCGGGGAUCGUCAUCGAGCUGUACGUGUGCUGAACGUGGAGGUGCCGUCCAUUUGGCACUAGAUCGGGAUGGAUCGUGAUGGGAUCGCAUGACGGAUCGUGAUGAGAUCGCGGGAUGGGCUGCGAUUUGGAUCGCGAAGAUGUUCCACUACAUCAACCGCGUUAUAUACGCUUCCGCUUAGCGAUCUACAAGGGUAUGUAGAUUCACUCUCCCCUCUCGUAGAUGAUCAUCACCAUGGAUAGGUAUUGCGUGUGCAUAGGAAUUUUUUUAUUUUCCCAUGCGACAUUCCCCAACAAUUUACCUAGGAGAGAGGACUAGGUCCUAUGAUAGACGAGUUUUUCUGGUUUAUGACAUUAUGUAGUAGUGGUAAACUUGGCAUGAUUAACAUGAUGAUGACUUGUUAGAUGAUUAAAAGGAUGAUAAGUUAUAUGAUAUAUGAGAUUAAAGUGGGUAAUGAGCUAUUAUAUGACAUAUAUUAGAUUAAAGUGAAUGACACAACAUCGUAUUUUUCUGUAAUUCAACUUGGGCACUUGGAUCCAUUCAUUUUACUCUAAUGUUCUCAACAUUGUAGUUUCCUCCAAUUCACAUUGGUCUGUUGCAUCCAUCUACUUUAAUCUAAAUGAUAUUUCUUCCAUAAUUAUUAUUUAUAUUUUAUAUUAAUUUGUAUAAUCGUGUGAAAAUAUAAUAUAAAUAUAAAAAAAUACACGCAAUUAGUAAUGGCGCGGGGUAUAGACACACACUGCUAAUAGUUAGCAGUAGCGAUGAUACAAAACAUACUAUUGUUUUCUCGAGUAGAGUGAGGACGAUGACGCGGACGCAAUGAAAGCAGUCGGAUAAGGUGUGGCUUGGUGAGGCGGACGGCGAAGAAGGAGUGCGCGAGGGCCACUUCUUUUCUCAAGUUCCAAUAGCAUGUGGAAAAAAUCCCUUAUAAGGAGGUUCAAUGUUUUUCUACACUAGCGGGAUAUGACUAAACUUCUCACCUUCAUCAUGACACCUCAGAAGCAUAGGGUAUCUAAUGAAAAAUCAGUAUUCCAAAUAUAUAAGUCAUCAUGCGUGGAAGAAGCUCCUCAUUUCUACCGAUCUUUAAUUUUCAUUUUAUAUGUUGCUAUUUUCAUCGGCUGACCCAUUAAUAGGAGUUGCAUGUUGUUUUUUAGAAAUUAAUUAUAUGAAAAAUAAUAGAGUUGUUGGCUCCUUCCAAUUUUCCAAACAGGUCAGAUAGAAAUCAUCAUUGUCAUUGAUUUUUAUUUUAAUAUUCUUUUUAAUAUUCUCAAUCCAGUCUUUAUGUAUCUAGGUUGCGAUGUAACUCUUUAGAUGCCCUAUGCACCUGAACGAGUAAAUUGCCAAAAACUACCACAUUUCACGCAAAUGUAAUAAGUGGCUACCAAUUUAUGGUUAUUAGCGAAAAACUAUCAAAAAUUUUCUAAUCCGUUGCUAAAAACUAUUAAAAAUUUAACUGUCCGAUUUAGCUCUUUUAACCUUUUUUCUGGCAAGGCUGGCCCACAAGUCACAUGCCAGCAUGACCCGUUGCAUUUUAUCGAACACCUUCAGCGCGCGUUGAGGUCGUGCUCCAGCCCGUGGCCGACGAGGAGCCGGGCGGCGCCCACCAGCGUCAGUCUCGUCUUGGGCGAGGUGGCAGAGGAGGACGCCAACGCCAUGGCCGCGGUAGCGUCGGCGAGGGCGGUGACCUGGAGGAAGACGGACAUCGAUGCGGCCGCCGUGUCGCUCACGGCCUGGGCCACGGUUCGCGCUACCUCGACCCCUGACGAGGAGGAGGAGGUGGCGUGGGUAUGCACGGGCGCGCAACGGGCGACGGCGGCGGCGAGGCCGGCAAGGUCCUUGGCGGCGCGGCGCUGAGCGCGGGCUGCGGAGGCGAGCUUGACGGGGUCACGGCGGCGAACGGCUGCGCGGAGGUCGGCGGUAUGGCCGCGGAGCGCGAGCAGGGCGGCCAGGAAGGAGCCGUAGGCGUCCGCGAGGGCGAGGAAGCCGUCGAGCAGGGCGUCAGCCGGGGCGAGCGCGAGCGGCACGUACGAGUGCUCCAGCAGCUCAUCGGCUCACACUUGGACAGCGGAAGCGGAGGAUGCUGUCCAAGACCGAGCUCGGCGUGCAGUUCGCGCAAGAAAUCAGCCGCCGCCGCCGCGUUCUUCAUCUGGUUGGUGGGAGAUUCGUUGGGGCCUCGGGCGAGACCACCAGGGCCACGAGCGGCAUCCUGGAGCGCGAAGAAGGCGCCGGCUUCCUGCACCGGAGCGGCACGGUGGGCGGCGUCCUGGAGCGCGAAGAAGGAGUCGGCUUCUUGCACCGGAGCGGCACGGUGGGCGGCGUCCUGGAGGGCGAAGAAGAGGCCUGCCGGCUGCGGCGAGGACACGCACAGGGACGCACAUAACCUGUUCGAUGUAAUGCACAUGAGGAUGAAGAGAGGUGGAAGAAAGGUCUAACGUGUGGGUCCUAUCUGUAAUAACGGUCAAAGCUAACAGUCAAUCUGACAUGUGGGCUUGUCAGAAGAACGAUUAAAAGAGCUAAAUCGGGCAGUUAAUUUUUUUGAUAGUUUUUAGCAAUGGAUUAGAAAAUUUUUGGUAGUUUUUUGCUAAUAAUCGUAAAGUGUUAGCCACUGGACACAUUUACGUGAAAUGUGGUGGUUUUUGAACGGAGGGAGUUGUUAAUUAUCCAACAACAUAUUAAUCAGCACUUAUAUAUGAUCGUGGAUGCACCAGGUGCAAUACCAACCACACUCUUAUUACAAUAAUUUCACAAGCACUUAAGGAUCGGGGUUAGCUCUUUGGAGGCCGACGCCGAGGGCUCCAUCUGCUCCCACCCCUGCCUCCCCAGCCUCAUCUCCAGGCUCGGAGCCAUAACCAUGGCCACGUCGUGCAGCCCACGGUCGCGUGCACAAUCCCCAUGGCCAUCGUCGUCGUAGCGCCGCGGGGGCAACGCCAAACAUCCGAAGCUCUCGGUCCCAUCGACGUCGUCGCUGCUGCUGCUGCUGGUGUUGCUCGCUGACGGCUUACGACGGCGUGGGGCUGCUGGCGGCGCCAUUCCGUUCUCUGGCAUGAUGUGUUCAUGAUCAUGAGGUUCGGAGGUCGUCAGGUAAGGUGGCACCAUUGCUGCUGCUGGUGCUGCCGCUUGUCUCCUCCAAGCAUCGUGAUGGUCUUGCCCUCCAGCUGGUGACUCCGACCUCCUGCAUGCAGUACGAAUCAAUCAGUUAAUGCACACAUAUAUGAGUCGGAGCUUCACGUCGAGGGGUGUCAGGUGUGGCGUCAGGCAAACACCAGAAACAUCACCAUACGGUGGCCUCUGUAAAAUUACCCUAGACCAUAGCUAGUAGCCGGACGUUCAAAGGUACCAUCUGGACGGAUUCCAGCUUUACAGACUCGUUCCUUUUCCUAUUUUAUUUUACCGACAUAUUGAGCAUCUUCAACCCGACUCUCAAAUUGUCCAUAUAUGUGGGCGAAGACACUUUUGGAUCCACCACGGGAGUAACUCUCGGGCGAAAGGAGGCGAUCGGUAGGCGAUCCCGGGCUGCCGCUAGGGUUAGGGUUUCUCGCCGGGGGUGCGAAGGGUUCCGGUGGGGAUCUGGAUGACGACUGCGUCCUCCAAGAUCACCGACCGACGCGGGAUAGGCUCUCCUGAGGGAGGAGCUAUGGCGGAGAAGGAAGACAGGAGGAAGACGGUUUCACCGGAUGGCCAAGGUACGAAGCCGAGACAGGAGGUAAGCCGGGGAUCCAGGAAAAUAGGAACGCCGGUGAAGGAAAGGAAGGAGAACGCAGAUGGGGUAUCGCCGGUGACCAGUAGGACUCCGGACGCAUCGGCUAGCCUCUCGGCAAAACUUGGUGGGAUGGCAUUGACGGAGAAGGAAGCGCAAGGUUUGAUGUUUUCGGGAACCAAGGAGGCCGCGCCGGCGGCGAAAAGAUGGACGUUGAUUGGAAAAGCUUGCACCCCUAGGGUCAUGAAUUUCGUGGCACUAGAACGAUCACUGAGGAGAGCUUGGGGCCUGCAUCAUGAUGCGCAGUUUCGUGAUCUCGGGAAUAACCUAUUUUUGGUCCACUUUGGAGGGGAAGGAGAUUGGAAGCAUGCUAGGAACAAUGGGCCGUGGCAAUUUGAUUUCAAUGUCUUAAUUCUUAAGGACUAUGAUGGGAAGACGAGGCCGUCGGAGAUGAUCUUUGACACGGUGGAUGUCUGGGUCAGAGUAGAGGAUCUACCCCUAGAUAAAAGAACCAAGGAAUUUGGGGAGGUCCUUGGGAACUGGCUUGGGGAGGUUGUGAAAGUGGAUGUGGAAAGCGAUGGAUUUGCUAAAGGGAAAUACCUUAGAGUUCGGGCGAAGAUAUUAGUCUAUGAGCCGCUGGUUCGAUACUUCAAUCUGAAGGAGUCAAAGGAAGAUGACGAAGGAACAUGGUUUAAUUUCUCCUAUGAGAAAAUUCCCCACUUUUGCUUUGAAUGUGGAAGACUUGUGCAUGCAGAAGGAAAAUAUGACCCACCAGUAGACAAGUCUGCCCAAUGGGGCGAAUGGCUGAGAGCAUCCCCUGGCCGAAUCUCGAUUGGCAAGGGAGGAGGAUAUGGAGGGGCUGCUAGCAGUAGUUUUAGUGGGGAGAGCUCUCGCACUGGCGCGAGCGACCCGAUUAGAUUCCCGUCAGCUAGGGUUCGGGAUCUCCCAACAAAGCGCAACAUUCAGAAAGAAUUAUCGCAGGCGAGCUACUCUCACACUGGUGAGGGUGUGCAACGAAAUAAAAUUGAGGUAAACCGCCCGGCUAGAGGGUCGCGAGGAAGCAGUGAAGCAGGAUCAAAAGAUCUAAGACAUGCUCUAGAGAGGAGGGAGCUGGAUUUACGUCAGGAGCUGAUAAACAAAAAAGGUGGAGUAGAUGAGAAGGUUGCUGGCCAGGAAGAGAUGCAGAGAUCAGAUCCUAUGGACUAUGACGCUCAUCCAAAGGCUCGAGAGAUAAGGAAGAGGGGUACAUUCACACGCAGGCCAAGACCCAACGAAGGGAUCUAUCGGCCGAAGGUAAGGGCGGAGCACCUCCCCAGAGAGUCACGUAAAAGGAGACUGAAGCAACUCUGGGUGGUGAAAGGUGAUCAGGACAAGCAAGUCUCACAGGAUACUUUCAUUCGGGAAACAAGGCUAAAACCAAAUACUGUUUUUGAACGACUCGAUGCUCCUAAUGAUACAUCGGCGGACCCUGCGAGCCAGGGCCGCCGGGAUCAAUGAAUUGCCUUGCCUGGAACUGCCGUGGUUUGGGGUUGGACCCGACAGUUGGCGAAUUAAGAGACCUGGUAAGGUCCUACAACCCAGUGGUGGUGUUCCUCAGCGAAACUAAGAAGAAAGCACGGGCUAUGGAGAGGAUUAGAUGGAGCUUGGGGUUCCCUAAUGGGAUCUCUGUUGAUUGUGUGGGCAAGAGUGGGGGUUUGUCGCUUUGGUGGAGAGAUAAUGUGCAAGCCACCAUCAGACCAUGGAGCCAGUUCUUCAUUGAUGCAGAGCUUUGCUUUGAUGGGAAAUCCUUCAGAUUCACAUGAUUCUAUGGAGAACCCAGGACAAAGCUUAGAGGCAAAUCAUGGGAAGCCCUCCGUUAUUUAAAGGCACAAAAUAAUUUACCUUGGUUAUGUGCAGGAGAUUUCAAUGAAAUACUCACUCUGGAGGAACAAAAGGGGGGGGGGGAAUCCAAGACCUUUUUCUCAGAUGGAGAAAUUCCGAGAUUGCCUGUCCGACUGCGGACUGCAAGACCUUUUUCUCAGAUGGAGAAAUUCCGAGAUUGCCUGUCCGACUGCGGACUGGCGAACAUGGGAUCCACGGGUUACUAUUUCACAUGGGAUAAUAAGAGACCGGAUGGGGAUAAUAUCCAGGUUAGGCUGGAUCGAGCGUUGUGUAAUGUUGACUUCAUGUCCUUAUACCCAGCUUCGAGGGUGGAAAACAUUGUUACGGAGGAGUCUGAUCAUAUGGAUGUUCUUAUCCGGGUGUUGGAGACUGCUCCGGACACUGGAAGGAGAAAGGAUCGGCCAUUUCAAUUCGAGGAGAUGUGGACAAAGCAUGAUGGGUAUGAUCCAAUGGUGGAACAAGCAUGGCGACAACAGGGACAGUGCAUGGGGCCGAAUGAACUAUGCACGAAACUUGGACACAUCUCAAGGAAGAUGCAACAGUGGGGUAGCUCGGUAUUUGGCUCAGUCACACGACAAAUCAGACUACUCAAGAAUCAACUGAAGGAUGCGAAAGAAAGAGCCCUAUUAUCAGGUUAUACUCAGGAGGUUCGUGACAUUGAGAGCAAUUUAAAAGACAUCUUUGAGAGGGAAGAGGUUAUGUACAAACAGAGAUCAAGAGUUGCCUGGCUGAAGGAAGGAGACCAAAAUACUAAGUACUUUCAGAACAGGGCAUCACAUAGAAGGAGGAAGAACACUGUUAGGGUUUUGAAGGGAGAGAAUGGUGUGAGCUGCUCGUCGGAUGAGGGUAUGAGGGAACUAGCUGCUAGGUUCUAUGAAAAACUUUUCCAAACGGAGGGGUGCAACCAGACGGAACACAUUCUGGACCUCUUUCAAAACCUCAUCUCCCCGGCUAUGAAUGAGAAACUUACGGAAGUGGCUACGGACUGUGAAAUAGAGAUUGCUCUAUUCCAAAUGGGACCGACAAAAGCACCUGGACCGGACGGACUACCAACGCUAUUCUAUCAACGUCACUGGGCGUUGAUAAAGGAAGAGGUUUGUAGGUCGAUUCGUGAUUACCUUGAUGGAACUGAGCCGGUGGAAGGAUUAAACGAAACGGUUCUGGUGUUGAUCCCCAAAAUCAAUUCACCGGAGCUUCUCUCACAGUUUCGGCCCAUCAGUUUAUGCAAUGUUCUGUAUAAAAUCGCGGCAAAGGUCUUGGCUAACAGAUUGAAAAUUAUUCUCCCGCUCCUUAUCUCUGAAGAGCAAAGUACGUUUGUGCCGGAACGCCUCAUUACGGACAAUGUGCUAAUUGCUUAUGAAUGCGUGCAUGCUAUUAGAAAGCGGGAGCGGAAGAAGCCACUUUCUGCAGUCAAGUUGGACAUGAUGAAGGCCUACGAUAGGGUGGAGUGGGAUUUUCUCCAGCUAGUUAUGGCCAAACUUGGCUUUGCUCCAAAAUGGAUAUCUAUGAUCACGCGAUGCAUUAGUAGUGUUCGCUUUCGUGUCAAGCUAAAUGGGGGACUAUCAAGGAAUUUCCAGGCUACAAGGGGACUCAGGCAGGGGGAUCCCCUGUCCCCAUAUCUGUUCUUGUUCUGCGCUGAAGGUUUCUCGGCACUGCUUAAACAGGCGCAAAAUGAGCAGUGGAUCCAUGGUGUUCAAUUUGGGAGCACUGGCCCCCAUGUCACCCAUCUUUUAUUUGCUGAUGACAGUAUUGUGUUUCUGGAAGGGUCAGAGGAUAAUCUAAACACACUCAAGGAGAUUUUGCAACAGUACCAACAUGCCUCGGGAUAGAAGGUAAAUCUUCAAAAAUCGGCUAUCUUUUUUGGCAAAGGGUGUAGGGAGACAGGUAAGGAGGCUCUUAAGCAAGUAAUAGGAAUUGCAUCCGAAGCAUUAAGUGAAAAAUACCUUGGUAUCCCCACAGUAGUGGGCAAAUCAAAGGAGGGAUCCUUCCAGUAUGUCAAAGAGAGUGCAAGGAGUAAAGUAUCAGGAUGGAAGGGGCAAGGUUUAUCCAAAAAAGCACGAGAAAUUCUGAUAAAAUCCGGGCUUCAAUCCACUCCAACGUUCACCAUGAGUUGCUUCCAACUAUCCAAGAAAAUGUGCGGGAACCUGACAUCAAUCUCUUCAAACUUUUGGUGGGGAGCAAAUCAGGGCGUGAGGAAGGUGCAUUGGAUUGCCUGGGAUAAAAUGUGCUUACCUAAGAGGGAUGGAGGGAUGGGUUUCAGAAAUUUUGAAGCGUUUAACCAGGCUUUGCUCGCUAAGCAAGCAUGGCGGUUACUCCAAUUUCCCUCAUCGCUAUGUGCCCGAGUUCUUAAAGCCAAAUACUAUCAAGACUGCUCGAUCAUGAAUGCUACAUGUCCAAGUGGGGCCUCGUUUACCUUCAAGAGCAUAAUUCAUGGUAGGGAACUCCUGAGAGAAGGCAUCAUCUGGCGGAUUGGCGAUGGCACGCAAAUCAGUAUUCACCAUGAGAAUUGGAUUCCUCGUGAAGGUAGCUUAAGGCCUCUCGGGCAGUCCUAUAUACCGGGAGUAACGCGAGUUUGCGACUUGCUUACUACCGAUGGAUCUUCAUGGGAUUAUGAGAAACUGCACCUGAUGUUCUCGGAGGAUGAUGCAUGCGAUAUAAAGCAAAUUCCCGUCGGGGGACUGAACUGCAGCGACCAUCAAGCUUGGAACUUCACCAAAUCGGGUCAGUUCACUGUCAGAUCGGCCUAUCACUUGUGCAUGAGGAAGAAAUAAUCUAUUGCCGGACGGCCGGAGCCAUCAUCAUCGCUAUCCAGACACCAAAGUUGGUUAGCACUAUGGAACACCAAUGCACCUGGUAAAGCUAAGGUUCAUAUGUGGCGGCUGAUUAAAAACGGGCUGGCAGUUGGAGCGGAGUUGCAACGCAGAAGGAUAAAACCAGGGAUCUUAUGUAUGGUAUGUGGCCGAGAGGAAACCACUCUGCAUAGAUUCUGGCGAUGCCCACAUUCUGCUAUGGUUUGGGAGGUGCUAAACUCUGAGAAGGGUGCCCUGGUGACUUUGCCGCCGGUCCCGGAUGGAGAUCACCGUGCUGUAGCUUCCUGGCUGCUAAGUUGGCUAGCACAGGCAGGCGAAAGCGAAAAGGAACUAACAAUCCAGGCAUUGUAUGGACUUUGGCUAGCUAGAAACGAGGCAAGAGAUGACCAGAGGAUUGCUGAUCCAAAAAGUGUUGCAAACAACAUCUACCAACACACUAUGGAGUGGUUAAACAUCCACGCUCGUCAGCCUAGGAAUGUUACUCCAACGCUGGUGGCGAGAUGGAACCCACCUGAACGAGGAUGGUUGAAGGCCAACUCUGACGGAGCUUUAGCCAAAGCGCGCAAUCGUGGAGGGGGGGGGGUGUAGUUCUUCGUGAUCAUGAUGGAGCCUAUAGAGGAGGCGCCUGCUAUGUGUUCAAGGAUGUUUCUCAUCCUGAGGUGGCGGAGGUACUUGCUUGUCGGGAGGCGGUGCAGCUGGCAAUCCAAACGGGAGCGCUGAAGGUGCACGUCGAAGUUGACAGUAUGGCAGUAGCGGCUAUGGUGAACGAGCAGGCCAAGAAUUUAAGUCUGCUGGUACUAUCAUGGAGGAGAUUAAGUUGAUGGGUCGUACUUUGCAGGGAUUCAAAGUGUCUUGGAUUAGACAUACGGGUAAUAAUGCUGCACACUUACUUGCUAAAGAGGGCAUCUCUAGGGAUAGUAAUAGUUUCUGGCCUAAUGACCCUCUGAUUGUAUUCUUCAUGUAAUAUCGGAUGAAAUCCCUGUGGGAGGAACUUAAAUAAAGCUGGAUGGAGAUUCUCAAAUUUUUUUUGUCCAUAUAUGUCCGGUCGGACAGCCAGGACAGGGUCCGAAGAAGGGAGGGAGAAAAAUAAAACGUAAGUGUAACUCCAACGGGCCGACCCAAACGGACGGUGAUUUUGUCCCUUUUUUGUACGUUUGGAUCGACCGCCGGCUCCGCGUCCGCCCACUUUUCUUUUUGGGUCGGCCAUGCGCCUAAUGCGGGCGAUUCAUUUUAUGUCCGCACAUUAGAUUAAAAAUGCUUCAUGUCAACGCCCAAGAGUUCAUGCCAGCGGCUGACAUACAUUGCCAGCCUCCAUAAAACCACUACGUAGUUCAUGCUGACAAACUUGCCACCGGCCAGCACAUGCCAGCACACAAAAAGCCGCGAGAAUUCGACCACGCCCGUGGUCAUGAUAGCACACUUGCCGACAUACAAGAAAGCAUGACGUGUAUGCCUUCGUCCGCUUGCUAUUGCACUUCGGCUUAGCCCCGACAGAAGUUUGGUUGGCGAGCUCCUCCUCGAACAAAGGCUCCUCGUCGAUGUCCAUGUCAUCGUCCUCCUCCUCAAGGCCGUAGUCCUCCGAGAACUCAUGAUCGAGCGGGAAGCCGUCUAGGCCGACCUGAUCUUGCAUGAAGGCGUCAUGUAGAUCAUUGGUGGCUUGCGUGAACGACGCUCGACCUUUAUGACUUUGGGUCUCAUCGGGAUCGUACGCACCAGCCGCCGGUGCAACUUCGAAGGUCACGUUUUCCAGGAAACGGUUGGCCGUAUCAUCAUUGACGGCCGCCAGCAUUCCGUUGGAUAGAUUGCAGGCACCGGUGAGCAUGUCGGCUGGUAUUUCGCGCUAGUGUUUCCUCAUGCCUCCGGACGAUGAUCCGCCUACCACUGGCGCUGCGUUGAGGUCGAUGGUCACCGACGCGGGCGUGGAAGGAGGCAUGAUGGUCACCUCCGGCGAGCAUUCCUCGGAGAAGCGGCUGCCUUGCGAGGUAGACGUGGAAGCCGGGAAUCGAUUGCGUGCAAGACGCGAGCGGCGACUCUGGCAUCAUCAUCUCAGGAUAUGUUGACGAGCCCGUACUGACCACGGCCGUGGCAACGGCAGUGUUGACAAGCCAAUGUUGGCCAGGGUUUACCUCUAGGUACAACAAGGCCUCCAUUGUUGCCGCCUUCACCCGGGCAUUGGUUUCUUCCUGCUGCGCGGCGGCGGCGGCAGCUGCCUCGCUCUUGCAUUCGGCGCGUGCCUUCGACCCUUCCUCUUGGCCGACUCCACGGUCUUCUCCUCGGGCGUCAACUCCUUCUUCUUCUUCUCAGGCGGAGCCCCCGCCUUACGGGGGGCGCGGGCCUUUCCUUUGCCUUCGGCGGCGACGACGGACGUCUUCAUUGAGGCAAUGGCGGCGGCGGCCUCGAAGUCGUCAUCCAUGACGACGGGAGCGGGUGCGGGAGUGAGGGCGAAAGUUUGGGGAAAAUGGAGGAAAAAAGUGGCCGCUUUGUCGCCGACUUGCAGGCCACGGAGGGAAGUAGGCGCACGCUGCGCGCGUCCGUUUUAUGUCCGCGAAUAUGCAAAUCAAGCGCAAAAUUAGGCCGGGAGUGGGUCGGCAGGCAGACAAAAACGUUUUGUCCAUUGGGGUCGGCGCGUUGGGCCAACUUUUUGUCCGCGCCGACCCAAACGAACGGCGACACAUGAAAUGGGUCGCCCCAUUGGAGUUGCUCUAACCUAACCUCCGGCCAAUUCUAGCGCAUGACUCCAAACAGACGCCCGCUUUGACCUGCUUUUGUCCGUUUGGGGCGUCAAUGAGGAAGCCCAUGUCUGGAUAGGGACGUUGUCGGAUCGGUGCACCCAACGGACAGCCGCGCCCCAAAUCAUGUCGUGGUGGACAUGAUAUAAAAAAUAUCUCAUCUCCUCUCUGACUUUUUUCAUGCUCUCUCGCUCGCUUGCUUGCUGCGAGCGGAGGGGGCCUGCUCCGGGCUCCAAUGAGUCGAAUUGCUCUGCUCCGGGCUGGGACGAUGAGGGAGGAGGAGGAGCCCAGCUGGUUCGCUCUCUUCGACGAGGACCUGCCGGCGCCCGACGAGCUCAUGCCGCUCUCGCAGUCGCUCAUCACCCGCGAUCUCGCCGCCACCUUCGACAUCCCUAUGCACGGGGGCGGCCCGCUCAGCCGCGCGGCAGAGCACCGGCGUCGCGGAGAUGAACGGCGGGGCCUCAUCGAUCGCCGGGUCCAGUGGCGACAACGGGGGCUGCAACGACGAGGAUCCGACCAGGACUCUCAAGCGCCAUCACCCCAUGUGGACGCCACAGCUGCACAAGCGCAUGCAGCGCCUCGGCAACGGCGACGGCGGGGGAGGCAGCCACGAUGCUGCUCCUCAUGCUCUGUGAAAAAGAGGAGAGAAAAGGAUGCGUGGGUGGGCCCCAUGAGUUUCAAUGACAGACGGGCCAGCCCUCACAUGCAACAGACACAACUCGGAUGAGGAGUGCCUAGAAAGUGUGUGCGUGUGUCCGCUUUGGCCUCAAAUUCAGAUCAAAUUUGGUUCACAAAUGGGAUAGAACGGACAUGAAACAGACAAUAUGGAUCCAGGCCGUCGCGCGCUGAGCCAUGAGGUUUGUCCAUUUUGCCCCAAACGAACAGGACCGGACGGGAUGGGGUUGUGUGCUGGAGUUGGCCUCCCAAAUCGUCCCAUGUGUCGAGUGGCGAAUCUUGAAAGAAAAUGAAGGGAUGGCUUAAAGUUAACGGUGUGUAGAAAAGUCAAAAAAUACCAAUUUUUUAUUGUAAACAAGGUUAAAAUUUUGACAGAAAUACUAAUAAUUGUUUGUUUUCAAUUUUUGGAGGGGGGCUUUUUUUUCCAAGGUUAAAAUUUUGACAGAAAUACUAAUAAUCGUUCCAAGGUUAAUAUACUAAUAAUCGGUUCACCCACCUAGUACUACUUUUUUUUCCCUUUCUUCUUCUUCUUAUUCUCUCCCUUUCAAUCCCCACCAAUCUUAUCGGACAUAAGGUUGACAAGAAAAAUAAAAUCCAAGACCUGAAAUUGGAGGAUCUAGGCAGCUAUUCAUGAGAUAUGACCAUGUAGCAAGGAGAGGAGAGUUGGAGUCUUGGAGAGACAUGCAUGGAGGUUUCCUAACAAAAAAGGCCACCACACCACACAUCAGUCUGGCAUUGCUAGUGUACGUGCUGCCAAGUGGCUUGUCCAUGCUCGCCACUAUUUCAACAAAUGGCAGGGCAGGCUUUCCCCCCUGGUCAAGGCCAAUGGAGUUGCCCUUGUCUUCUUCCACCUGUUGUUUGCGAGAUUCCAACAGACAAUGGCGCAACCCUUGAUAGGGCCGGCCACCAGAGGCGGAGGGACAAUUGAUAUGGAUCUGAAUCGUCUGAUCUGAUCAACCACAAACACAACCGCACGCACCGCAGCUGCAUGCUCUGAUCACUCCCGCAGAAAAAACCACGGGGAGCAUUUACUUCCCUGCGAAUUAUAAGAUGAGGAGAGGAAAUGUCGCCCCGAUCAUCAUGACUCACAAGGAGCAUCGUGCAACUCAAAAGGGGGAGAGAGAGGACUGAGAAGGUUGAAAGUGUGCUGCAUGCAUGCAUGCGUGCAUGCUUGGGAGUGUGAAACCAGGGGCACACGGUACAGUGGCAGUGCAGGAGACAAGCACAACUGCCUCCCUACAGCUAGCUAGAGGCAUGCCGAGGUUAGCGAAAGAAAAAUGCUGAUCGAUGGGGGUGGAUUGAGGGGUGACCCGGUAAAGCGUAUUAUGAUUGAGAUUUUCAUCAUUUCAGCUGACAAAAGGAACCGAUAUGAUAGAGGCUGGAAAGGCUGCGCGUCGCUAUGUAGGAGUACCUCACAAUGCAUGCAUGGAGCACUCUGACGUGUUCAAGAUAGUAAUCAAAUUAUAUAUGCUCUAGUUUUAUUUAAUGUCAACACACACACUCAUGUUGUUUUUAAUGAUGUGGCAUUAGACGCCGCAGGCCAAUAAGAUCAACUACACACACAUAUAGUAACUAAAUUCCCGGCGUUCCUUUUCUAAGCAAAAACAUUAAUUCAUGUCAAACCAAGCGCAAUAUGAAGGUAAAGAUCGUUUGCUGUUAAUUCAACCGAGUAGCAAAUGCAUGCAUGCGUUUGCAUUGACAUCGUCAAAUAAUCAAAUAAUGUAUGGAUGUGUGCAUCUAUUGAUGUAGAUACCAGGAGUGUUAUCCUCCUUUUCCAAAAUAAAUAAAUGCAUGCAUGGGUACUUGUGAAUAUGAAAUGUGGCAAAGCAUACCAAUUGUGCAUGCCAAUCCUUUGUCCAGAAGGCCGUUAAUUAACUACUCAAUUGUGCAUUAUCAAAACCCAAAACCUCAGCCUACUUAAGGACUAGCUGGAUUCUGCAUCAUAUGAUAGAUAUAUAGUCCAAGCUGACCACAUCGACUAAAUAGUGCAUUCAAAAUUCCUUUAGAUGCCGACAUCCCAAUUUAAUCUCUACACAUAUUCGGCUGUCACACAAGGCGAACAGAGUAUUAAAAUGAACACAUGUGAUGUAAAUGAAAGCACAACGCAUGCAUCCAUGCUCCAAAUGCAUCAAGGUUGCAGACUUGGUGUUACACAAAGACCAAGAGAUAUGAAACAAAAACAAAACACCAUUAUUAAUUAGUAAGAACUAUAUUUAAUUAAUAAAUCCAGUCAGAUCAUACCAGAUUAAUUUACAAACCUAGGAGUUGUAUUACUGGAAGUGGUGUUGACCAUGUUGCCGUUGAACCCAUCAAAACCAUUGAUCAGUUCAUCACCAGCGACAACCCUUCUCAGAAUACCCAUACCUCUGGUCUGGCCAUGGCCUGCAAACACACCCAUAUAUAGUUAAAUUAGUGCAUGUGUCUUAUCACACUACAAAAUACAAACAUUUGUGUACAAGUUAGCUAUAGUUGUGCCUUAUGGGGCACACAGCUAGCUACAGAUGACACGCACUUAUCCCAUUCCAAUAAUUCACCACUGUGUGUGACAUGACCUUGGAUAAAUUAACUCAAGCCAUGAAAUUAAUUCCAAGGGCAUGCAACGAGGUGUGUUAAGGAUCUAGGCACCAUGUGUUUUACCUGCAACGCAUGAUCGGUCUGUGCCCUUCACUGUUCUAUACAUCUGCAUGCAAGAAAACAAGUAGAAAAAUAUGAAGAUGGUAAUUAAUUAGCUUAAUCUAUUAUGCUUCCAUUUGGUUUAUAUUUUCUCAAGGACAUAUAAUUCUAGAAUAAUUAGUUAUGGGGUGUAGAUAUAUUUAGGGCAGAAGACUAGAGACAAAAAAGGACAAGAGGUACUCGGUAUCAACUAACAACAAGAAGCUACUAUAUGCAUUCCAUCCUUUUGUUUUUGAGUGANNNNNGGAAGAUAGCACACUGAGAAAAGGAAGUUUGAGCUAGCACAGUGAGAAACUUGCCUGCAGGUGGCUCUUAACAUGAGCGAGUGUAAGAUCCUUCACGUUCAUCAGUUCCAAUACUGACUUUGGUGUUGCUCCUACAAGAUGUUGUAUCAAAUAAAAAUGGAAGCGAGUUUUAGAGACCAGCAAGGGUUAAUCAUGCAUAGAUGGAGAUUAAAAUCAGUACAAACAGACAAGUUUGAAUGAAUUUGUAUGGCACUCUUAUUCUUUUGAUGACAGCAAAGAACCAUAGGAUAUAACCUUCUCGGAAAAUCAAGAUGUAGAAAACACUAAAGAUCAAACAAAAGGCACCAAAGGAAACACCAUGCAGCCUCCCCAAAGGCAAUUGGCAAGAGGUCAUCUGAUUAUAUCCGCUACUAAUUAAUCAAUUACCCGUUCAGGCUGAAGAACCCACGUUGCUCAAAUACCAGCAAGGAAACAAAAUCAUCACAUCAAACACUCACAUCUACUGGUUUAAUAGUAAUUAGUAAAUACCCUAUUGUUAGUUAAACAAUCUUGAGUUUGUAAAUGAACAUACUCUCAUGGCCACCAAGGAGCUCCACUGCACGCACAAAGUGUGCGUGCAGCGCUGUGGUCCACCGCAUCCUAGGAGCCCUCGAGCUCCUCUUCCGGCCACCAGCUGCUGGCCGUGCCACAGCACCGCCGGCGGCAGGACAGGAGCUCUUUUUGAAUCCAUGGGCGUUGUUCGGCUGGUGCAGCACCUCCUCCAGGCCACGGUGCCUCUUUGCCGCGGCCUCAUGGAGCCCCAGCCGCACCUCGCCUUCGUUGCCCACCGCCGGACAAGGCGACGGAGGGCUGUGAAGGGAGAGAUCAGGAGGAAUUGCCGUGGUAAUAGAACAAGCCUCGGGAAGAGGGGGUGGAGGAGGAGUGUUCAUUGUAGCUAGCAAUGGAAUCUUGUUGUGUCCGUAUCAGAAGGAAAAGAAGGAUUGGGUGAUUAGGUCAUGAGUGCAAUAUCAUUUUUGUGUUGGGAUUUGUACAUGUUGAGAGAAAGAGAGAGAUGGUGGAAAGGGAAGAUGCUAUAGGGAUAUAGAUGGAGAUUUUUCAAUCAAUGCUAUGCUGCUAUGGUGAUAGAGGAGGGGAGAGGGGAUGGCAUUUGGCAGUGCCCCAGGUUGGGAAUAAGGAUGGGAGAGAGGGGCAAUCAUGAAAUGGGAAAGGGAGACAGAGCGUUUGGAUCGUGACAUGCUCUAACGGAAUGGUCGUAUUUAAGGGAUGUACACAACCCUUCCAAAAGUUUAAAAAUGGUAAUAUUGUCCUUUACAACUAAUUACUACUCCCUCGAUCUUCUAAUAUAAGAGUGUGUUUUUAACACUAGAGUGUACUGUCAAAAGAAAACUUUUGGUUCCUAGGUGUAUAUACAUCCUAUAUAAAUAAAUUAACAACUCAAUAAAAAGUUAAAAUGUUUUGAAAUAAACUUGACCUUCCAUUAUACUUAUGAAAAAGAAUCACAAAAGAAAAAGUACACUUUUACUUCUAUUAAAAAACAAUUUUUUGAAAAAUAGUAUGAAUAGUGACAUAUAAUAAUAAAUAAAUUUUGUCCUUUUGCCAAGAAGUCAAUACUGGUGUUUUUUCAUGAAAAUUUAUAUACUGAUGCAAAACAAAAUAAAGUUUAAUCUAAAAUACUUAUGAACUAAUUUAACUUUUCAUUUAAUUAUAAAAAAGUCUUUAUAUAGGGUGCAUAUAUUCAAACCAAAGUGUAUUUUCCAUUAAAAAUGCUUUUAUAUUAUGAGAGGGAAAGUACCUGCUAACUGGGAUUAGAGUAAGCUGGCUCCUAUACAUUACUCAUGUGUUCAUGUAUGGACCCAUAUAAUCGUCACUCCUUCUGAAGUAUGUAGUGAGACUCCUGCUUCGUUGGAGUCUUUUUUUUUUCGAGGCCUCUCAAUCAGGAGGAUGCGGAUGCAUACAAUCAUGUAUUACUAGUGGCUGGGGCGUGCCAUUGGCAUGCCUCCUGAUUGUUCAUGUGCGUACUUAUCUAGCUUACGCACUUCUAUGGGUAUAUGUUGAUCCUUGAUAGCAUUUAUAUAUAGCAAAAAGGAUUUUCAAACAAGUGAAAGCCUCGAUGCUUAUGUGCUAGGAAAAGAUCAGUCCCAUAAAAUACGACUUGCUACUUUUGGAUGAACACAAGUUCAUGUACAGGCAUGUGACCGAUGUCGAUUUGAUAACACAUUCAUUAAGAACAAUAAACGUCUUCUGCUACUCUUAUGUUGAACUGUUGCGCAGCAAAGACUCCUGCGAGGAGUCACCAGGUCUAGGAUAGACACCAUAGCAAUAGACAAAAGGGCAAGGCUAGUAUUCGUUGUACAUAAGACUACACAAUAUUUUUUUAGAAAAAGAGGCAACGCCCCGGCCUCUGCAUCGAGAGAUGCAUGCAGCCCUUUAUUAAUUAAAAAGAAACUAAAUCCGGAAUGAGUACAACAAUGCUGAGAGUAAAGAACAAGAACAAAUCGAUACAAAGCGCCCAAAGCGCGCAAGCAGCGAAAGUAUAAUAAGUAGAUGCCUAGCCACCUAUCCUAUUAGCUUGCCGCCAUCCAAACCGGUUGAAGAUAACCUGUGCUACCAUCUCCCAGCGGAUACACCCAGUAACCAUAAGCUCCCUGGAAUCCGCAGGAGUGAGUAAUGACCACGUGCGGGUCAGUGCGGUAGCCCUGUAUAUAACCUGCAAAAAAUGUAUAGAUGUGCAUCUGUUAAAAACUAAAUCAUUCCUGCAGUUCCAAAUUGCCCAUAGUAAUGCGCAAGCUCCAACCCGGAUACUCUUUGCCAAAUGACCACCAACUCCCUGUACCCACGUCCCAAACAACGUGUUGACACUAGUGGGGGGGUGAUAUUAAAAGCAAUGUGUAUAGAACGCUACAAGAUUUUAGCCAUCGGACAUUGGAAAAAGAGGUGCUUGAUAGUUUCCUUGUUGUCACAAAAGUUGCAUCGCUGGUUACCUUUCCAUUUACGUUUUGCCAAGUUGUCUUUCGUGAGGAUAACACCUUUGUGAACGAACCACAUAAAGAUCUUUAUCCUCAACGGAACUUUGACCUCCCAGACAUGCUUGGAUCUUGGAAUGUACACUGAAUCGAUAAGAUGAAGGUACAUAGAUUUUACCGAAAAGGAUCCAUCCUUAGUUAGCUUCCAACGAAUAGUGUCGGGCCUAUCCGACAGUUGGAUUUGCAUUAAUCUUCUAACUAAGUGUAGCCAUCUGGUCCAUCUUUCACCGACCAAAGAUCGACGAAACCUGAUAUUUAGAGGCGUGUUGCUCAAGACUGCCGCAACCGACGCUUGUCUGCGUUGCACAAUAUUGUAUAGCUGCGGAUAUUCCAGCGCUAUGGGGCACAUCCCCUAACCAUGUAUCCUCCCAGAAUCUAGUUGAUUCACCAUUAGCAAUGACAAACCUAGUCUGGUUAAAAAACACGUUCUUACACCGCAUCAAUCCUUUCCAAAAUGCAGAAUCAUUGGGUUUAACGGUCACCUGAGCUAAGGUCUUAUGUUGCAAGUACUUAUUCCUUAGAAUUUGCACCCACAUGCCUUCGGUUUCUACCGAAAUUCUAAACAGCCAUUUACUUAGCAAGCAUAUGUUUUUAACCUCUAAAUUCUCCACCACUAAACCUCCUUGAUCUCUAGGUCUGCAAAUUAUGUCCCAUUUAGUAAGCUUAUACUUUGUUCUCACUUCAUCACUUUGCCAAAAGAAAUGUGACCGAUAGAAAUCUAACCUCUUCCUUACCCCUUUAGGUAACUCGAAGAAGGAUAAGAGGAACAUCGGCAUACUGGUUAAUACUGAAUUAACAAGUACUAGACGUCCUCCAUAAGAUAGAAGCUUGCCUUUCCAGCAACUUAGCUUCUUUUUGAAUCGGUCUUCGAUGCAUUUCCACUCCUUGUUUGUAAGUUUCCGGUGAUGGAUAGGCACCCCCAGAUAAGUGAACGGAAAAGUCCCACACUCACACCCAAACAGUUGGUUGUAAGGAUGCUGUUCCGCCUUUGCCCUUCCAAAACAAAAUAUUUCACUUUUGUUAAAGUUAAUCUUUAACCCAGACAACUGUUCAAACAAGCAUAAGAUGACACAAUAUGGUAAAGACCUAUAACUUUUAAAAGAUAGAAGUAUAAAUAAUAAAAUAUACUCUGUACAUUACCAUACAUGAAAUUAAUAAAUAAUAAGGUCAUGUUGUUGAUGAUUAAAUUUGUUUCAAGCACAAACACAAUAACUGAACCAUUUGACCGUCUCAUAUCAGGUUUGAUCAUAAGUUUGCUUUCGUAGUUCAGGGCGAGUUGUAACAUCAUCCUCAAUGUGUGCUACCAACUACCAAGUUCUCCCAACUUUCGUCCACCAAAAGCACAAAAAACAACUUUUCGUUUUCUAGUAUAAUGCACCUUUUAAGUCUAUAAACCUUUUACGAUCUUAUCAGAGAAGCCUGGUGUGGCAGAGCUGGUUAUAAAUAAUCAAGAACUUGUGAACUUAUAGUAAAUUCGUAAACAAAAAAUACUUUUUGAAAAGAAGAAACAAUUUGACCUUUGCUAGGCUAAACAAAAGAUAAAAGAUCAUGAUAAUAUUUAAAUGACAACAAAGAUGGUUAGGUACAUACGUUUUUUGAUAGGUCACUGCCUAUCUCCAUGGUACGCAAGCACAGAGGAAUUAUUUCAGUUUGUAGGAGAAAGCCGAUAACCUCAGUAUCAUCAACAUGCAUGCAUAAUAAGAGGGUCAAAAAACUUCUUGCAAAAGCAAGAAGAAAACAUUUGGUAUUUAGAAACACAUGCAACUAUUCCAAAAUCAAGAAGAAAACAUUAGAUAGAAAAUUGCUUAUUUAUAAGUCAAUUGUAGUAAGCAGCAUCUAACCGUUAGUAUGCAAUAGAAAUAUGAUUGACAACGGAAGUGUGACAAUCCGAGACCGACGUUUCAGAAGAUUCCCCUUCUAUUCCGUUUUCUUCGUGUGUUUAUUUUAUUUGUCGCAUCAUCAUCGCAUCAUGCUGUUGGGGAACGUCGCAUGGGAAACAAAAAAUUUCCUACGCGCACGAAGACCUAUCAUGGUGAUGUCCAUCUACGAGAGGGGAUGAGUGAUCUACGUACCCUUGUAGAUCGUACAGCAGAAGCGUUAGUGAACACGGUUGAUGUAGUGGAACGUCCUCACGUCCCUCGAUCCGCCCCGCGAACAAUCCCGCGAUCAGUCCCACGAUCUAGUACCGAACGGACGGCACCUCCGCGUUCAGCACACGUACAGCUCGACGAUGAUCUCGGCCUUCUUGAUCCAGCAAGAGAGACGGAGAGGUAGAAGAGUUCUCCGGCAGCGUGACGGCGCUCCGGAGGUUGGUGAUGACCUUGUCUCAGCAGGGCUCCGCCCCAGCUCCGCAGAAACGCGAUCUAGAGGAAAAACCGUGGAGGUAUGUGGUCGGGCUGCCGUGGAAAAGUCGUCUAAAAUCAGCCCUAAAACCUCCGUAUAUAUAGGUGGGAGGGAGGGGAGGAGGCAGCCUCAAAACCUAAAGGUUUGGCCGAAAUUGGAGGUGGAGGAGUCCUACUCCAAUCCUACUUGGAGUAGGAUUCCACCUUCCCACUUGGAAACUCUUUCCACCUUGUGUUUUUUCCUUCUCAAACCUUAUGGGCCUUAGUGGGAACUUAUUCCAGCCCACUAGGGGCUGGUUUAUAUCUUCCCAUAGCCCAUGAGACCCCUUGGGGCGUGACACCCCUCCCGAUGGUCCCCGGCACCCCUCCCGGCACUCCCGGUACACUACCGAUGAGCCCGAAACUUUUCCGGUAAUGCACGAAAACCUUCCGGUAACCAAAUGAGGUCAUCCUAUAUAUCAAUCUUUGUUUCCGAACCAUUCCGGAAACCCUCGUGACGUCCGUGAUCUCAUCCGGGACUCCGAACAACAUUCGGUAACCAACCAUAUAACUCAAAUACGCAUAAAACAUCGUCGAACCUUAAGUGUGCAGACCCUGCGGGUUCGAGAACUAUGUAGACAUGACCCGAGUGACUCCUCGGUCAAUAUCCAAUAGCGGGACCUGGAUGCCCAUAUUGGAUCCUACAUAUUCUACGAAGAUCUUAUCGUUUGAACCUCAGUGCCAAGGAUUCAUAUAAUCCCGUAUGUCAUUCCCUUUGUCCUUCGGUAUGUUACUUGCCCGAGAUUCGAUCGUCAGUAUCCGCAUACCUAUUUCAAUCUCGUUUACCGGCAAGUCUCUUUACUCAUUCCGUAAUACAAGAUCCCGCAACUUACACUAAGUUACAUUGCUUGCAAGGCUUGUGUGUGAUGUUGUAUUACCGAGUGGGCCCCGAGAUACCUCUCCGUUCACACGGAGUGACAAAUCCCAGUCUUGAUCCAUACUAACUCAACUAACACCUUCGGAGAUACCUGUAGAGCAUCUUUAUAGUCCCCCAGUUACGUUGCGACGUUUGAUACACACAAAGCAUUCCUCCGGUGUCAGUGAGUUAUAUGAUCUCAUGGUCAUAGGAAUAAAUACUUGACACGCAGAAAACAGUAGCAACAAAAUGACACGAUCAACAUGCUACGUCUAUUAGUUUGGGUCUAGUCCAUCACGUGAUUCUCCUAAUGACGUGAUCCAGUUAUCAAGCAACAACACCUUGUUCAUAAUCAGAAGACACUGACUAUCUUUGAUCAACUGGCUAGCCAACUAGAGGCUUGCUAGGGACGGUGUUUUCUCUAUGUAUCCACACAUGUAAAUGAGUCUUCAUUCAAUACAAUUAUAGCAUGGAUAAUAAACGAUUAUCUUGAUACAGGAAUUAUAAUAAUAACUAUAUUUAUUAUUGCCUCUAGGGCAUAAUUCCAACAGUCUCCCACUUGCACUAGAGUCAAUAAUCUAGCCCUCACAUCACCAUGUGAAUUACAUUGUAAUAAAUCUAACACCCAUACAGUUCUGGUGUUGAUCAUGCUUUGGCCGUGGAAGAGGUUUAGUCAGCGGGUCCGCUACAUUCAGAUCCGUGUGCACUUUGCAUAUAUUCACGUCCUCUCCCUCGACGUAGUCACGGAUGAGGUUGAAGCAUCGUUUGAUGUGUCUGGUCUUCUUGUGAAACCGUGGUUCCUUUGCUAAGGCAAUGGCACCAGUGUUGUCACAGAACAAGGUUAUUGGAUUCAGUGCGCUUGGCACCACUCCAAGAUCCGUCAUGAACUGCUUCAUCCAGACACCCUCCUUAGCCGCCUCCGAGGCAGCCAUGUACUCCGCUUCACAUGUAGAAUCUGCUACGACGCUUUGCUUGGAACUGCACCAGCUUACUGCACCCCCAUUAAGAAUAAAUACGUAUCCGGUUUGCGACUUAGAGUCGUCCGGAUCCGUGUCAAAGCUUGCAUCGACGUAACCUUUUACGGCGAGCUCUUCGUCACCUCCAUACACGAGAAACAUCUCCUUAGUCCUUUUCAGGUACUUGAGGAUAUUCUUGACCGCUGUCCAGUGAUCCACUCCUGGAUUACUCUGGAACCUACCUGCCAUACUUAUGGCCAGGCUAACAUCCGGUCUAGUACACAACAUCGCAUACAUGAUAGAACCUAUGGCUGAAGCAUAGGGGACAGAGCGCAUAUGCUCUCUAUCUUCAUCAGUUGCUGGGCACUGAGUCUUACUCAAUCUCGUUCCUUGUAGAACUGGCAAGAACCCUUUCUUGGACUGUUCCAUUUUGAACCUCUUCAAAACUUUAUCAAGGUAUGUGCUUUGUGAAAGUCCUAUCAGGCGUUUUGAUCUAUCCCUAUAGAUCUUAAUGCCUAGAAUGUAAGCAGCUUCUCCUAGGUCCUUCAUAGAGAAACUUUUAUUCAAGUAAUCCUUUAUGCUCUCUAAAAACUCUACGUUGUUUCCAAUCAGUAAUAUGUCAUCCACAUAUAAUAUUAGAAACGCCACAGAGCUCCCACUCACUUUCUUGUAAAUACAAGAUUCUCCAACCACUUGUAUAAACCCAAAUGCUUUGAUCACCUCAUCAAAGCGUUUGUUCCAACUCCGAGAUGCUUGCACCAGUCCAUAAAUGGAUCGCUGGAGCUUGCACACCUUGUUAGCAUUCUUAGGAUCGACAAAACCUUCGGGUUGUAUCAUAUACAACUCUUCCUUAAGGAAACCGUUAAGGAACGCCGUUUUGACAUCCAUCUGCCAGAUUUCAUAAUCGAAAAAUGCAGCUAUUGCUAACAUGAUUCUGACGGACUUAAGCAUUGCUACGGGUGAGAAAGUCUCAUCGUAGUCAACUCCUUGAACUUGUGAAAAACCCUUUGCCACAAGUCGAGCUUUAUAAACGGUCACAUUACCGUCAGCGUCCGUCUUCCUCUUAAAGAUCCAUUUGUUCUGAAUGGCCUUGCGGCCCUGAGGCAGUACCUCCAAAGUCCACACUUUGUUCUCAUACAUGGAUCCUAUCUCGGACUUCAUGGCUUCCAACCAUUUGUUGGAAUCUGGGCCCACCAUUGCUUCUUCAUAAUUCCCAGGUUCAUUGUUGUCCAACAACACGAUUGAUAAGACGGGAUUACCGUACCACUCUAGAGCAGCACGUGGUCUCGUCGACCUGCGUGGUUCGACAGAAACUUGAACUGGAGUUUCAUGAUCAUCAUCAUUAACUUCCUCCUCAACCGGCGUUGCAAUGACAGAGGUUUCCCCUUGCCCUGCGCCACCAUCCAGAGGGAUGAGAGGUUCGACAACCUCGUCAAGUUCUAUCUUCCUCCCACUCAAUUCUCUCGAGAGAAACUCCUUCUCGAGAAAAGCUCCAUUUUUAGCAACAAACACUUUGCCCUCGGAUUUGAGAUAGAAGGUGUACCCAACUGUCUCUUUUGGGUAACCUAUGAAGACGCACCUUUCCGCUUUGGGUUCCAGCUUUUCAGGCUGAAGCUUUUUGACAUAAGCAUCACAUCCCCAAACUUUAAGAAACGACAACUUUGGCCUUUUGCCAUACCACAGUUCGUAUGGUGUCGUCUCAACGGAUUUUCAUGGUGCCCUAUUUAAAGUGAAUGCAGCUGUUUCUAAUGCAUAGCCCCAAAAUGAUAAAUGCAAAUCAGUAAGAGACAUCAUAGAUCGCACCAUCUCUAAUAGAGUACGAUUACGACGUUCGGACACACCAUUACGCUGUGGUGUUCCAGGCGGUGUUAACUGUGAAACAAUUCCACAUUGUCUUAAGUGAGCACCAAACUCGAAACUCAGAUAUUCACCCCCACGAUCAGACCGUAGGAACUUGAUCUUCUUGUUACGAUGAUUUUCCACUUCACUCUGAAAUUGCUUGAACUUUUCAAAUGUUUCAGACUUGUGCUUCAUCAAGUAGACAUAACCAUAUCUACUUAAAUCGUCAGUGAAGGUGAGAAAAUAACGAUAUCCGCCGCGUGCCUCCACGCUCAUCGGACCACACACAUCGGUAUGUAUGAUUUCCAACAAGUCACUUGCACGAUCCAUUGUUCCUGAGAACGGAGUCUUAGUCAUCUUGCCCAUGAGGCAUGGUUCGCACGUGUCAAGUGAAUCAAAGUCAAGUGACUCCAAAAGUCCAUCAGCAUGGAGUUUCUUCAUGCGCUUUACACCAAUAUGACCUAAGCGGCAGUGCCACAAAAAUAUGGCGCUAUCAUUGUUAACUCUAACUCUUUUGGUCUCAAUGUUAUGUAUAUGCGUAUCGCUAUCAAGAUUCAAUAUGAACAAUCCUCUCACAUUCGGUGCAUGACCAUAAAAGAUGUUACUCAUAGAAAUAGAACAACCAUUAUUCUCAGACUUAAAAGAGUAACUGUCUCGCAAUAAACAAGAUCCAGAUAUAAUGUUCAUGCUCAACACAGGCACUAAAUAACAAUGAUUUAAGUUCAUCACUAAUCCUGACGGUAACUGAAGUGACACUGUGCCGACGGCGAUUGCAUCAACCUUGGAACCAUUUCCUACGCGCAUCGUCACUUCAUCUUUCGCCAGCCUUUGCCUAUUCCGCAGUUCCUGUUUCGAGUUGCAAAUAUUAGCAACAGAAGCGGUAUCGAAUACCCAGGCACUACUACGAGAGCCGGUUAAGUACACAUCAAUAACAUGUAUAUCAAAUAUACCUGAUUUUUCUUUGCCCGCCUUCUUAUCUGCCAGAUACUUGGGGCAAUUGCGCUUCCAGUGACCCAUACCCUUGCAAUAGUAACACUCCGUUUCCGGCUUAGGUCCAGCUUUGGGUUUCUUCGUCGGAUUGGCAAUAGGCUUGCCGCUCUUCUUCGAAUUUCCCUUCUUGCCUUUGCCGUUUCUCUUGAAACUAGUGGUCUUAUUCACCAUCAACACUUGAUGCUCUUUACGGAGUUCAGACUCUGCGACUUUCAGCAUCGCAAACAACUCGCCGGGAGACUUGUUCAUCCCUUGCAUGUUGUAGUUCAACACAAAGCCUUUAUAGCUUGGCGGCAGUGAUUGAAGGAUUCUGUCAGUGAUAGCUUCUUGCGGGAGUUCAAUCCCCAGCUCAGCUAGACGGUUUGAGUACCCAGACAUUUUGAGCACAUGUUCACUGACAGAUGAGUUUUCCUCCAUCUUGCAAGCAUAGAAUUUAUCGGAGGUCUCAUACCUCUCGAUCCGGGCGUUCUUCUGAAAGAUAAACUCCAGCUCCUGGAACAUCUCAAAUGCUCCAUGACGCUCAAAGCGACGUUGAAGUCCCGGUUCUAAGCCAUACAAGACUACACAUUGAACUAUUGAGUAGUCCUCCUUACGUGCUAACCAAGCGUUCUUAACAUCCUGAUCAGCCGUAGCGGGUGGUUCAUCUCCUAACGCAGCAUUAAGGACAUAAUCCUUCUUCCCAGCUUGUAAGGUUAGCUUAAGAUUACGAGCCCAGUCUACAAAGUUGCUUCCAUCAUCUUUCAACUUAGCUUUCUCUAGGAACGUAUUAAAAUUCAGGAUGACUGUCGCGUGAGCCAUGAUCUACAACACAAAUAUAUUCAAAGUGGACUUAGACUAUGUUCAAGAUAAUUAGAGUUUAACUUAAUCAAAUUAUUCGCUAAACUCCCACUCAAAAAGUACAUCUCUCUAGUCAUUUGAGUGGUUCAUGAUCCACUUACACUAGCUCAAGUCCGAUCAUCACGUGAGUUGAGUAUAGUUUCAGUGGUAAGCAUCCCUAUGCUAAUCAUAUCAUCUAUAUGAUUCAUGAUCGACAUUUCGGUCUCAUGUGUUCCGAGGCCAUGUCUGCACAUGCUAGGCUCGUCAAGCUUAACCCGAGUGUUCCGCGUGCGCAACUGUUUUGCACCCGUUGUAUGUGAACGUUGAGUCUAUCACACCCGAUCAUCACGUGGUGUCUCGAAACGACGAACUGUAGCAACGGUGCACAGUCGGGGAGAACACAAUUUCGUCUUGAAAUUUUAGUGAGAGAUCACCUCAUAAUGCUACCGUCGUUCUAAGCAAAAUAAGGUGCAUAAAAGGAUUAACAUCACAUGCAAUUCAUAAGUGACAUGAUAUGGCCAUCAUCACGUGCUUCUUGAUCUCCAUCACCAAAGCACUGGCACGAUCUUCUUGUCACCGGCGCAACACCAUGAUCUCCAUAAACGUGUUGCCAUCGGGGUUGUCGUGCUACUCAUGCUAUUACUACUAAAGCUACUCCUAGCAAAAUAGUAAACGCAUCUGCAAGCACACACGUUAGUAUAAAGACAACCCUAUGGCUCCUGCCGGUUGCCGUACCAUCGACGUGCAAGUCGAUAUUUCUAUUACAACAUGAUCAUCUCAUACAUCCAAUAUAUCACAUCACAUCAUUGGCCAUAUCACAUCACAAGCAUACCCUGCAAAAACAAGGUAGACGUCCUCUAAUUUUGUUGUUGCAUAUUUUACGUGGUGACCAUGGGUAUCUAGUAGGAUCGCAUCUUACAUACGCAAACACCACAACGGAGAUAUAUGAGUUGCUAUUUAACCUCAUCCAAGGACCUCCUCGGUCAAAUCCGAUUCAACUAAAGUUGGAGAAACCGACACUUGCCAGUCAUCUUUGAUCAACGGAGUUACUCGUAACGAUGAAACCAGUCUCUCGUAAGCGUACGAGUAAUGUCGGUCCAAGCCGCUUCAAUCCAACAAUACCGCGGAAUCAAGAAAAGACUAAGGAGNNNNNNNNNNNNNNNNNNNNNNNNNNNNNNNNNNNNNNNNNNNNNNNNNNNNNNNNNNNNNNNNNNNNNNNNNNNNNNNNNNNNNNNNNNNNNNNNNNNNNNNNNNNNNNNNNNNNNNNNNNNNNNNNNNNNNNNNNNNNNNNNNNNNNNNNNNNNNNNNNNNNNNNNNNNNNNNNNNNNNNNNNNNNNNNNNNNNNNNNNNNNNNNNNNNNNNNNNNNNNNNNNNNNNNNNNNNNNNNNNNNNNNNNNNNNNNNNNNNNNNNNNNNNNNNNNNNNNNNNNNNNNNNNNNNNNNNNNNNNNNNNNNNNNNNNNNNNNNNNNNNNNNNNNNNNNNNNNNNNNNNNNNNNNNNNNNNNNNNNNNNNNNNNNNNNNNNNNNNNNNNNNNNNNNNNNNNNNNNNNNNNNNNNNNNNNNNNNNNNNNNNNNNNNNNNNNNNNNNNNNNNNNNNNNNNNNNNNNNNNNNNNNNNNNNNNNNNNNNNNNNNNNNNNNNNNNNNNNNNNNNNNNNNNNNNNNNNNNNNNNNNNNNNNNNNNNNNNNNNNNNNNNNNNNNNNNNNNNNNNNNNNNNNNNNNNNNNNNNNNNNNNNNNNNNNNNNNNNNNNNNNNNNNNNNNNNNNNNNNNNNNNNNNNNNNNNNNNNNNNNNNNNNNNNNNNNNNNNNNNNNNNNNNNNNNNNNNNNNNNNNNNNNNNNNNNNNNNNNNNNNNNNNNNNNNNNNNNNNNNNNNNNNNNNNNNNNNNNNNNNNNNNNNNNNNNNNNNNNNNNNNNNNNNNNNNNNNNNNNNNNNNNNNNNNNNNNNNNNNNNNNNNNNNNNNNNNNNNNNNNNNNNNNNNNNNNNNNNNNNNNNNNNNNNNNNNNNNNNNNNNNNNNNNNNNNNNNNNNNNNNNNNNNNNNNNNNNNNNNNNNNNNNNNNNNNNNNNNNNNNNNNNNNNNNNNNNNNNNNNNNNNNNAGACCCUGCGGGUUCGAGAACUAUGUAGACAUGACCCGAGAGACUCCUCGGUCAAUAUCCAAUAGCGGGACCUGGAUGCCCAUAUUGGAUCCUACAUAUUCUACGAAGAUCUUAUCGUUUGAACCUCAGUGCCAAGGAUUCAUAUAAUCCCGUAUGUCAUUCCCUUUGUCCUUCGGUAUGUUACUUGCCCGAGAUUCGAUCGUUAGUAUCCGUAUACCUAUUUCAAUCUCGUUUACCGGCAAGUCUCUUUACUCAUUCCGUAAUACAAGAUCCCGCAACUUACACUAAGUUACAUUGCUUGCAAGGCUUGUGUGUGAUGUUGUAUUACCGAGUGGGCCCCGAGAUACCUCUCCGUUCACACGGAGUGACAAAUCCCAGUCUUGAUCCAUACUAACUCAACUAACACCUUCGGAGAUACCUGUAGAGCAUCUUUAUAGUCACCCAGUUACGUUGCGACAUUUGAUACACACAAAGCAUUCCUCCGGUGUCACUGUGUUAUAUGAUCUCAUGGUCAUAGGAAUAAAUACUUGACACGCAGAAAACAGUAGCAACAAAAUGACACGAUCAACAUGCUACGUCUAUUAGUUUCGGUAUAGUCCAUCACGUGAUUCUCCUAAUGACGUGAUCCAGUUAUCAAGCAACAACACCUUGUUCAUAAUCAGAAGACACUGACUAUCUUUGAUCAACUGGCUAGCCAACUAGAGGCUUGCUAGGGACGGUGUUUUCUCUAUGUAUCCACACAUGUAAAUGAGUCUUCAUUCAAUACAAUUAUAGCAUGGAUAAUAAACGAUUAUCUUGAUACAGGAAUUAUAAUAAUAACUAUAUUUAUUAUUGCCUCUAGGGAAUAAUUCCAACACAUGCGCAUCAUCCGCAUUGCAUCGGCAUCCCGUUGCCGCCAGUUUUCAAAACUUGCAUCCGUUGUUAGUUGUCGGUUCUCGUCGUUGUCCGUUCUGAGCCCGACCACACACGCACGCACCCGCGGCAUCGUCAAAACCUGUUUUUAAAAGUGUGUGUAUAAUAUUCUCUGAUUGAGUUGAAACUUGUCGUGCGGUCUUAAUAUAUUAUAGGUAGGCCGCCUGCCAAUUUUCGUCGCAAUCGGAGUCCGUCUGGUACCCGAACGGUCGACCGUAGCGGCACCGUAUUCGGUCUAUCGUCGAACGUUUAAUCGGUGUUUUAAAAUUACGUUGUCGGGUGUCCACUUCCCUCUCAUCUUAGCUAACACCCCUCUACACGGCCUACACCUAAACCACCUAACCCUAGGACGUUUCCGGAGUGUCCGAUCUCAAUCGGAAGGUCCGAAACCGCUAAACCUAGCUUGUUUUUCUAUAAAUAUGAGUCUCCCCUCUCUCCUCCUCGUUUUUCGUGCCACCAGCAACCCUAGCCGCCACCUGAGACAGCCUCUCCCUCCUACCACCUCGAGCCAGGCUCGCCUGGGCCCGAGAGAGGCCCGCCCGAGCCCAUCUGGGCCCGAGCAGCAGCGCCCCUUGCUGCUAGAUCAGGAGGAGCCCCGAUCCAACAGCCUCGCCUCCCGUGGGACCUCGCCGGCCGGCCACCGGAGCACAACCGCCGCCCCUCGUCCUUCCCGUCAGAUCCGCCGCCGGCCCCGCGUCGCACCUCGAGCCUCGUCGCCCCGCUGAUGUCCUCUGGUGGUCGCCGUCGUCUGCCCCGAAAUCCGCCGCCGCCUCAAGGCCACCCCGGCCGGAUCCGGCCAGAUCCGGUCCGGGGACCCCAUUCCCAAGCUGCGCCGCUCCUUCCCCGUUGGAUCCCGCCGGGGACCCGUGCCGCCGCCGCCUGUGAGCCGGCCUGCCGCCGUUAUGGCCGCAGCCCCUCCUGUUCGUGCGAGAGGACGGAGGAGAGCCGUCCCGUGACCGGCCUCGCCAGCUCCUGGGCCCCGAGCCGGCCCAGGUGGCCAGCUCCGCCCGGACC